AGAUUUGGUUAUUCUAAGAACCGACAUAGAAGGGAAUCGGAAAUGACAACCAGUUGGAGCAAAACUCUUUAGGUCUGAUAGCUCAGAAAGAUCCACUAUUUCUAAUUGAGGGAGCACUAUUCCCUUUUGAUCAUCUUCAAUGUCUAGUUCACCUUGAUACCCAAAGACUUGCUCUAGUUUAGAAGCCCCUUCAAUUUGGAUUCUCUCGAGGUUGGCAAAAGAACGGGCGACACUAAUAGGAAACAAGCUUUUCAAAUUGCUGCACCCAGAAAUAGAUAUAAAUUGAAGACUAGGGAAGGAUAUAGGUUGGAGAUGACUCUGUGAUGAUGAUGCUAUUGAAGUUUGGUCCAUUUCAAUGAUUUCUUCCAACUCCUCACAACACUUUAUUUUCAAAACUUUCAAUUGCGGCAUAUUUGGAGCAAGCAUAGAAGAGAAGAGAGAUUUCAGCCUUUUACAACUUGACACUUUUAAGUCUUUAAGAUAAGGAAGGCUUGCAACUUGUAUGGGACCCUGCAACUGAUGUAUACCCUUUAGAUUUAAAAUCUCUAUCUUUGAGAACAAGUGUCCGCCUUGAAUUUGAAAUAUAUUCUCCCAAUUAAUAGUGUCACACACAUUGUCUUGUCCCAACUCAGAGAAUCGUAACUCCUGUAUAAAUAUAAAAAUAUCAUAAUUUCAUUAAAAUUUGAAUAAAUUACAAUGGUCAAAUAAUAUAUGACUUCAAAAGUACAAAAUCUAAUAUAUAUAUAAGUACGUUUAUGUGAGUAACUUCUAUUUAUGACAUGUAGGAUAAUGUUUAUAUUAUUAUAUUAUUUAUCAAAUAACUCUAUUUAAUAAAUUAUUUAAAUUUAAUAUUUUUGAAUAAUUAUUUAAAUUCAAAUCAAAAUCUAUAGAAAAAAUUUUUGCAUAAAUUUUAAAUUCAAAUAUAUUAAAUUAUAAUUUAUUUUUUCUUUUUAAAUUAAUCAUAGUUCCAAAAAUAUAUAUGUAUUUAUAUGGUUAAUAUAUUUUUAUCUACCAUCAAAUAAUUCUAUUUAAUAAAUUAUCUAAAUUUAAUAUUUUUGGAUAACUAUUUAAAUUCAAAUCAAACUCUAACAAAAGUUGAAAAUUUUGCAUAAGUUUUGCAUUUAAAUGUAUUAAAUCAUAAUUUUUUUUUAAAAUUUAAUCAUAAUAUAUAUAUAUAUAUAUAUACACACACUUAAUACAUUUUUAUUUGAUGAAAUCAGAAUCUAAAAUUGAAAAUAAAGAGUUUAUAAAGUGAGAGGUCACCUUCUAACCAAGCUUAUUUUAUUUAUUGUUAUUAGAAUUGGAAAUUGAAGAAUACAAGCCUUUUUUUUUUUACUUGACAGUUAUGAUUUAUUGGUUUUGAUGGGAAUGGACAAAAGUUGGAAAGAAGAGUAAACCACAUCAUACCGUGAACAAGUUCAUUUUUGCCUUUAUUAUUCUCUUUUUUCUUUUAUUUUCUUUUUUAUUUGCAAAAAUCAAUAUGUGAUGGUGUUGGAUUGUUUUUACUUUUGUAUAUUUUUUGCUUAAAUGACAUUGAUUUUUUUUAUGAAAUUUCAAUAAUGGAAAGAAAACAUACGUACAUUUGGAUUGAUUUCAACUUGGUAAUAGGUAUAGUUCAUUACUUUUUUUCGUAUUUUAUUUUUUUUUAUUUCCUCCAUUUGUUUGUUCCUUCAAAUUAUUUAUUUGGUCUUAUUUCUAUUAUAUGAUAUAUACAUUUGAUUUGAUUUAUUCUAAAAAAAUUUUUAUUUAUAUAUUUUUAUAUAUUUAGUUAAGUUGGAUAUUUGUUACACAUAAGUUCAAGAGAUUUCAAUUGUAUAUGCAUUCUCAAUUUGUAUAUUUGAUUUUUUAUUAUAAACGUAUCUUUGACUUAUGUUUUAAUAAAAGCAAAUAUAUGUGUUGAAGUAUGUAAAAAAUAAAAACUAAUAAAAAGCAAAUGGCUAUGAACAAAUUAAUAAUUAUAUAUGCUUUAUUGUUCAAUCAAAUAUAUAUAUAAAAGAAAUUAUUAUUAUUUGAUGUUUUAUUUUUGGUUCGGGUUUAUAAGAUUUAAUAGUUUAUGAAUAUUCUAUUAAUAUAAAUGUCUUUUACAAUUUAAUAAAAUGAUUUUUUUUAUAUCCAUAUUAAUAUUAUCAUAAAAAAAUUAUUAAUUUUGACUAUUAAAAGACUUACCCUUGCUUUUUUUAUCAAAAAAUAAAUAAUUAGUAACAAAAUUUUUGGUGUUUAGCAAAUAAAUAAAAAAAUUAAUAUUUUGAUAAAAAAGAAAGGAUUUUUGAAAUUUUGUAAAAAAUUAAACUUAAAACGACAAUAUGUGAAUGCUAUCAUUUAAUCGUAUCUUAAAAUUUAUGAAUGUAUGAUUAUAUAUAGUUGAUUAAUAAAAGUUUAAAUAUUCUUUUAUUAAGGAAAUAUAAAAAAUUAAAGUUAAUUAAAAAAUAAAUUUCAAUUAUGAAAAUAAUAACACGGUUAAAAAAGCUAGUAUAUAUGUAAAACAAAUACCAUUCUCAAGAUUUUAUUAUAAUGUACAAAUUAAAUAUGUUUAAUUGAUUUUCAAAUUCUAUUUAUUUUAUAAGCAAGUGAAAUGUUAUCUAAAAGUUCUCUAUGAGUGCCAUGUCAUCAAAGUUUGCCUAUAUGUAUGCAUGCCAGCAGUUUGAAUUCCCAUCCAAAUUGGAUUUCAUUAAAUUAAAAUAGUAGGAUGGCUAAAUUACACACAAUAAUAAUGUAAGGGCUUAAGUGAAAAUUUGAUUAUAAUAUGGUUAGAGAGCUUAUUUUAUUAUUUUGCCAUUACUUAACAAGGUUUUUUUUUUUUUUUAAAUAACAAACAAGUUAACUCAGUCUUGAAUGAGUUGAACAUAAAAUAUUGUUAAAGAUGAGAGUUCAACAUAAGUCUUGAAUGAUUUAUUUUAAUUUUUCUAAUAUAAAACUUACAUAAGAACCCCUUUUUGAAAAGAGAUUCAAAACAUUGAUUAUUUUAUGAGUAUAGAAAAGAUUUGGGCCAAAGGUAAAAUCUCAAACCAUAAUGUAAGGAAAGGAGUAUAAAGUUACCUUUAGUUGAAGCCGUUUGUGGACUACUUGUUGAAUAAUGAACUUUGCAAAUCGAGGACAAACCACUAUGGUUAACUUAUCCAAUGAUGGUGGCAGAAUGGCAUUAUCAACUCCAUUAUUUUCUUUUGCCACAUUGAAGACAUAUUGUAGUCUUGGACAACCAUGUAUUUCAAGAGAUGUCAAUUUUGGCAAGGGCGGAGGAUGGAGAAAGCCACUGUCUGAUUCUAUAUUAUCAUCAAUUUCCAACUCAGUGGCAAUAUGUUCCAGUUCAUCGCAGUACCCUAUCUGGAGUUGUUCUAGCAUCACCAAGCUUUGAACAAGUGAUUGUGAGAAGAGAUAUUUCAAUUUAUUGCAGCCACUAAUUACUGCAACCUUCAGACUUUGGAGGCAGACAGAAUGGUUGGGCCCUUUACAUAUCCACUUCAAUUCUGGUAAUAGCUCUAGCUCCAAACUUGUUAAAUUUGGCAGCAGCGGAACGGUUGAGACAUGGCCUUGGUCUGUUGUAUCAAUCAAGCAUUCCAGCUCUUUCUCAUCUCUAAGUGUAAGAAAAGUUAAUUCAUUUAGUCCCUGUGGAUCUACGCUUGGAAUGAGAUUUUUGUGAUACAUGAUUCCAUCCAUGGCAAGUUUUCUGACAUCCUGAUAAAUUCACAAUAUAAUGAAAAAUAGCAGCAACAUUAGAAACAUAUAAUUAGAUUUCUUUUAUUAGGAAAGAGAAAGAUUUGAGUUAAAAGAAUAUUUUUAUUCCUCGCUUUUCACUAAAAGUUUGUUAUUGUAGAAAUUUAAAUAAUUCAAAUUAAACUAAAUGUAACUACUGCUUAAAAAGCAAGGAUAGUGACAAAUAAUACAAGUACGAUACGACAUGGAUAUGACAAAUAAACAAUUUUAAAAAUAGAAAACACUGAUAUGGUAAAACAUGACAAUAAAAUACAUUUUUUAUCCAUAAAUUUUUUAUAAUAAUAUAAAUUGAACACAAUUAUAAAAUAAUUAAUGGUAUGUGUAAAAGUAAAAUAAAAUAAAUUUAUAAACAAGAUUAAAAUUAUAUAGGAAAAAAUAAUGAAUAUAAUUAUAAUUUUUUAAUUUAAUUUUUAAUACUAAUAAAUUAUAAAAUUUUAAACCUUUUAAAUAGUUUCAUUUUUCCUUUUUUUCUUUUCUUUUCUUUUUUUUCCUUCUUUUUCUUUUUCUUCGUACAUUUUCUUCUUUUUCUUUUCUCUCUUUUUCAUCCCAUUUCUUCUUUUUUUUUUCUUUCAUUUUUCCCUUUUUCCCUUCCCCAAAUCAUACGAUUUAUAAGCUUUAUAAAUUCAAUAAUAGUAGUUAUUGAGUAAUAUUUUAUUAUGUACAGAAUUAAAAAGAGAAAAAAAUACAAAGAUUUUAUAAAGUGUGUUAAUAGAGAAAAAAAUAUGUAGUGCUAGUUUUUCUCAACCUGCAAACCAUGUAAUAAGUAUACAUUUAAUCAACCUUUUUUCUUUUAAACAUCAACAGAAGCUAAUUAUAUAUAAUACUUUUACAUUUAAGUGUGAAUGUACUGAAUUUUGAUGUUUGUGUUAUAAGAUAAGUAAUUCAAUUAAUUAUUACCAAAAUAAACAAAAUUAAAACAAAAUUAUAGUAUAAGAGAAGUACCUUUAAAUUGGCCUGCAACGUCUUAAACUCAGUUAAUUGGGGACAACUGAAAACUUCGAACAUCUUCAAAGAUAAUGACAUGACAAAAUUUUCUGGACAAAAACUACUCAACUUCUCUAAAUUUUUAAGCCUUAAAAAUUGCAAUCUCUGUAGCACAAUGUCUUGUGGUGGACGUCCACCCUUGUCCUUUGUCAUAUUGAAGACCUGCUUUAGUUGAGAACAAUCAGUUAUCUCAACAGAUUCCAAAUAAGGAAGUCCUUGAGCCAAAGUGAUUGGAAACACAUAAUUCAAUCUUUCGCAAUUAAUUAUCUUGAGAGUUCUCAACUUAGGCCAGCGGAGAGGAUAGCCAUCCACGUUUGAAACUAUUUGAUCCUCAUUUUCUGCUUCUCCGAAGAUUACAUGUUCCAAAAAGCCGCAAUCUUUUAUGUCGAGUUCUUCUAGAUGCUCCAAACUUUGAGCAAGGGGAGUUGAAAAGAGAUAUGCCAGUUUCGCACAUUCCCAUAUUCUCAUAGUCUUAAGACUUUGGAGGUUAACAAGAUGGGUGGGCCCUUUCCAUAUCCACUGUAGUUCUGGUAAUAACUUUAGCUCCAAAAAGGUUAAAUUAGAGAGUGGUCGUACCUGACAUGAAUUAAUUGAUUGAAAAGGUAAAUAAAUAUAGAAAAAGCAUUACGUACAAAGGCAAUAAUAGUAGUUAUUGAAUAAUAUAUUUUUACAUAAAGAACAAAAAAAGAGAAAAAAAUACAAAUAUUUUAUAAAUUGUGUUAAUAAAAAGAAAAAAAGGUAUAUAAUAUUAGCUUUUUCAACUUACAAGUCAUGUAAUAAGUAUAAAUUUAAUUUAUUUACUAAUAUAAUUUAAUUAAACUUUAUUUCUUUUAAACUUCAAUAGAGGUUAAUUAUAUGAUAAUAUAUAAAGUUUAAUUAUUUCUCAUUAUUCAUUAAAGGAGAAAUGGAGAGAGAACAAGUACCUCAAGCUCAUCCAUUUCAUGGGGAAAAUCAAUGAUUUGCUCUAAUCCCUCACAGGCACAUAUAGAGAGUUCUUGUAGAUGCAACAAACUCUGAGCAAGGCAAGGCGGGAAGAUCGCUUUCAAUUCAUCACACCUCCGAAUGUUUACAACCUUCAGACUUCGGAGGCUUGCAUGAUAUUGAUGGGUUGAUUGUGAUUUCCAUAUACUCUCCAAUUCUGGUAAAGAAGAUAGAUCCAAACUUGUUAAAUUUGAGAGUAGCGGCGUCUGACUAAUUUCUUCCUUUUCAAGAAGCCCAUCCAUUUCAAAUACCACUUUCAACCGCUUACAAUAUCGAAUGGUCAAAUCUUUUAACUUUUGUAAGAACCUAAUAUGCCCAUGUAUUUCAAGAGAUGUCAAUUUUGGCAAGGGCGGAUGAUGGAGAAGGCCACUGUCUGAUUCUACAUUAGUAUCAAUUUCCAACUCAGUGGCAAUGUGUUCCAGUUCAUCGCAGUGUUUUAUCUUGAGUUUUUCUAGCAUUACCAAGCUUUGAACAAGUGAUGGUGAGAAGAGAUGUUUCAAAUUGUGAUACAUGAAUCCAUCCAUGGUAAGUUCUUUGACAUUGCAUAACAAUUCCUUGAAACCAUAUGAUGGGACAUCCUGAUAAAUUCACAAUAUAAUGGAAACUAUUAGCAGAAUUAGAAACAUAUAAUUGGAUUUCUUUUAUUAGGAAAAAGAAAGAUUUGAGUUAAAAGAAUAUUUUUAUCUUUCGCUUUUCAUUAAAAAUUCAUUAUUAUAGAAAUUUUAACAAUCCAAAUUAAAUUGAGUAUAACUAGAACCUAGAAAGCAUGAAUAGUGACAAAUAAUAUAGUUAAGACACGACAUGGACACGGCAACACAACAAUUAUAAAAAGAGAGGACACGGGUAGGUAAGACACUACAAUAAAAUAUAUUUUUAUAUAUUUUUUAUCCAUAAAUUUUUUAUAUGAAUAUAAAUUGAAUACAAUUACAAUGUAAUGAAUGAUGUGUGUAAAAGUAAAAUAAAUUAAAUUUAUAAACAAGAUUAAAAUUAUGUAGGAAAAAAUAAUCAAUAUAAUUAAUUUUAUUAAUUUAAUUUUUAAUACAAUAGAUUAUAAAAUUAUAAACUUUUUAAAUAAUUUCAUUUUCCUUUUUUUUUCUUUUCUUUUUUUUUCCUUCUUUUCCUUUCUCUUUCUACAUUUUCUUUUUUUUUCCUUGUCUUUCUCUUUCUCCUUCCUGUUUCCUUUUUUAAUUUUUAAUUUUUUUUUGUUUUUUCGUUUUUACCCUUUAUCAAAUUGUACGAUUUAAGAUCUUUAUAAAUUCAAUACUAGUUGUUGUAGAAUAUUAUUUUAUUAUAUAAAGAAUAAAAAAGAGAAAAAAAUACAAAGAUUUUAUAAUGUGUGUUAAUAAAGAGAAAAAAAGAUACAGUGUUAGUUUUCUCAACCUGCAAGUCAUGUAAUAAAUAUACAUUGAAUUAAACUUUUUUCUUUUAAACAUCAACAGAAGCUAAUUAUAUAUAAAUACUAUAUAAUACUUUUACAUGUAGAUGUGAAUGUACUAAAUUUUGAUGUUUGUGUUAUAAGAUAAAUAAUUCAAUUAAUUAUUACCAAAAUAAACAAAAUUAAAACAAAAAUAUAGUAUAAGAAAAGUACCUUUAAAUGGGCCUGCAACGUCUUGAACUCUGUUAAUUGAGGACAAUUGCAAACUUCGAACGCCUUCAAAGAUAAUGACAUGACAAAAUUUUCUGGACAAAAACUACUCAACUUCUCUAAAUUUUUAAGUCUUAAAAUUUGCAAUCUCUGUAGCACAAUGUCUUGCGGUGGACGUCCAUCCUUAUCCUUUGUCAUAUUGAAGACCUCAUUUUCUGCUUCAUCAAAGAUUACAUGUUCCAAAGAAUCGCAAUGGCUUAUUUGGAGUACUUCCAGAUGCAUCAAACUUUGAGCCAGGGGAGUCGAAAAUAGAUAAGCCAGUUUCAAACACCCCUCUAUUCUCAUAGUCUUAAGACUUUGGAGGUUAACAAGAUGGGUGGGCCCUUUCCAUAUCCACUUCAAUUCGGGUAAUGACUUUAGCUCCAAAGAAGUUAAAUUAGAGAGUGGUCGUACCUGACAUGAAUUCAUUGAUUGAAAAUGCAAAUAAAUAUGGACAAAACAUUAUAUACAAAGGUAAUAAUAGUAGUUAUUGAAUAAUAUAUAAUUUAAUAAAGAAUAAAAAAAGGACAAAAAAUACAAUGAUUUUAUAAAGAGAAAAAAAAUAUAUAUAAUGUUAGUUUUCUCAACUUGCAAGUCAUGUAAUAAAUAUACAUUUAGAUUAGUUACUAAUAUAAUUUAAUUAAACUUUAUCUCUUCUAAUCUUCAAUAGAAGUUAAUUAUAUGAGCAAUAUAUAAAGUUUAGCAAUUUCUCAUUAUCCAUUAAAGGAAAAAUGGAGAGAAAACAGAUACCUCAAGCUCUCCCACUUCUUGGGGAGGAAAAUCAAAGACUUGUUCUAUUCUAUCGCACUCAGAUAUUUCAAGUACUUGUAGAUGCAACAAACUUUGAGCAAGGCAAGGCGGGAAGAUGGAUUUCAAUUCACUGCACUUCCGAAUGGUUGCAAUCUUUAGACUUUGGAGGCUUGCAUUUAGACCCUCGGGAUCUACGAUGUGGACAAUAUUUUUGUGUCCCAUGGCAUUCUCCAGAGCAAAAAUUUCCACAUUGCAAAACAACUCCUUGUAUGCACUAAAUGAAGUUGGGUCAAUAAUUUGCAAGGCUCUAAAGUUUGGCCCCCGCAUAAAUUCAACACUUGCAUCUACAAAUAUAAUGUAGCUUUGUAGUUUAGGGAACACAAAGUUUUCUGGAAAACAUCGAGUAGGAGAAACCUUCAGUGACAGCACAGUCAAACGAGACAAUGAAUUCAGCUCCGAUAAGUUGACAUUGUUUUCACAUAUCACGUAUAGUUCUUGGAGUGAUGUCAACCUAUUUGUUACACACAAAUACGAAAAAGUAUUAUCAAACACUUAAAAGUGAAUCAUAAAAAUAGAAGUAAACAUAAAUUAAUUUUAAUUAUCUCAGCAAAUAUAGCAUGAUUCUUCAGCCCCUUUUCUUAUAAAAAAAGGUUUGAGCAUUUUUUUGCUGUUUUGUAAUUCAUGUGACAAUCAUGUUAUAUAAUAGCAUUUCUUUUUAAUGGAAAUGACUACAGCUCUGAAUGCUUCAUGAUAACGGGAGUGACCAAAAGCUUAAGGUAGAUAUUUUUCCCAUAGUCUAAAGUCAAAUUAUUUAAUAAAGUAAAUAAAAGAAAAAUAAAUAACAUAAAACUAAAUUCUUAAUUUUUGGCAAUAUGAUUAAAUAAAAUAAUUGACAUCUACUAUUACCUUGACAGUAAAUUAGGGGGAAAAUUGAUCUCUUUUCUUCCAGAGGAAAAAAAAUGUAGCGAUUUUAGGCCACGCAAUGCCGCUAAUUCUUCAGGUAGCUCAUAAAUAUUAGUAUUAGAGAAUGCAAGAAUCUCAAGGUUUUUCAAAUUUCCCACUGAUGAGAUGUUCUCCAACUCGCAAUUUACAAGGCACAGAGUUCGAAGAUUUGUUACCAAAUUAAGUACUUCUAGUGAGAAAAUGACAUUUUCGAGAUGCAAAACUCGGAGGGCUUUCAUUCCUUCAACAAAUGCAAUCGGAACUUUCACUAAAGUCUUUCCUGUAAAAAUCAAAAUUUUGAGUUCUGGAAAUUCUAAUUUUUCAGGAAAAAUAUUUAUGUUGCUGUUCCUAAAGGAGAUUGCUGUAUGAGAUCCACAACUUUCACUUGGAGGCCAUUCCAUCAACCACUCUUUUACCAUGAAUAUAUUUUUCCCUGUAGAUGUUAUCCAAUGAGCAAAAUCACGAACCACGUCAUGCAUCCUUACAUAUCUUUCAUCAUCAUCAUCAUCAGUUCUCAAUAACAAACCAGACUUCUGGAGGCUUCUUAGUGCUUGACGAAUUUCUCUCCGCAAGUCUUCAAUUAAGAAAAUAUGAGAAAAUAAUCCAUGACCAAUUGCAAACAUAACCAACUCCUCAAUCUCGAUACCCCAAUCUUCUGGAAAAAGGGAACACAGCAAGAAACAUGUUCGAAUAUUAUCUCUCUUCAAAUAAUCAUAACUCAGCUUAAGGCAGUUGUAGAUGUCUUCAGAAACGUCUUCAUUGUCUAAAUGUCUUGAGUCCUUGAGUCGCUUAUUUGCUGCUUGCCACCCAUCUAGAUUUGCUCCUUUUAAAGCUUUUCCGAUUGUUUCAAUUGCAAGAGGCAAACCCUUGCAUUCACUAGCAACCUCCUUGGCUACAUCAUUCAAUUCCGAAGAAACAUCAUUUAGACCAGCAGUAUCUUUGAACAAAACCCAUGCUUCACUUUCGGAUAAGAUGUGAAGUUCAAAUUUCUGUUGACAAUUCAUACGAACACAGACUUGUUCAAGACGUGUGGUCAGAAGAACUUUGCAACCUCCGCGUUCAACUCCGAAUGGAAUACCUACAGUCUGCAAUUUAAACUCCUUCCAAACAUCAUCGAUAAUUAUGAGGAUCUUCUCCGCGCCUUGCAAUCUCUGGCAUAGCUCUCCUGCUUUUCCUUCUUCCGUGCUUGCUUUAAAUUUCAAACCUAAUAAUUCUGCAAAUUUAUCUUGAAUUUUGUUGAUGUUUGGCGUUUGGGACAUUGUAGCCAUCACAACUCUGUCAAAGAGCUCUUUCACUUCAGCAUGCUUCCCAACUUCUUUUGCCAAAGUUGUUUUGCCCACCCCUGGCAUUCCAUACAAUCCAAUCAUGUUCACACCAUUAGUGUUUAGAGCCUUGAUGAUGUCAUUUAACGUUGAAUUUGAAGAUUUAGAAGGCAUGAAAUCCUCAGAUGGGAAGAAUUCUAUCCCCUGAAGAGGUUCAAAGUGGCCCACCCGUGGAAAGUUACAACUCUCAAGAAGUUUAUUGAUAGAGAUCGUCUUCUUUGCCACUUUCUUACUUAAGCAUAAUCGCCAACCCCAACUUGGACACCAAUUGAAACACUUCAUACGUUCUAUUUCAGCUUCCAAACACUGGGUUUCUUCAAGUUCUUUCUCUGCCCUUUUUCGCCAGUCUUGGACAUCCUUCUCAAUUACCUCAUUUUGCCUUGUAGCCUCUUCGACAUCAUUUUUUAUCCGAUCACUUUUCAAUUCAAGUUCAUUUCUCCGAUUCUUGAAUUCUUCAACAAUUUUCCCAAAUCGGAAAAAGUAACUAACAUAAGGUGAUGCAUAUUCUGUUGUAAGGUUUCCUACAGCAUUGGCAGCAGCAGAGGCAGCAAAUUCAGCAGCCAUUCUUUGAUGAUCUGAGAUUGAAAAACAACUUUAAUGAUUAGUAAACAUAUAAACUGUUGGAAAAAUCAACACGCACACGCAAAACCUAUACACAAAAUAGCAAGCUCAAAUUAAGAAUAAAAAUACACAAAUAUAUUUGUUUCAGUCCAACUCAAGAUCGUCUACUCCAAACCUAAUUUACUAACAAAUAAAAAAAAAUCUAUAGGUAUUGAUUGUUGAGUAAUUGAUAUGUUAUGAUGUAUGUUUGUAAUUCUCUAUAACUAGUAAAUUUUGUGUCUUAUCCAUGAACGUAAAUCAGUUGGAUCGAACUACGUUAAAUUAUUAUAUUAAAUUAUUAUCUUUUGUGUAUUUAAUUAAUUAUUUGAUUUCGUUUCUGCUGACGUGAUUAGAUUGAGACCUUUUGGCCUAACAUAAACAGCUAGAGAGACAAAAGAAAUUGUGAAUGUUUGCAAAGUACCUUAAUUACUUUGAGAGCUAAUUGUAAAGUAGAAGAGAAAAUUUGUUGAUGGAUCAACUUGGAAAUUGAAAAUUCUGCAAAUGGAAGAAAUUAUUCAGUGUUCAUGCGUAUAUUAAGAAUAUAUGUUACAUGUGUUAAGAGUAAAGGCAGUAUAUAUUUUGAUCAUUAAUCCAUCUAAUAUUUUCUCAAUUUUUAAAUAAAUCCAUUUAUUUCUUUUUUUUUUGCCUUAUAAGUGCAGUCUUUUAUUUAAAUAAGGUAGGGAAACAAACAAGUAAACAACUUUUGAGCAUAUAAAAAAUUAUGGAAAUAAAAAUAAUUAUUCAAGCAUGCCAAAUUGGGGAUGGGCAUUCUAAAUUAAGCUGUGAGAAUUUUUUACAUCAUCAACCUUAAUAGAAAUUAAAAGAAAAAGGAAAUAAAGAUUAGUAACAAUAAGAUUAUAAGAACAUGGAAUUUUUUUUCUAUUUUUUUGAAGUUAAACGCAAAUGAGAAUAGAUAUAGCAUGAAAUAAAAUAGAAAAUAGAACUCAAGGAAACCACAAAAUUAUACGGCAAUACUAUUUUUGCUUCUUUUAUUGUAGAGAGAAAAACACAAGAAAAAAAAAAAAAGAGACAAAUAUACCUAGGACAUAUGAAUUUUCAGGAUUCAAGAUCGAGCUUUUUAUUUCUAUCCACACAGUUUUUAUUUUAUUUUAUUUUAUUUUUUUGAGUUCAAAGAAAACUUAAGUAGAAACCAACCUUAUUUGAAAUGAGCAAAAGAGUUUCAAAGUUGUGCUUGAAAUUUUCGUGACUGAUUGAAACCACAGAGAAAAGUUUGAUCAAAGACUUGUUUAAUUUCUUUGGAUUCUCUUUUAUCACCGUUAUUAUCAUUUUACUUGCUCAAAUCCUUAGUGAAAGACAGCUGGACAAGGGCCCAAGCAUCUUUUCCUUUUGUUGGGAGUCGGGUGCAAUGCCUUCAAGUCACACGUUUACUUUUUCUUUUUUGUGCUCGGUUAAUUUUUUUUUUCCUCGAAGAAAACUGAUCUAUUGAUGGUAGUGGGACAUGGCGUCAUUGAUGCACUUUUGAAUUAUGGACCCUUGUUUUUGUCUUUUUUCAAUUAUUUUUCAACAAUCACUUUCUCACCUACUUUAUUUUGUUGGUUUUCAUGGAUUAAAUUUAUUUUUCAACAAUAAUUUUCUCACUUACUCAGUUUUGUUGGUUUUCAUGGAUUGGAUUCUGUAUCAAAUUAUGCCCCAUGCAAUGCAAUUAGAUUUUAUGACCAAACAAACAAAAGAAAGGGUUAAUGAUUCUAAAUCUCUUGGUUUUUUUUUUUUUCCUCCAUUGAUUCAUCCUACCACUUGAAAGAAGUAAAUUUUUAGAUUAUAUUAGCUGAUAUGCUGCGCAGCAUCUUAAUUACUUUGGGAGCAAUAUAUCGCUCCAUGAAAAUGAAAAUAAAAGAGAACAAAUGGUUGAUGGAUCAAUUUGGAAAUAAAAAUUCUGCAGAUGGAAGAAAUUAUUCAGUGUUCAUGCAUAUAUUAAGAAUAUACGUUACAUGUAUUAGAUUAAGGGCAUAGUAUAUAUUUUUAUCAUUAAUCUAUCUAAUAUUUUCUCAAUUUUUAAAUGAAUCUAUUUAUUUCACUUUUUUCCUUAUAAAUGCAGUUUUUUUUUUUUUUAAUAUGCCAGGGAAACAAAUAAGUAAACAACUUUUGAGCAUAUAAAAAACAAUGGAAAUAAAAAUAAUUAUUUAAGCAUACCUAAUUGGGGAUGGAUCUUCUAAAUUAAACUGUGUGGACUCUUUACAUCACCAACUCCAGAUAUCAUUAGGAAAGGAGAAUUAAGGACCAACCUAAAUAGAAAUUAAAAGAAAAAGGUAAUAAAGAUUAGCAGCAAUAAAAUUAUAAGAACAUUGAAUUAUUUUUUUUUCUUGUUUCUGAAGUUAAAAGCAAAUCAAAAUAGAUAUAGCAUAAAACAAAAUAGAAAAUAGAAAGCAAAGAAAGCAAAAUAUAUAGAUACAGCAACACUAUUUUCUUUCAUUCUAGAGAGAAAAACACAGCAAACAAGAUAAAUAUACCUAGGAAACAUGAAUUCUCAGGAUCCACGCAGUUUUUUUUUUUUUGAGUUCAAAGAAAACUUAAGUAGAAACCAACCUUGUUUCAAAUGAACAAAGAGCUUCAAGUAUCCACCAAUAUUGAUAAGUUGUGCUGGAAAUCCUUGUGACCGAUUGAACCUACAAAGAAAAGUUUGAUCAAAGACUUUUUUAAUUUCUUUUGAUUCUCUUUUAUCAUCAUUAUUACCAUUUUCCUUGUUCAAAUCCUUAGUGUAAGACAACUAGAAAACGGCUUAUAAAAAGAUUUUCUAUUCUUUUAUAAGGUACCAAUUAUUUGAUAAUUGAUAGUUGCAAAUAAAUUAUUCACACAAAUGCAGAAUUCCCUAUCUUAACUCUUUGACCAUUUACCCUUUUAACUAUUUUGUCUGAUAGGAAAAAAAAUUAAGUUAAAGAAAUAGAGAAAUGGAGAGAGAAGAGGUACCUCAAGCUCACCCAUUUCUUUGGGAAAAUCAAAGAAAUUUAAAAAGAAAGGGUAAAAAAAUCAACAACAAUAAAAUUAUAAGUACAUGAAAUUAUGUUUUUCUUUCUUUGGAGCUAAAAGCAAAGCAAAAUAGAUAUAGCAUGAAACAAAAUAAUACAGCACUUUUUUAUCAUUAAAAAUGAAAAAGAAAGUAGAAAGCAAUGAAAGCCAAAAAGAUAUAGCAACAUUAUUUAAGUUAAUGUCUUUAUUAUUCCUCUUACCUGUUUAAGUUAAUACUUUUUAUGAAAUUUUGAAUUUUAAAAAUAUCAAAUUUUUUACGUUUUUUAUCCUUAAAAGUAUUUCUUAGCCAUUUAUCUUAACUAUUUACUGGAAAAUAAUUAAUUUAAAUUUUAUGUUGCCUACUUUAUUCUUAUUUUCAUUUAUCAUUUUUAAGGUGUUAUAACACUUUUAAUUCAUUUUACGUCAAAUGAUAUUAAUAUUAUCAUCUUUUUUAUUUGUUUAUGUUAUUAAGUUUUUUUAAAGAAGUUUGUUUUUAUUUUCAAAUAUUAAUUUUUUACAUUUUCUUUUUUAGACCUUAAAAUAUUUUUUAGCGAUUAACCUAAAAAUAUUUAUAAAAAAAUAAUUAAUUUAAAUUUUACAUUACCAAUUUAAUUAUAUAUAUUAAAAUAAUAUUGUCUAACAUCUACUCUUAUAUUAUAUUAUGAUUAUAAUUUUUAUAGCCAUUUCUUAAUCCAUUACGAUAUUUUAAACAUAUUUUACAUCAAUAUGAAUUUUAUUACUCUUACAUGUUUAUGUUUAUUCUUUAUCUUUUAUUAUGUUUAAAAUUUUCAUAACUCUUUUUUAUGAUGUUAUGAUACUUCUAAAUCAUUUUAUACUAAUUGAUAUGAAUUUUAUUAUUCUUCUCGUUUAUUUACACUAGUAAUUUUUUGAAAAAAAAAUAUUUCUAACUCCUUUAAACUUAAUUGAUAUCAAUUUUAUCAUUAUUCUCAAAUAUUUAUGUUUAUUCUUACUUUUUAUUACAUUUUAAAUUUUUAUAAAUGUUUAUUUUAAUGUUACGACACUUCUAUUUAAGUUAUUUUUAAAUUUUUAAAAUUUAAAAUUUUUUAAUAUUAAUUUUUUAACAUUAACUUUUUAGCCUUUAAAGUAUUUUUAGCCAUUGGCUUAAAAAAUUUACAAAAAAAAUAAUUAUUAAUUUAAAUUUUACAUUUCAAACUUAAUUAUUUAUGUUAAAAUAAUAAUUUUUACACUUAUUUUUUUCUUAAUUAUUUAUGUUAAAAUAAUAUAUUUUUAUACUUUUUUUCUUAAUUAUUUAUGUUAAAAGAUUUAUAACUUUUUUUUAUAAUACUUAUGACCUAUUUUACAACAAAUUAUACUAAUUUUAUAAUUUUUCACACAUGUUUACAUUAAUAAUUUUUUUGAUAUUUUAUUUUCAAAAAUUAAUUUUUUAACUUUUAAGUAUUUUUUAGUCAUUGCCCAAAAAAAUAUUUACAUGAAUAUAAUUAAUUUAAAUUUUACAUAACAACUUAAUCAUUUAUGUUAAAAAAUAUCUUUUUACGAUUUAUUUUUAUCUUUCUAUCAUAUUUAAAAUUUUUAUAAUUUUAUCUUAAGUUAUUACGUCACUUUUAACCUAUUUUAAACUAACUGCUAUAAAUUUUAUUAUUCUUCUCAAUUAUUUACAUUAAUAAUUUUUUACAAUAAAUUUUAAAAUAUUAACUUUUUAUGUUAUCAUUUUAGCCUUGAAAGUAUUUGUUUAGCCAUUGAUGUUAUAUAUCUAUUAAUUAAAAAAAUAAUUAAUUUAAAUUUUACAUUACUAAUGUAAUUAUUUAUGUUAAAAUAAUAUCUUUCAACACUUAAAUUUUGCUUGGUUAAAAUUAAAGAUAAAAAAAAAUCAUGAGUGAAAAACUAAUUAAUCCAAUAAUUAAAAUUUAUAAUAUAUUUUUUAUUUUAUACUUUAAAUUAAAAAGUUGUAUCCUUACCCCUUUUCAUUUUCUAUAUCAAGUAAAACCUUAUUCUUACCUUUUAUUACUUUAAAAAUUUUCAUAACUUAUUUUUUAAAAUGUUACAAUAUUUUUAAUAAAUUUUAUGUCAAUUCAAACAAAUUUUAUUUUUUCUAGAUCUCACAUCUUUACAUCAAUAUUUUUUUAUUCUUUCAUUUUAAAAAAAUAAUUCUUUUAUAUUUUCCUUGAAAUUAUUUUUAUUUUAAUAUUUUAUUAAUUUAUAUAGAAUCAUAUUUUUUGUUUAAUAGUACUUUUUAGCUAUUUUAAGAGAUACUAAUUAUUUUAAAUUUUUUAAAUAUAUUUUUAUUAUUUUUUAUUUUUAAGUAAAUUCGUAAACAAGUAAGAAAGUGAAAAAUCGAAGACUAAUCGAGGCAAACGAGAAAUGAAGUUGAACAUAGCAAAAAUUACGGAGAAUAAAAUUUAUAUAUAAUGGUUUAUUGAAGCAUACCUCACUUGAGAUGGAUCUUCAAAAGCCGUAUGGAUCAGUAAAGGAAAAUCAAGGACCAGUUUUUUUUUUUUUCUAUUUCCCUGUUAAAAGAACAGAAAAUUAGAAAUCAAUAAAAGCCAAAAAAAAAAAAACGCUUUUUUUAGUUAUAAAAGCAAAGUAAAAAAUCAAGGAAAUUAAAAAAGCACCAAAAUUUUUUUGUUGAGUUAUAAAAAGAAGAGCAAUAAAGCAGAAAUCAAGCAAAGGAUUUGGUACUCUAGCUAGCUGGAAGAUGUGGAGAUAAUGAUAUAAGACGAUGCUUGAUUGCCUCGAUGGAAACUGUUUGAGGAGAGAGCUGUAAGCGAAAGGUAAGGCAGCAAUACAAAAGAAGAAAAGAUAGAAAUAACAAAGAAAUGUGAAGUUUCAAGAUCCAACAACUUUGCUUCAAUUGAAUAAAAAAUUCAACCAUCAAAGAACUUCGCUUCCGAGAAAAGUAAGUUUCACCAAAGACUUCUUCAAUUUCUUUGGAGUCUUUGUUUAUUAUUAUUGUAAUUACUAUUUUUCUUAUUCUAAUCCUUAGUGGAAGGCGAUUAGACUAGGGCCUGAACGUCUCUUUCUCUUCUUCGAAGCUGUACCUUCUUUAAUUUAUCACUAUAUUACGGUUUAAUAUUAAACUGUCAUUGGAUUUUUAAUUUAUUAAUUUUUAAAUAAAAAUAAUAAAAUAAAAAUAUUUUCAUAAUAUUCUAUUAAUAUAAGUGAUAAAUUAUGCAACAUGCGAAACAAGAUUUAAUGCCGAACAAAUUAAAUCUUCAUUUUAAUUAAAAUAAAGAGACAAAUUUCAUAAUUUGAUAUUUAUGGAUAAUUUUAUUAAUUGUUUCAUAAAUUAAAAAAAUCUAAAAAAUUAUUUGAAGAGUUGUAUAAAAAAUAUACAAAAUUUUAUUAAAUACAUUAAUAGUAAAAUUUUUUAAUUUUAUAAACAAAAUAACACAUCUUUUGUAUAUUUAAAAAAUUUAAUUUAAAAAAUAUAUAUUAUCAUUUUAAUUUAAUUUGUAAAAUUAAAAGAUUUUACUAUUAAUUUAUCAAAUAUUUUUUAAAAUAUAAUUUCAAAAUUUUGUGAAAAAAUAUGAAUGAAUUAAUUUUAAAAAUUGAAAUCAACAUCAAAAUAAAAAACAUUAGAAACGUAUUAGUUUUUCUGCAUUGUCAUUACCAUUUUUCUUAUUCAAAUCCUUGUGAAAGACAGCAAGAGAAGGGGCCAAGCAUCGACUUCUUUUCCUAAAUUAUUUAACCAGUAAAUAAAAGUGCAAUGGCACAUGGAUUAGCAACAAAUUGACCGCACAUGCAGGUCACGUGCGCUUUAACGGUCCCUAACAGGUUUGUUAAAGUUUUGUUUGUUUCUUUGUUGGUGUAAUCUUUUUUAGUGUUUCUAAAAAAAAAAAGGUUUUUUCCUUAUCAUUCACGGCGCAAACAGUGGUUUUAUGACGCGAUGCUUUUAAGAGGCAUAAGAUCUCAAUUUUAUUCAUAUUUAAUAAAAAAUUUUAAUUUUUUAUCUGAACGAAAAUAAAAAAUAAAUAUUAUAUUAUAUAAAUAAAAAUAAAUAUAACUUUAAAUUUUUAUAAAAUACGAAUAUGAAAACAAGUAUGGAAAAAAUAAUAUAACACUUGCUUCAUUUUUAUAUUUUAUACUUAUUUAUAUAUAAUUAAUAAAUAAAUUUUUUAUUAAAUAAUAUAAAAUAUUAUUUUAAAUUAAUUAAAAUAAAUAUAUUUUUAUUAAAAAAUAUAUUAAUAGAUAUUUAUUAAAAAUUAUCUAUAAAUACAAAUUAAAAAUAAAAAAAUAUUUUUUUAUUUUUUUAAAGAUUAUAAAAAUAAAAAUUACUCAUAUUUAUUAAAUAUUUAUAAAAAUAAAAUAAAUUUAAAAUUUUAUUAAAUAUAAAUAUGAAAAUAAAUAUAAUAUAUAAAUAUAUAAAUAAAAAUAACAAAUAUUUUUAUCUUUACCUGUAUCCUAGUCUUUCACGUCCCUAAAAAUAAACGAAUGAGAGACAACAACCAAUUACGACUUACGAGGGGAGCAAGAGCUUGUAUUUGGUCUGCAUCGGGGACCACCCCCUCACCCUAACAUAUUCCCUUAUCUUGAAAUCCACAUUUCCACGUUGUUUGAUCUUUAGCUUUAACGAAAUGCCACCCUCAAUUUCAAAUAUUAAACUGUGUAGCAUUAAUUUUGACACUAACUUCUUGUUUCAUUCGAAUCCAAUUUUUAAAUGCCUUUUUAAAUAACUUGAGAGCCGAAUGUCACGCAAUUUUCUUGGAUUCUCUUUUGUUAUAAUUAUUACCCUUUUUUGUUAUUCAAAUUUUAGUGGAAGAGAGCUAGCUAAAGUCUGUUUAUAUUUUUAUAAAAGAGAAUUUGAUUUACGAAAUUUUAAAUUUUAACAGAUAAAAUGAUUUUUGAAUAAGUGUAAAUUUUCAAUAAUAAAUGAUUUUUUAUGUUAUUCAAAUAUUAAUUUUUAUAUUUGGUUCAAAAAAAAUUAAAUUACUUAAUAAAAGAUUUUUAUUAUAAUGAUUUUCUUUACAUGUGAAUAAUCACGUGAUAAUUAUUUUAAUUACUAUUAUAUUAUUAAAAUUAAACAUCUGACAGUUAUUAAACAAUUAAAAUAUAAAAAGGCUUUUAUUUUUAUAUUGUUAAAAAUAAGCUAGUUUAUUAUGAUAAAAAUAUUUUUUUUCAAAAAAAGAAUAUAUAUAUGAUAAAAUAAAAAACAUAAUAUCUAAUUGAAACAAAAUACAAUUAAAAACACAAUCUUUAAUUGAUGUUUAAAAAAAUAAUUUGCAAAAUUAUGUUUCUAAAAGUAUAAACGUAAUCUUUAAUUGAAAAAAAAUUACUACAGAUUACAUUUUUUAAAUUAGAUUAUCUUAACUGAUAUGCAAUGAAACUCCACUAUUUGUAGUAAUUUACCAAAAUUAAAAUCUUAGAGUAAAAUUUUCUAAGAUAAGAAUUGCUUGAUAAUUGAUAGUUGUACACGAAGUUUUCACACAAAGAAGAAUUCCCCAACUCCAAAUCUCAAACCAUUUACUAUUUUUCCUUCCUAAAAUACAUGAACUCACGGUUGGGGAAGGGAUUUUCAUGAAACCAUUGAAAUCGUAAAACCAAUGAAUGGUGAACUAGGUUAAUUCUUUCUUUUCUUAAUUUAUACGAAAUUAAUUUCAAAAAAUUAUUUCAUCCAUUCUAAAUGGAACUCUGUUCUUUGCAAAGACAGAGACAGUUCUACUUAUGGUAGUUUGCUACUAAGCUAACUCCAUGAUUAACUAAUUAAAUAUUAAUUAUAGCCAUAUCUGCAUGCUUCAAACUUAAUUAGAACAAGACGAGGAAAACAAUUUCAUCAACACAAAUUGAAAUUUAAUUAUUUCUAAUUACUUCUAAUGAGAUUGAGAUAUGUGCUAUAUAAAUAUUCUCAUAUUAUCUAUGAAAACUAAUUUAAAGUAUCAAUUCCAAUUAUUUAAAUAAAAAAUUCUUUCAUAAAUUCUCUUUUAUCUAAUUUUUGAGCAUACACCUGAAAUCUUUGAAUUUGAGGUGCAAAAUUUGUGAACAGUUCUUUGAAGUAAAUCUUCUAAUGUUCGUUAAAUUAGAAAGAUGAAAGAAUUAGUGAAAAACAUACAAGGGCCCAAUCAUCCUUCUCUUAUGGAGUUUCGCUUCACUUUUCUUUUCUUUUUUUUCCUAAAUUAUUCAACCAAUAAAUAACAGUGUAAUAGAAAGAGGAAUGCAUGGGUCUUAAAAGAUGUAAAUUAGAUUUGAUAAUUUAUGUAUUUGUAUUAUAUAAAAUAUUAAUAUCAAUAUAUUUAUAUAAUAUUUUACAUAAAAAUUAUAUAUUAUAAUUCAUGUCAGAUAUGAAAAUAUAAAAUAUAUAUUUUUUAAUUUUAUUAAAUUCAUUUGUGGUUUUUGUUAAGAUUUUGAACUGUCUUAUUUUUUAUAUCUAUUACUCGUAUCAUUUUAUAUUAUAUUAUUAUAUUAUAUUUUAAAUUAUUAAGUUUAAUAAACUUUAAUUUCUUUUGACUUAUUUUUUAUAAUUAUUUUAUUUUUUAUGCUUUUUUAUUCAUAAUUCUGUUCUUAUUCAAGGGAUUAGAUUCUAUACCAAAUUAUGCCCCAUGAGAUGCAAGAUUUAAUGACUAAACAAAGAAAGAGUUCAUGAAUCAAAAUCUUUUUUUUCUCCUUCCUUUAUUUAUCCUAACAUAUAUAUAUAUAUAAACCCUAAAAUUUCAGUAGCAUACAACAAAAUUUUUAUAUCAUAAUAAAUUUAGUACUUAAAUUUUUUAAAACUAAAAAUUUUAUAUUUACUUUUUUAAUAUUGAAUUGGUUCAAUUUGUCAAUGAGUACUUCAAUUAAAGUACGAAAACAUUUCAUGCAAUUCUUGUGCAUAUUAUCUUUAGCAUAUUUGGAAGUUUAUUUAGACUCUAAAAUAUUUUGAUAAAAGACUGAAAAUCUGAACAUCUAUGAGUUUUCAUUUUUUUUAUUAAUAUAUGUUUUAUGUAUGCUUGUUGCAGGACUCUCCUUUUGAUUGAAGUUGUUGAAAAUGCUGUGAAAAUGUCUACUCUUUUCACUUUUCUUACCAGUAAUUUAUGGAAUUUUAUUUAUUAUCAUUAGAAAUUUUUGUUUCAAUGGUUUUUUAUUUCUCUUGGAUUUCCUCUAUGUUACUGUCAUUGUGCAUGUAUUGCAUGUUUACAAUUUGUUAUUAUUAUUGAAUAAAGGUUCUUUUUUAUUAUUAUUAUUUUGUAAUUAUGAUUUAGUUUUGUUAGUAAAUUAAUGUGUAGCUUGUCUCAUAGAUUGCAUUGCAUGCAUGAGGUGAGUUUCUCUGUUUCAGUUGUAUAGAAAAUAUUGCAUGAAGCUUUAUUAUUAUUAAUUUUAUAUGAAAUCAGUGUUCAUAAAUCCCAGAAAAGAAACAUGUUAAUGGGGGGGUUAUCUUUAGUCUUCAAUGAAUCCAAGGCUGGGGGGAGAUCUAUACCGUGUUAUUUUUAUCAAAAUAUGCCGUUUUAGUCGCUGAAAGUUUGAAUUGUUGGAACAAUUUUCAGAUUUUUUAUGGAAAUUCGAAGUGAUUCUUUCAUUGUUGGGAAAAAAAUUAGAGGCUAUUUUUUUUUCAUAGGAACACAAACAGAUAGAUUUGUAUUGAAAUAUGUUCAGCCAUGAUUUCUUGGUUUUUAUUCCUAUUGUAAUUAGCUAAUUCAACCUGUUGGCCAUGAUUUUGGGUCAUGUUGCUUUGCUGGAUUUAUACAUGUUGAAUGAGUAUUAUUGAUGUCCACAUUACCUAUGUUUGAUAAGAAACAUGAUUGUGACUGCCCCAUUUUCUCCUGCAAUAGCUCGAUAGCUUCACUAAAUAAGAUACAUGAUUGUUGGCUGGGAUAUUCCUAAAGAGGAUGGGUGUUCAACAUGGCCUUAAUGACCUGCAGUGGUGUUGAGAAGGCAACAUUCUUGCUUGAUGAUUUAUGAAGUUGAAUAUUUGCCUUUUGACAUGUUUGUUAAACACGGUUGUGCUUUGUACCAGCUUGGUUGUAUAGGCUAUAAUGUACCUGCCCUUUUGUCUUCCAGGAAAGAAACAGUAUUAAGAUCUGUGGAAAAAGCAAUUUCUUUGCUGCAAAUUUGUGAUGGAUCAAGACAAUGACCAAGAGAAUAAAUCUGAUGCAUCAGCAGAUGUUCCGCUGAAACGCAGACGUGGUCGCCCGAGGAAACAUCCGAAAUAUAAUCUAAAAUAGGGGGAGAAUCCAAAUCUGAACUGUGCAGGGAAUACCCGUAUCCGACCUGGAUUUGAAGGGGUGAACGGAAAUCAACCCCGUCAAGCAAAUUCAAUCAAUGAUGCAAAUGAUAUAAUGGUGGGUCAUUCUGUUUAUAGUAUUAUUGAGGCAGCAUUUGUUGCAGGAUAUUUGCUCACUGUUAGCGUUGGUAACUCUGACACCACUUUAAGGGGUGUGGUUUUCAAGCCUGGCCAUUUUGUUCUUGUUUCAGCUGAGAAUGAUGUGGCACCAAAUGUUCAAAUGAUCAGAAGAAAUGAGAUUUCCUUCCCAAGGGAGAGGAAUGAGCAGCAUGUCAAUUCUCAUAGAAAUGGAUCUGCUCAUUCAUUCAAUGAACCGGUUGUUGUCAACCAGGUGCCUCCAGCCUGGUUUUCAAACCUUGAAGGCUCAAAAAGCAAACAUGUGCAGUCGGUGUCAACACAAUCUGCUUCUCCACUAAUGACCAGAGGCAUUGUGGUGCCCGUUGUGCUCCAAACUGCUAAUUUAUCAAACCGCGAAUCAGUUUCCAACCAACCAUCUCUGGUUGCAAGCCGACCAGCUCAUUUGGUGGCCUCUAAAGGCAAACAAGUGUCUGAAGCUGCUGAUACAUCAAAUGAGGGAAAACCCACCAACCAGAUGCCAACAGUUAGAAAUCAAAUAUUUCCUACUCAAUCUCUAAGUAGUAACCACAGCAUGCCAAAAGGCAUACAAAGUGAAACUGUUUCAUAUAAUCAACCCGCAACAGAGUUUUUUCUGGAGACAGAAGCCAUGUCAAUGACUGGCAUGCCUUUUGAAAAACUAUUAACUGUAGUCAUGAAAAGAACUCAAGUACCCCCACAACCAUCGGAGGCUCAAGGUGGUAAUUUGUUGGUCAAAGAUUCUGGACACAACCUGGAAGAUGAUCAGCCACUCUCUAUUGAACCAAUGCAAGCUGUACAGCCUGCUCAUUCUUCUUCUGUGCUCAAACAUUUGGAAAAUUUUCGAACUGAAAAGAUGACUGAGCUGCUGAAGGUAUAAUAAUUUUGAACUAGAAUUUUAUUUCCAUUUGACUAAUCUAUUAUGCCCUGAGGUUUGACAUAGACUGAUACACUGCACUCCUCUUCAAGGCUGUUCGGAAAACAAGAGGGAAACUCAAGCAUCUCGCACUGAAGAGCUAGCCGUUAGAUUUGGAGAAACUUAGCAUGGAGAUAAAGAAAUGCAUGAUUCCAAUAAGCAUUCACAGGUUUCGAGGGUCUAAUUCAGCAGGCAUUUUACUAGCAGGUUCUGGACUAGCUCACAUUUUGUAGAGUGUUUUAGUUGAAUCAGAUAGAUUCUGUAAAAUGUUUUAGAUCCUAAACUAGGCGAAGGAGCUAAAUGAUCCCUGGACGGUUAUGACCUUAAAGCACAAAAUGCUGCACGGGAUCUUCUAUCCUUUAACCUGAGGAUCAAAACUGAUACCAUUACUUGGAAUUAAAGAUUUUAUUUUUGUCACUUCACAGAUUUAUAGAAAAUCUAUCUUCAUUUUACUUUAUGCUUUGUCAUCAUUUAGAGUCCAUUUAGGAGUCCGACUGGAGGGCUCCCCAUAGCGCAUUUUAUGGUUGGACACUUAGUAAACGGCCCUUAUUAAAUAUAUGCGGCUUCCUUAUAUUAAGAUCAUCUAAGCAUUGAGCACGGGACUUGUGAUGUGGUCAAUUAAGUGGAAACUAAAUGUCUUGAAUAGAAUACAAAAUCAUCAGUGGCUAUGGAGAACGUUUGCAAAUGAUUAUGAUGUCAAAAUCAUGAUGGGGGGUUUUUCCCGAACCGUGUUUGUUUCAGAACUCAGGUUAACUCUUGCACUGGGUUAAACCUUGCUAUAGAUUAGCCUCCAUUCUUCUACCAAUUCAUCAUUGAGAGUCUUACCUAGCUGUCACCGCCUCGACAGCCUCUUCAUGAAGUACAAAUCUUCAGUAGAACGUUUAUUGAUUAAUUGAUUGUAGAUUUGAAUACGAAGUUUAGUUUAAUUGGUUUAUGUAAUCGUUUUUAAAAAAUAACAUUCAACAAGUCUAAAAUUCGAAUAUUAAGCUAUUAGCACUUAUAACUUCUAUUCUUAAAUUGUGAUCUUAUUCAAUAAAUAAAUUUAUGAUUUGAGUUAAUUCUUCAUUCGUAAAGAACCUUAAGUUUUUUGGUUGUCAAAAUUACAUAAAUUAGUUACCUUAUAAGGCUAUGCUGCUCUAUCUAUUGUAUCAAUAACCAAAUUGAUGAAAAAAAUAACAUACAAGCCAAUUUCACUUGCAUUGUUGAAUCGCUUUAUGAUAGUUUAAAACUCUUAUAAUAUUGCUAAUGAUCUUAUCUUGGUUGCAAGAGGAGGUUCUUGAAAUAUUCAAAUCUCAAAGUUCAAGUUCUAUUAUUCUUAGAUUUGAUCUAAUUGUAUAUUCGAUUUGUUUAGUUUUAUGUUGAUUCACUAAUUUAUUAUAAUAAUUAUUAUUGAAAAUGAAAGAAUUUGAAUCCCAUGUACCAUUCCUUGAGUUAUGUGCUCUCAAUUCGUAUAUAUUUGAUAAUUUAUGUAUUCAUAUCAUGUAAAAAAUUGAUAUUUUGUAUAUUUGUAUCAUAUUUACGUAAAAAUUAUAUAUCAUAAUUCAUGCCAACAUUAAAAAUAUAAAAUAUAUUUUUUUAUUUUUGUUAAAGCAUAUAUAAUUUUUGUUAAAAUUUUAGUCAAUAUCACUUUUGUUUUUUUGUUUUCCAAUAUAGAUCCAAAUUAAUUAUUCGAACAAAAUAUCGAACCUAUAUAUAAGCAAAUAUUCCUUUAUCAUCGAAUUAAACCUAAGUAAGGUAAAUAACUUUCUUUUAAUUUCUGUCUAAAAAUUUUCUUUUAACUUCAUCAAUAACCUUAAACAUGGGUUUUCAUUUGUACCUAUACAAUUUGUGGUUUCUGAGUUUCUUUUAUCAUUAAACCAACAUGUGUUUGAUUUGGGUUAUAUUUUUACUUUUCCUUUGUAAAUGUCAUGAAUUCAUCAUCAUUAUUGCAUGAUAUCUUUUGGUAUUAUUGUUGGGGCUGCUUCUACAAAAUUUGCCACAACUUAAAACAAAAAAUCUCCACAAAGUAUAUUGUAGGUAAAUUUGUGGUAUAAUUAACUUCAAAUUCAAUUUAAUUCAUUAUAUUUUUAGAUACUGAUAUGGGUCUUGACACAUUUUGAACACUUUAAUGUUCAUAUUUGUAGGAUACUUUGAUUUUUAAAUUUAAUAUAAAAGAUUAUCAAAAACAAAAUUUAUUCAUGUUCGAUGUCCUAUCACACAAGUUCAUAUAACAUAAUGUAUAAAUAGUAUACCACUGAAUUAAUUAUUAAAUCACCACAACAAAAACAAGCAUGGAAGACCAUCUAUGACAUGCAAGUAGACAAAAAUAUGUACUACUCAUCCAUACAAGCUGCUAUAGGGAACUAAUAAGGAACCAGCAAACCAAUCUAAACAUAAAAAACCAUGUUUCUUAAGAGUACAUGAAUUUUGCCAACAAUCCCUAGGCCAGGAUAUAAGAAAAGGAUUUAUGAGACCUGUAAGCUUAAGUUCGAGUUCAAAUAUAAAAAAAAAAAAAGCCGUGACAUUUGUCUUAAAUGAAUGGCUAAACAUGGCUUUAUUUUACAAUAUCAAACAAGUAAAUGCAAUGCAACAUAGGGUAAACUAGUCCUACACUGCAAAGUAAAGCUCAAAAAGUAGAGAAAGUAGAGAUCCAAUCAAUUGACAGCAUCAUAAAACAAAAAGCUCAAACGAUGAUAAGCACAAUUAAAUAUCAACCACAUAUCAUUUGAGGCAAAAAAUUGAUAAGAAUUUAAAUAAGAAAAUUGAUUAAGGAAAUUAUAAAUAUAUGGAUAGAGGCGGAUUCAAGAUUUUUGUUGGGAAGUAUUUACUUAUAAUAUAUAAAAUACUAUUGACAGAUUUAUCAAUUUUAUCCAUGAAAAAGGUGUUAAGAAGAAAGUUUUGGAUGUUCAUGAAAAUUUUUUCUUUAAAUUUUUUUUAUUUUCUAAAUUUUAAGAGUUUCCAGAAAAAAAUUUAAGGGUAUCAACACAAAGUUUUCCUUAAAUUUUUUUUUAAAUGGACACACCGCAAUACCAUGUAAAUCCGCCUCUGUACAUGGAAAAAUGCAUAACCCCUCCAAUUCCUUCAACUUGUCCUCAAAUUCAUCAACUUCUGUUAAUUGGUUCCUAUCAAGCCAUUUAACAGUCUCAUUAAUGGCCUUCUUGAUCUUCUGCUUGUCUGCCGGGUCAAGUUUUCCAACAAACUAAUCAUCUUUCACGGUUUUCCUCGUAUUGUAUGCGUAGUUCUCGAGGGCAUUCUUGGCCUCCAGCUUUUUCACAUCCUCAUCCUCUACCUUGUAUCUCUCUGCCUCUUACACCAUUAUUUACUUUGUCAUUCCAAAAAAAAAAAAGAAAUCUUGCUUUGACAAUUGAAACCUCAAUGUUGACAAAGUUAUCAACAAAAAGGAAUCAAUAUUUUAAAAGUAAUUUGUUAUUCAGUAUAUCAAAUUUGUUCUCCAUCUAUUUUUAUAGACCAUGAAAAGCAAUGGGAAAGUACCACUAGGCAAUCUUCCAUGGUGAAAUUACGAGACAAUUUUCAUGUAUGAUGCUAAAAGUUAUCGAGCAGGAAAAGGGCAAUUCUUUCUUCUUUUUAUUGGUAGGUAUAAUAAAACAUUUCCCAUUUGUAAGCUACGAAUGCAUUAUUGUUACUAAACUUGGUAACAAAAACUCAUUUCACAAAGGUGAUAAGUUGCUUUUCAACCAUUCUUAAAAAGUUUUGAACUCUACAUAGUUCCAAUCUGAAUAUUUAUACACAAACUGAAUCAACAAAGAAACUUAACAUUGUUAUCAUCUUAUUGCGCGCUUUAUAUUCUCAUAUUUACUUCUGACAGGUCAUAACCAUCUAAAAGUUAAGGGUCCAGCCAGUCGAGUUUACUCAUAACUUGAUGAUGCCUCCAUGGAGUUCCAAGAAGGAAAUAUAGUGCCAGCCGGAAGUCAACAAGAAAAAAUUGCACAAAAACUGCCAAAGAGCAUAUUCUAAUAAAUAAGAGGAUAAAGAAUGAUUAUACCUUUCACAUAGCUGAAAGCUUUUACAAAGACCGCAAAACCAUCGCCAUCCGGAUAAUAUAGGUCUAUGGCAACAUAUGCAGACAAACUGCAGGUGGGCAAUGAUAGAGUCAUCCUUAAUAGGUAGAAUAUUUUGGCCCAGCUACCAAAAGAAACAAUGAAAUCAAAUAUUAAGUGACUAUUAUAGUUGCAUAAAAAAGGAUUCAAUAAAAAGAAAUAACUAAACAGAUCUAAAAUAGCAUGUUUUCAUAAUUACAUCUACCGCAUGUAAUUUCUUUGUCUAAUUCCAGUGUGCUUAAAGGAAUAGUCAAAAAAAUAAAGCUCCUUCCAUAGCAUGAAGGGAAUCGGCCAAAGAAUGUGUCAAGAUGAGCUGACAAAAUAUCAACUAAUUGGUUCGUGAUGGUGGCAGUUAAGGGUCAAAAAACUAUAUGAAAGAGUGUAAAAUUUGGCAUGUCUCCUUCUGAAUGGGUAUCUACACCCCCACCUCAAACACACCAAAAAAAGAAAAGUUAAACUGCAAAAUUUAAUCCAUUUCUCGGCGCAAAUAAUACCGACUACAAAAACUGAAAGAAAGUGAUCUAUCAAAUUCAUUCAUGCUUAGGCUUGAACAUUUAACUAUAAAAGCUACAGCUAACUCCACAAGGUUCAUCAAUUUAUCCAUGGUUUUAAAAUAAAAUAUUUUUAAAGACCAUGGUUUUUAAAACUCAGAAGCAACAACGAUAGAAAAAAUAAAUCUAAAUGGACGGAAACUCAUCUGCUAUGUUUUCAUUGAAGCAUUUCAUUGAACAAAUAACAAGCAUCAUAUAAAAUGCCUUAAUUUGAUGUGACCAAAAAUUGCAGAAACGAUGCAAAGUACCAACAGCAAAAACUAAAGAUCUAUUCAAUACCAGUGAAUCAGUUACUAUUAUAAAAAAUUGAACAUUAUUAGUAAAUGGAAAAAAAAAGACUAACGACUUAAAGUAAUGGCCAGAGGAUUACAGAGCAUGGCACGAAAAUGUGAGAAUAUACAGUCAUUUAUCUAUUCAAUACCUUGAAGUAAUUCUCCACAAAAGUGGGAUCCCCAAGAGUUGAAUGCUGCUUACAAUCUCUUACAAUUGGACAGCUUGUGUUUUAAAUUUUUUGCAAUUCUGUUUCUCUUUGAAGACUUCUUUAAAAACAAUAUUACAUUUCAUUAGAUCUGUAAGCAAUACUAAAUUACCACCUGCAAUUACAAUCCCAACUCUCCCAACCCUCACAUGCCACACCCAUCCUUUAUUUUUUUCUGUCAUUUUCCUUUAGACAAAGAAAAGAAACAAGACCAAGUCAAACGUAUUACCUAUAUACUUUACAGCUUGAUUACAAAGGUUCCAACUAAUGGUAGAAAAUUUUUUUUCUAAACAGAAUUAUAAUUAGUAUAUAUGCAUCAAAUACUCUGAAUAUCAUUUAAGGCUUGCUAACAGUAAAUUAAUCAAAAACUUUGGGAUUAAGAUCAAAUUUGUCUCCACAUUUUGAUUUAAUAUUAAAAUUUGUCAUUAUACUAUCAAUUCGUUGAUUUUUGGACAACAUCCUCUUUAAUUUCUUCAGUUUGCCUGAUGGCUUCAUUGACAUCAUGUUGCAAACGACCUUGUACCACUGUCUCUUACCUGAGGUCUUUAACAUAACUGGCAAAACAGAAAACAUAACUAAGAUGAGGAAUUGCAUGCUGGUGCCACCAGAAGCAGGGGCGGAUCCAUGCUUUGAAACAGGGUGUCCAUGGAUUGGAAAACAAGAUUGUUUGACAGAAAAACUUUUCUUGCACACCUCCAAAAUUUUCUGUUGCCACCUUUUCAAUCAGCAAAAUUGAUAAAUCCGUCAUUUAUAUAUAUAUAUAUAUAUAUAUUUAUUUAUAAGUGGACGCUCCCAAUAAAAAAAAAAUUUGGAUUAGCGACAAAUGUCACAGAUAGACCAAAAUUAGCCAUGCCUGAGAAUCGAAAUUUAAAAGACAUUCUGAAUUAGUACAUGGAAUGUCAUUGACAAAUUAAUAAUGAAGGAGAACCUCUGAAACUUCGCUGAGCACCUGAACUCUUAGCAAUUCCUAUCUGAAACUGCCCACAACGGGUGAACAAGUCACGGAUAAAUCAGCUUGAUAUCUAGGAAGGGAAAGAAAACAGAGCCUUCAUAUUUAAUCACUAUUUCUGUAUCUGCAAAAGAAUUAAGACAGAAGCAUGUAGUUAGACAAAAUCAUAGUUUUUACAGAAAGCUCAAUUAAGAUAGAACCAUAGCUUUUUUAGCAAGCUCUCAGCAAAAUCACUUCUUCCCUAGUUCCUACAUGUUGUUAUCCUUUGACCACAACUUGCAAUUAAUGUCCUUAUUACAAAACCUUUUGAAUUUUAAAAUGGAAAAUAUAGGGAAAAAGAUUUUCUCAAAAAUGAUAUAAAGAAAUCAACAUCUGCUCUUUGCACAAACAAUAAGUAAUCUGAAAAGAGGAAGCAAAAUUUUGGAGUAUCCUCCGAGUCUUUGUCUAUUUUGUGAGCUUUAACAGCCUUUACCGCCAAUAAAAUAGUUACAUAUGGAUCCAUUCACUGAUUAAUGAGAAACAAACUAAUUUUCAGAUUCUAGUGGAGAUACGUUAGCCAAAAUUAACACAUAAGUCAUAUUAUGAGAUAAGCAAUACUGAUGUUGAUCAUAGCAAUGCUUUGUUUCAUGUUGGAGAGGUUUCAUUUCUCUUUCAAAAUCCGUGGCGUCACAUGCACAAAAUACAUAGUUCCUUUCUCUGUCCAGAUUAAUGCUAGUCAACACUGCUUUGGUAUGUUCUCCACACCCUCAAGAUUUACAAAAAUCUGCUUUGUCAGCCAUGGUUACAUUCAUCCAUCCUGCCUCGGUUAGCGUAUACUUGAAUGAGCAACUUCAUUCAGGACUUUUUUUUCUUCUAAUUAUUGUAGAAACUCUUGCCAACGAGGGUAUGAGGCGGAUGUAUAGAACAGUAUUCCACCUUCAACUUCCAUGCUUGAACACUAUUCAAUUAUGGUAACAAAGUCAAAGCUAUACACAAUCUGUUUAAAAAAAUGCACUUGAUUGGGAGUCUGCAUUUAUCAAUAUACCAAUAUCCUUGAUGCCCCACAAUUUAUUAGACUAUAGAGAAAAUGUCAUAAUUAACAUAAGAAAUGACAUAAGUAAACACGAAUGCAACCAACAUUGUUCAUUUAUUUAUUUAUUUUUGUUUUUGCAAACUUUUCUUUUUUUUUUUGUUUCCAAAAAUAGAAAUAAGGGAAUAACUAUUAAAUAUCAAUUAAACCACUAAAUUAAAACUUAGGAUAACACAUAAUUCAUUUUUGGUUUGACUCUAAAAAAAAAAUUCUCUAUUGGUAUCAUUAAGCUGUUACAACAUGCAGGUUCAAGAACCAGACCAGUUAGACAAAAUUUUAAAAUUAAAACAAGAAGUCAUUAUUAAUCUUUUUGGAUUACGUAUGAUUAGUCACCUUAAAAGUUUUUUUUAAUAAAAAUUUUAAUUUGAUUAAAACUUAUUAAAAAGAUAUUUUUUUGGCAUGCGAAAUCACAACUAGGUUUAUGAAUAUGGUUAUGUGUGGGGAAGGAUUAACAUCCCACAGAACCCAUUAGAAAUGGCACUAAUUAAUAACAUGUAAUUCUUUUAUUAUAGAUAAAAAAUGGCCUUAAUUUUAAAAUUGAAAAAUAAUUUCUUAAAUCCCAUUUAUUAUUAUAAAACCCCCCUUUUGUCAAUUUUUUUAGAAUCGCUUUAACAAUUUUAAUUCAAUUAAAAUUUAUUAAAAAAAUAUUUUUUUGUAUGCGAAAACACAUCUAAGUAUAGUUGCAUGUGGAGAAGAAUUAGCAUCCUAUAAUACCCACUAAAAAAUGUACCAAUUAAUAACAUGUUAUUUUUUAUUAUUGAUAAAAAAAAUGACCUUAAUUUUAAAAUUUAAAAAUAAUUUCCUAAAUCCUAUUUAUUAUCUUAAAACCUUUUUUUCUGCCAUCCUUUUUAGAAUCGCUUUCUUUAGGAAUAAAAUGAAAAAUUUUCGUUUCAAAACAUUUUUAAAUUCCUCAAUAACUAGAUGAAAUUUAGAAAAAUGUUUUUUCGUUUGGGUAUUUUCAUGAUAAUCCUUAAAACCAAAGAUAAUAUUUUUGGGUAAAGAAUAAUUGUUGAGAAUUUCUCCCAUAUCUAAAUAGGGUCUUAGGAAAUAUUUUACUUAGGAUAUUAUCUUAUUUUAUUUCUAAAAAAUAAGUUUUUUUUCAAAAUCAUCUUUUACUACUUUAUAUAUUUUUUGAGAAUAGUAAAACGCAUGUGAUGUAACAUAAGGCAAAUUAAUGAUGCAAAUAUAAACUAAAAGAUACAAAUGAUAAAUUUAAUUUAUCUUAUAAAUCUUUAAUUUUAUCACUUUUUAUUUUCUUCAUUGUUUUUUUUUAAUAUUUAGUGAUAAAAUGAAAAUAUUUAUAUGUUUUUGGAAGUUACCUUUGUGCAUUAUCAACUUUAUAAUAUUUAUAAAUCCGAUAAUAUUAAAAUUUUAAAUUAAUAUCUCAUCAUAUAUGAAUUUAAUUUAAUUUAUAUUAAAUUUAUUAAAUUAUUUGUUGAUUUAUUUGUUUGAUUUAAUUCAAUGAUUUUCUUAUAGGAAUAUAAUACUUUCUUAUACUAUUAAGUUCAUAAAAAAAAAUUAAUAAGUAAAGAAUCUCCUAAAAUUUCCAUUGACAUGCAUUUUUUUUGGAACUCUUGAAUGCUUUGCAACGAGACUAGCUUUUUUGCUUUCUAAUAACUGGAAAAAGUCAUAUAUAAUCUUAACUAGAAAUAAGGAGAAUGAUUUUUUGGCUUUAAUUUGAAAUUUAAAACUAGAAAUUAAAGAUCUCCCCUCCCCAUGACUCAUAUACCAUAAUCACUACUUAUGAUUAGUAUGGUUAAUCGAAUUCUUUCUAAUUAUAUUAAGGAAAAACGAAAAUGAAAAGAAUAUUAAAAAAAGUAUGUAAGCGGUUAGUUGUACAUUAUUGGCCUCAAAUACGAUUGGUUUAUAUUUUGAUUUUUUGUCCAUGGAAAUGCAUUUUUUAUAAUAAAUAAUAAAUAAAUAAAUUUAGUAACCAAAUAAUUCAAAAUUUAAAACUAAAAAAAAUAUUCACAUGGAUGCAAAUGCAUUUUCAUUAAUUAAUUUCAUUUCACACUGUUUAAAAAAUAAUAUUUAAUACACGACUGGAUCAAGAGGUGAGCCUAUGGAUGAAAUAUGGCCAAUCUUCAAUUAAUUAACAAAUCAGAGAAAAUGUACUUAUAUUGCUGACAUCAAUAAAAACUAAAUGAAAAUAUAAUAAAAAAGAGGGCCAAAACCUUUUGUCCUUUUUCAUAAUGAUGCACCUUCCAACAAUAUUUUAUCCCUUGGUCUUUGAGGAAAGUGAUGGCCUUGGAGUACUAUGUUGUCUUCUUCCAAAUGAACCACCCAAAAAUUCCCAUUAAUUAGAUGAAUUAUAAAAAAUCUUAAAGAUCACAGCGGAAUUUAAAAAAUUAUAUAAUGUAAAAGUUGAACUACAUGUUUUGAUUUGGUUUAUAUUUUUAGUUUUCCUUUUUAAAUGUCAUGAAUUCAUUAUCAUUAUUGCAUGAUAUAUAUCUUUUGGUAUUAUUGUUGGGGCUGCUCCUACAAAUUUUGCCAUAACUUAAAACAAAAAAUCUCGAAUGUCUGUAAAUUUGUGGUAUAAUUAACUUUCAAUUCAAUUUGGUUCAUUAUAUUUUAAGAUACUUGAAUGGGCCUUGACACUUUUAAACACUUUAGUGUAUAUAUAUAUAUAUAUAUAGGAUACUUAGAUUUUCAAAAUUAAUAUAAAAAAUUAUCAAAAUAAAAUUUAUUCAUAUUUGAUGUUGUAUAACGCGAGUUCAUAUAACGUAUAUAUAAAAUAACUUAUCAUUGAAUUAAUUAUUAAAUCACCACAAUAAAAACAAGCAUAGAAAACUAUCUAUGACAUGCAAGUAGACAUAACUAUGUAUUACUCAUCCAUUCAAGCUGCUACAAGCAACUAAUAAAGAACCAGCAAACUAAACUGAACACAAAAAAACAUGUUUCUUAAGAGUAAAUGAAUUUUGCCACCAAUCUCUUGGCCAAGUGAUAAGAAGAGGAUUUAUGAGAUAUGCAAGCUUGAGUUCGAGUCCAAAUAUUAAAAAAAAAAUACAUGAAGUUUGUCUUAAAUGAAUGGCUAAAUAUGGCUUUAUUUCACAAUAUCAAACAAGCAAAUGCAAUGCAACAUAGAGUAAAUUACUUCUUCAUUGCAAAGUAAAGCUGAAAAAGCAGAGAUCCAAUCAGUUGACGCACCAUAAAACAGAAAGCUCAAAUAAUGAUGAGCACAAUCAAGUAUCAAUCACCUAUCAUUGAGGCAAAGAAUCAAUAAGAAUUUAAACAAGAAGCUUGAUUAAGGAAAAUCAUAAAUACAUGGACAAUGGUGGAUUCAAGAUUUUUGUCAAAAAGUGUUCACUUAUAAUAUAUAAAAUACUGUCGAUGGGUUUAUUAAUUUUAUCCAUUAAAAUCAUGUUUAGAAGAAAAUUUUGGAUGUUCAUGGAAAAGUUUCCUUUAAAUUUUCUUAUUUUUUUAAUUUUUAGGAGUCUCCAAAAAAAUUUUAUGGGUAUCCAACACAAAAUUUUAUUUAAAUUUUUUUAUUUUUCAAUGGACACCCCACAAUACCAUGUAAAUCCACCACAGUACAUGGAAAAAAAUCCCUAUUUACCUGCUUAGCUAACAAGUUUCUCCUGAAUUUUCACUUCCUUGUGUAACGUUAUCCUUGUUUCUCCCACAGUCAUAUAUUGUGGUACUUGAUCUUCCCAGCUUCUCCAAAUUAUAUCAUUGCAAGUGGUUUGAUUAUCAACUAUUUCUUCCAUUGUGGUGAAACCUUCUGUUGUAUUAUUCUGAACUUGUUGGGGUUCCUUCACAACAAAUUACCCAAAAAAGUGACAUAAAGUACUAAAUUUCCGUUUUCUUGUCACGAGGAUACACAAAAAAUAAAGACAAUUCUUAUUAAGUAAAUAAUGCUAGAAGUAAUUAAUUAAUUAAUUAUGCAUAUGACUUGUGUGUAUAUAAAAGAAUCAUCCAAUUCAUAAUAAUGUGUAGUUAUUUACUAGCAUAACUUUUGUUUCAAUGCAUCAUCAUUUCAUCAUUAGUAUCAAUAUGAUCAAGAACAACAAAUUAAUUAAUUAAGCAUAAUAGUUAGAAAAACAGUCGGUUAGGUACCUCCGUUAUGGCAGGCACUGGAUGUUUUGAAUCCAUGAUGACACUUCUGGUCAACUUGGGAGAUUUGGUUAUUUUAAAAUGAAACAAAGAAGGGAAUCGGAAAUGAUAACCCAUUGGAGCAAAACUCUUUAGGCUUGAUAGCUCAUGAAGAUUCAAAAUUUGUAAUUUAGGGAGCACCAGUCCCUUUUGAUCAUCUUCAAUGUUUAGUUCACCUUGAUACCCGAAGACUUGCUCUAGUUUAGAAGCCCCUUCAAUUUGGAUUCUCUCGAGGUUGGCAAAAGAACGGGCGACACUAAUAGGAAACAAGCUUUUCAAAUUGCUGCACCCAGAAAUAGAUAUAAAUUGAAGAAUAGGGAAGGAUAUAGGUUGGAGAUGACUCUGUGAUGAUGAUGCUAUUGAAGUUUGGUCCAUUUCAAUGAUUUCUUCCAACUCCUCACAACACUUUAUUUUCAAAACUUUCAAUUGCGGCAUAUUUGGAGCAAGCAUAGAAGAGAAGAGAGAUUUCAGCCUUUACAACUUGACACUUUUAAGUCUUUAAGAUAAGGAAGGCUUGCAACUUGGAUGGGACUCUGCAACUGAUGUAUACCCUUUAGAUUUAAAAUCUCUAUCUUUGAGAACAAGUGUCCGCCUUGAAUUUGAAAUAUAUUCUCCCAAUUAAUAGUGUCACACACAUUGUCUUGUCCCAACUCAGAGAAUCGUAACUCCUGUAUAAAUAUAAAAAUAUCAUAAUUUCAUUAAAAUUUGAAUAAAUUACAAUGGUCAAAUAAUAUAUGACGUCAAAAGUACAAAAUCUAAUAUAUACAUAAGUACAUUUAUGUGAAUAAUUUCUCUUUAUGACAUGUAGGAUAAUGUUUAUAUUAUUAUAUUAUUUAUCAAAUAACUCUGUUUAAUAAAUUAUUCAAAUUUAAUAUUUUUGAAUAAUUAUUUAAAUUCAAAUCAAAAUCUAUAAAAAAAAUUUUGCAUAAAUUUUAAAUUCAAAUAUAUUCAAUUAUAAUUUAUUUUUUCUUUUUACAUUAAUCAUAGUUCCAAAAAUAUAUGUAUUUAUAUGGUUAAUAUAUUUUUAUCUACCAUCAAAUAAUUCUAUUUAAUAAAUUAUCUAAAUUUAAUAUUUUGUAUAAUUAUUUAAAUUUAAAUCAAACUCUGUCAAAGGUUGAAAAUUUUACAUAAUUUAUCUUUCUUUUUAAAUUUAAUAAUAGUUCCAAAUAUAUAUACUUAUUAAAUUUUUAUUUAACGAAAUCAGAAUCUAAAAUUGAAAAUAAAGAGUUUAUAAAAUGAGAGGUCACCUUCUAGCCAAGCUUAUUUUAUUUGUUGUUAUUAGAAUUAAAAAUUGAAGAAUACAAGCCUUUUUUUCACUUGACGGUUAUGAUUUAUUAGUUUUGACGGGAAUGGACAAAAGUUAGAAAGAAGAGUAAACCACAUCAUACUAUGAACUAGUAAGUCCAUUGUUGCCUUUAUUAUUCUUUUAUUUUCUUUUUUGUUUGCAAAAAUAAGUAUGUGAUGGUGUUGGAUUUUUUUUAUAUAUAAUUUUUGCUUAAAUGACACUGAUUUUUUUUUAUCAAUUUCAAUAAUGGAAAGAAAAUGAAAGUACAUUUGGAUUUGGUUCCAACUCGGUAAUAAGUAGGUUCAUUACUUUUUUUUUCAUAUUUUAUGUUCUUUUUAUUUUUUAUUCCUCCAUUUGUUGUUCUUCAACUGUUUAUUUGGCCUUAUAUCUAUUAUAUGAUAUAUACAUUUGAUUUGAUUUAUCCUAAAAAAUUCAUUUAUAUUAAUUUUUAUAUAUAUUUAGUUAAGUGGAUAUUUUGUAGUGAUAAGUUCAAGAGAUUUCAACUGUAUAUGCCGUCCUCAAUUCGUUAUUGGUUUUUUUUUUGAUACAUGUAUUUGACUUUUGUUUUUAAUAAAAAGGCAAUAUAUAUGUUGAAGUAUGUGAAAAAUAAGAAUUAAUAAAAAGUAAAAUUGUUAUGAACAAAUUAAUAAUUAUAUAUGCUUUAUUGUUUAAUCAAAUAUAUAUAUAUAUAAAAGAAAUUAUUAUUAUUUUAUGUUUUAUUUUUUGUUCAACUUUAUAAGAUUUAAUAGUUUAUGAAUAUUCUAUUAAUAUAAAUGUCUUAUAAUUUAACAAAAUGAUAUAUUUUUUAUAUCCAUAUUAACAUUAUCAUAAAAACAAUUAUUAAUUUUUUACUAUUUAAAGAUUGACCCUUUAUUUUUUGAUCAAAAAAUAAAUAAUUAGUAACAAAAUUUUUUAUGUUUAGCAAAUAAAUAAAAAAAUAAUUUUUUGUUAAAAAGAAAGGAUUUGCAUAAUUCUUUGAAAUUUUGUAAAAGAUUGUACUUUAAAUGAUAAUAUGUGAAUGCUAUCAUUUAAUCAUAUCUUAGAAUUUAUAAAUGUAUGAUUAUAUAGUUGAUUAAUAAGAGUUUGCAUAUUCUUUUAUUGAGGAAAUAUAAAAAAUUAAAUUUAGUUAAAAAAAUAAAUUUAAAUUAAGAAAAUAAUAACACGGUUAAAAAAGCUAGUAUGUAUGUAAAACAAAUACCAAAGGCAAAAUCUCGAACUACAAUUGAAGGAAAAGAGUGUAACAAUACCUUUGGUUGAAGCUGUUUGUGAACUUGUAGUUGAAUAAUGAAAUUUUCCAAACGAGGACAGACCACAACGAUUAACUUCUUUAAGGAUGGUGACAUAAUGGGAUAGUUUUCUGAACAGAAGCUACUCAAAUUUAUCAAGUUUUCAAGUCGUAGAUGUUGCAGGUGACGGAGAGCAAUGGCAUGAUCAACUCCAUUCUUUUCUUCUGCGACAUUGAAGACAUACUGUAGUCGUGGACAACCAUGUAUUUCAAGAGAUGCCAAUUUUGGCAAGGGCGGAGGAUGGAGAAGGUCACUGUCUGAUUCUAUACUAUCAUCGCUUUCCAACUCUGUGGCAAUGUGUUCCAGUUCAUCGCAGUCUUCUAUCUUGAGUUGUUCUAGCAUCACCAAGCUUUGAACAAGUGAUGGUGAGAAGAGAUAUUUCAUUUAUUGCAGCGACUAAUUACUGCAACCUUCAGGCUUUGGAGGCAGACAUGAUGGCUGGGCCCUUUCCAUAUCCACUUCAAUUCUGGUAAUGACUUCAGCUUCAAAUUUGUUAAAUUUGGCAGCGGUGGAAUGGUUGAGACAUGGCCUUGAACUCUUGUAUCAAUCAAGCAUUCCAGCUCUUUACCAUCUUUAAGUGUAAGAAAAGUUAAUUCAUGUAGACCCCGUGAAUCGACGUUUGGAAUGAGAUUUUUGUGAUGCAUGAUUCCAUCCGUGGUAAGUUUUUUGACAUUGCAUAAUAAUUCCUUGAAACCAUUAAUGGAACAUCCUGAUAGAUUCACAAUAUAAAGGAAAACAGCAACAAAAUUCGAAACAUAUAAUGAGAUUUCUCUUAUUAGAAAAAAGAAAGAUUUGAGCUAAAAGAAUAUUUUUAUCCUUCACUUUUUACUGAAAGUUCAUUACUGUAAAAAUUUAAACAAUUAAAAUUAAACUGAGUAUAACUAAUAUAGGUAUGACACUACAUGGACACAAUAACACAAUAAUUUUAAAAAUAGAGGACAUGGAUACGAUAAAACAUGACAAUAAAAAAAUAUUUUUAUAUAUAUUUUUUAUCCAUAAAUUUUUAUAUGAAAAUAAAUUGAACACAAUUAUAACAUAAUUAAUGAUGUGUGUAAAACUAAAAUAAAAUUUUAUUAUUGCUAUGCGUAAAAGUAAAAAAUAAUUGAUAUAAUUAUAAUUUUAUUAAUUUAAUUUUUAAUACUAAUAGAUUAUAAAAUUUUAAACUUUUUAAAUAAUUUUAUUUUUCCUUAUUUUUCAUUUCUUUUCUUUUACUUCCUACAUUUUCUUCUUUCAUUUCUUAUUUUUUCUUUCUUUUUCCCUUUUUUUCCCUUCCCCAAAUCGUACGAUUUAAAAGCUUUAUCAAUUCAAUAAUAAUAGUUAUUGAAUAAUAUUUUAUUAUAUAAAGAAUAAAAAAAAUGAGAAUAAACAUACAAAGAUUUUAUAAAGUGUGUUAAUAAAGAGAAAAAAGAUACAUGGUGUUAGUUUUCUCAACCUGCAAGACAUGUAAUAAAUAUACAUUUAAUAAAACUUUUUUCUUUUAAACUUCAACAAAAGCUAAUUAUGUAUAAUAUAUAUAUAGUAUUUGUUUUCUCAAUCUGCAAGUCAUGUAAUAAAUAUACAUUUAGAUUAGUUAGUAAUAUAAUUUAAUUAAACUUUCUUUCUUUUAAACUUCAAUAAAAGUUAAUUAUAUGAUCAAUAUAUAAAAUUUAGUAAUUUCUCAUUAUUCAUUGAAGGAGAAAUGGAAAGAGAAAAGGUACCUGAAGCUCAACCAUUUCUUGGGGAAAAUCAAAGACUUGCUCUAAUCUAUCGCAGUCAGAUAUUUACGAGUCUUGUAGGUGCGAACAACUUUGAGCAAGGCAAGGCGGGAAGAUGGAUUUCAAUUCACUGCAUUCCCCGAUGUUUACAUCCUUUAGACUUUGGAGGCUUGCAUGACAUUGAUGGGCUGAUUGUAAUUUCCAUAUACUCUCCAAUUCUGGUAAGAAUGAUAGAUUCAAGCUUGUUAAAUUUGAGAGUAACGGUGUCUGACUAAUUUCUCCCUUUUAAAGAAGACUAUUCGUUUCAAAUACCACUUUCAACCGCUUACAAUCUUCAACGGUCACAUCUUUUAACUUUUGUAAGAAGCUAAUCGGACGCGGACCAUGGCGCAACUCUUUCAAACAAGUCAUUUUCACCAUUCUCAAUUUCACCAAAUUAGAGAACGCAGUGGUUGGUCCUUUCUCUCGUGUUGUAUCCAUUAAGCAUUCCAUAUUAUUGCAAUCUUCAAGCUUAAGAGAAGUUAAUUCUUCUAGGCCCUUUGGAUCUAUGUUUUGUGUUUCAUGACAACAUUCUUCAGAGCCAACUCUCCGACAUUGCAAAACAACUCCUUGAAUGCACUUAAUGAAGACGAGAAUUCAGUAAUUUCCAAGGUUCUAAAGUUUAGCACCUGCAUAAAUGGAUGAUAUUCAUUUACAGCUAUAAUGAAACUUUGUAGUUUAGGGAACACAAAAUUUUCUGGAAAACAUUGAGCUGUAGAAACACUCAAUGACAGUGCAGUCAAACGAGAUAAUGAAUUCAGCUCCGAUAAGUUAACAUUGUUUUCACAUCCGAUGUGUAGCUCUUGGAGUGACGUCAACCUGUUUGUUACACAAAUACCAAAAACCAUUAUCAAACACUUCAAGUGAAUCAUAAAAAUAGAAGUAAACAUAAGUUAAUUUUAAUUAUCUCAGCAAAUACAUCAUGAUUUUUCAGCACCUUUUCUUAUUAAAAAGGUUUGAGCAUUUUUUACUAUUUCGUAAUUCAUGUGACAAUCAUCUUAUAUACUAGCAUUUUUGUUAAAAUGGAAAGACUACAGCCUCGAAUGUUUCAUAACAAUGGAAGUGACCAAAAGCUUAUGGUAGAUAUAUUUCCCAUAGUCUAAAAUCAAAUUACUUAUAAUAAAGUAAAUAAAAGAAAAAUAAAUAACAUAAAACUAAAUACUUAAUUUUCAGCAAUAUAAUAAAAAAAAUAAUUGACAUCUACUAUUACCUUGAUAGCAAAUUAGGGGGAAAAUCGAUCUGUUUCUUUCUAGAGAAAGAAAAAUAAGAAAAACGUAGCGAUUUUAGUCUAUGCAAUGCCACUAAUUCUUCAGGUAGCUUAUAAAUAUUAGUAUUAGAAAAUGCAAGAAUCUCAAGUUUUUCCAUGCUCCUCAAUGAUGAGAUGUUCUCCAGCUCGCAAUUUGGAAAGCAUAGACCUCGAAGAUUUGAUACGAAUUGAAGUACUUCUAGUGAGAAAAUGACAUUUGCGAGAUACAAAACUUGAAGGGCUUUCAUUCCUUUAACAAAUGCAUUCGGAACUUUCACUAUAGUCUUUCCUGCAAAAAUCAAAAUUUUGAGUUCAGGAAAUUCCAAAUUUUCAGGAAAAAUAUUUAUGUUGCUGCUCCAAAGGAAGAUUGUGUAUGGGAUCACAACUUUUACUUAGAGGCCAUUCCAUCAACCCGUCUUUUACCAUGAAUAUAUGUUUCCCUGUAGGUGCUAUCCAAUGAGCAAAAUCACGAACCACGUCAUGCAUUCUUACAUUUAAUUCAGCGUCAUCAUCAUCAGUUCUCAGUAACGAAACCAGACUCUUGGAGUUUUCUUAGUGCUUCACGAAUUUCCCUCCGUAAGUCGUCAAUUAAUAAGUCUUUAGGUAAGUCAAUAUCAGAAAAUAAUCCAUGACCAAUUGCAAACAUAACCAAUAACUCAAUAUCAAUAUCCCUAUCUUCUGGAAAAAGGGAACACAGCAAGAAACAUGUUCGAAUAUUAUCUCCCUUCAAAUAAUCAUAACUCAGCUUAAGGCAGUUGUAGAUACCUUGAGAAACCUCUUCAUUGUCUAAAUCUCUUGAGUCCUUGAGUCGCUUGUUUGCCACUUUCCAGCCAUCUAGAGUUGCAACUUUUAAAGCUUUUCCGAUUGUCACGAUUGCAAGAGGCAAACCCANNNNNNNNNNNNNNNNNNNNNNNNNNNNNNNNNNNNNNNNNNNNNNNNNNNNNNNNNNNNNNNNNNNNNNNNNNNNNNNNNNNNNNNNNNNNNNNNNNNNNNNNNNNNNNNNNNNNNNNNNNNNNNNNNNNNNNNNNNNNNNNNNNNNNNNNNNNNNNNNNNNNNNNNNNNNNNNNNNNNNNNNNNNNNNNNNNNNNNNNNNNNNNNNNNNNNNNNNNNNNNNNNNNNNNNNNNNNNNNNNNNNNNNNNNNNNNNNNNNNNNNNNNNNNNNNNNNNNNNNNNNNNNNNNNNNNNNNNNNNNNNNNNNNNNNNNNNNNNNNNNNNNNNNNNNNNNNNNNNNNNNNNNNNNNNNNNNNNNNNNNNNNNNNNNNNNNNNNNNNNNNNNNNNNNNNNNNNNNNNNNNNNNNNNNNNNNNNNNNNNNNNNNNNNNNNNNNNNNNNNNNNNNNNNNNNNNNNNNNNNNNNNNNNNNNNNNNNNNNNNNNNNNNNNNNNNNNNNNNNNNNNNNNNNNNNNNNNNNNNNNNNNNNNNNNNNNNNNNNNNNNNNNNNNNNNNNNNNNNNNNNNNNNNNNNNNNNNNNNNNNNNNNNNNNNNNNNNNNNNNNNNNNNNNNNNNNNNNNNNNNNNNNNNNNNNNNNNNNNNNNNNNNNNNNNNNNNNNNNNNNNNNNNNNNNNNNNNNNNNNNNNNNNNNNNNNNNNNNNNNNNNNNNNNNNNNNNNNNNNNNNNNNNNNNNNNNNNNNNNNNNNNNNNNNNNNNNNNNNNNNNNNNNNNNNNNNNNNNNNNNNNNNNNNNNNNNNNNNNNNNNNNNNNNNNNNNNNNNNNNNNNNNNNNNNNNNNNNNNNNNNNNNNNNNNNNNNNNNNNNNNNNNNNNNNNNNNNNNNNNNNNNNNNNNNNNNNNNNNNNNNNNNNNNNNNNNNNNNNNNNNNNNNNNNNNNNNNNNNNNNNNNNNNNNNNNNNNNNNNNNNNNNNNNNNNNNNNNNNNNNNNNNNNNNNNNNNNNNNNGAAAAGAAAUUGGUUUCAUUGUUUUGAAAACAUUGCCUUUUUACUUAUUAAAGAAAAUUCCUUUUUUUUAAAAGAAAAUAUAUACAUUUGGGCUUUCAUCAGGUAUCACAGAAACCUCAAAACGGUGGUGUCAUCCUAUUAUAGAUAUCGAGAUGCUAUUAAACUUAAACUAUUCUACGAUCCAUGUAUUUGUCCAAAAUCAAGUAAAGGGUAAAAAUUUUUUCAUGUGUUUUAAUUUUGUGUGCAUUCUAUGAAGAAGGUUCUGCAUGGCUCACCUAUAGGGUGGUUCUUUAUGGUUUUCUAUGUGCUUGGCUGGGAUUUUUACAUGCCUAAAGAUUCUAAAUUGCUCUUUACUAUUACCCAUACUAAUCUAGUAAGUUAUAUUGAUCUUAAACUAUUAUAGGAUACAAAUGGAAAAUGUUUAAUAUGAAUAAGAGUACUUUAGAUGAUUCACCUCAUAAGAGUGUAAGUAUUUACUUUCUCCUAAAAGGUCGGAGCUCACAUAAAAACUCAUGCAUGUAAAUGAAUAUAAAUUGUGUGUGCCAAAGAACAAACAAGCAUUUGAUAUUUUUACUCUUUACCAAGAUUCCAAUAUCUUAAAUGCCUCACAAUUUAUUAGACAACAGAGAAAAUGCCAUAAUUAACAUAAGUAAUGAAUGAUAUAAAUAAACAUGAAUGUAGGCAACAUUAUUUGUUUUUCUUUUGUUUUUUGCAAAAUUUUUCAUUUUUCAAAAUUUUUGUUUUUGAAAAAUAGAAAUAAGGGAAUUACUAUUAAAUAUCAAUUAAAACCAUUAAAUCGAAACUUAAGAUAGCACAUAAUUUUUUUUUGGCUCGACUUUAAAAAUAUCUCCAGUGAAGUGGUCAAGCUGUCAUACCAUACAGGUUUAGGAAUCUGACCACCUCGUUAAAAUUUUAAAAUUAAACAAUGAAUUGUCACAAAUCUUUAUUUGAGUAGAUACGAUUGGUUACUUUAAAAGAUUAUUUUUUUAAUAAAAAUUUUAAAUUAAUUAAACUUAUUAAAAAUAUAAUUUUUUGUAUCGAAACACAUCUGGUAAAAAAAUAAUGUUAUACAUGGAAACAUUAACACCCACAGUACCGGUUAAAAAUAGUCUAAUAAUAACAUAUAUUCCUUUAAUAUUGAUAAAAAAAUGCCUAUAAUUUUAAAAUUUAAAAAUAAUGUCUAAAUCCAUUUAUUAUGAUAAAACCCUUUUUUUGCCAUCCUUUUUAGAAUCAUUUUAUUAAAAAUAAAAUAAAAUUUGUGUUUCGAAUUUCUCAUUCCAGAAAAUUUAGAAAAAUGUUUUUUACUUAGGUAUUUCAUAAUAAUCCUUAAAACAAAGAUAAUAUUUUUUUCAUAAGAAAUAAUUAUUAAAGAAUCCAUUUAAUAUUAGCAGAGUCCCAAGAAAUAUUUUACUUAGAUAUUAUCUUAUUUUUUUUUAAAAAAUAAUUUCUUUAUAUUCAUCUUUUACUACACUAUAUAUUUUUAAGAAUAGUAAAAUGUAUGUGAUGUAACAUGAAGCAAAUUAAUGAUGCAAAAUAAACUAAAAGAUAAAAAUGACCAAUUUAAUCAUAUUAUAAAUCUUUAACUUUAUCACUUUAUAUUUUUUCAUUGUUGUUUUUUUAAAAAAUAUUUAGUGAUAAAAUGAAAAUAUUUUUGUGUUUUUAGAAGUAACCUUGUGCUUUAUCAACAUUAUAAUAUUUAUAAAUCUGAUAAUAUUAAAUUUUUAAGUUCAAUUCUCAUCAUAUGUGAAUUUAAUUUAAUUUUAUAUUAAAUUAUUUAAUUAUGUGUUGAUUUAUUAUUUGAUUUAAUUCAAUGAUUUUCUUAUAUAAUAUUUUCUUAUACUAUUAAGUUCAUAAAAAAAUUAAUAACUAAAGAAUUUUCUAAAAUUUUCAUUGACAUAGCAAUUUUUUUUUUGGAACUCUUGAAGGCUUGGCAACAAGAGUAGCUUUUUUGCUUUAUAAAUAACCGAAAAAAGUCAUAUAUAAUCCUAACUAGAAAUAAAGAGAAUGACUUUUUGGUUUUAAUUUGAAAUUCAAAACUAGCAAUUAAAAGUCCCCUCUCCUCAUGACCUGAAUAUCAUAAUCACUUAUUAUGAUUAGACUUGAUAAUUUAAAUUAUGAUAUGAUUAUAUAAUAUGAAUACAAUAUAAAAUUAAAUACGAAAGUGAUAGAGUUUAAAAUUUAUAAUAAUAACUAUAUAUAAAUUUAACAAAAUAAAAAAAUAUAUUUUAUAUUUUUAUAUCGAUACGAAAUAUGACAUAAUUUUUGUGUAAAACACAAAACGAAUACAUGAAUUUCAUUAUAUUACACUAUAUGAAUACGUGAAUCGUCAGAUUUACUUAUGAUAAACAUGGUUAAUCAAAGAAAAAAUGAAAAAAGAAAGUAUGUAAACAUUAAGCAACUAGCUAUACAUUAUUGGCCUAAAACACGACUGGUUUAUAUUUUGAUUUUUUUACCUAUGGAAAUGCAUUUUUUAAUAAUAAACAAUCAAUCAAUCAACCAAUCUAGUAAUUAAAUAAUUCAAAAUUUAAUACUAGAGAAAAUAUUCACAUGUAUGCAAAUGCAUUUUCAUUAAUUAAUUUCAUUUCACACUGUUCAAAAAGAAUGAUAUUCGAUAUAGCUAGAUCAAGACAUGAGAAUAUGGAUGAAAUAUGGACAAUCUUCAAUUAAUUAACAAAUCAGUGAAAAUAUGUUUAUAUUGCCGAAAUCAAUAAAAACUAAAAGAAAAUAUAAUAAAAAAGGCCAAAACCUUUGGUCCCUUUUCAUAAUGAUGCUCCUUCCAACAAUAUUUUAUCCCUUGGCCUUUGAGGAAAGUGAUGGCCUUGGGGUAGCAUGCUGUCUUCUUCCAAAUUAGCCACCCAAAAAUUCCCACUAAUUAGAUGAAUAAUAAAAAAUUAUAAAGAUCUCAGUGGAAUUUAAAACAUUAUAUGAUGUAAAAGUUGAAUUACAUAAUAGUAUUUUUGCUAUUUACAUGUUUUGAUUUGGUUUAUAUUUUUAUUUUUCCUUUUUAAAUGUCAUGAAUUUCAUCAUCAUUAUUGCAUGGUAUCUUUUUGGUAUUAUUGUUGGGGCCGCUUCUACAAAUUUUGCCACAACUCAUAACAAAUAAUCUCUGCAAAGCAUAUUGCAUAUAAAUUUGUGGGAUAAUUAACUUCCAAUUCAAUUUGGUUCCAUAUGGGUCUUGAUUUUUUGAACACUAUACUGUUUAUAUGUAUAGGAUACUUUCAUUUCAAAAUUAAUAUAAAAAAUUGUCAAAACAAAAUUUAUUCAUGUUUGACGUCCUAUCAAUGAGUUCAUAUAACAUAGUGUAUAAAUAACAUCAUUGAAUUAAUUAUUAAAUCACCACAAUAAAAACAAGUCUGGAGAAUCAUCUAUGACAUGCAAGUAGACAUAACUACAUACUACUCAUCCAUACAAACGGUUAUAAGCAACUAAUAAAGAACCAGCAAACCAAACUGAACGCCAUGUUUCUUUAGAGUACAUGAAUUUUGCUAACAAUGUGAUAAGAAGAGGAUUUAUGAGACAUGUAAGCUCGAGUUCGAGUCCAAAUAAAACAAUACAUGAAAUUUAUCUUAAAGGAAUGGCUAAACAUGACUUUAUUCACAAUAUCAAACACGAAAAUGCGAUGAAAUGUAAAGCAAAUUAGUUCUUCAUUGCAAAGCAAAAUUGAAAAAAUAGAGUUCCGAUCAGUUGACGGUGCCAUAAAACAGAAAGCUCAAACGAUGAUAAGUACAAUCAAGUAUCAACCACCUAUCAUUGAGGCAAAGAAUCGAUAAGAAUUUAAACAAGAAACUUGAUUAAGGAAAUCAUAAAUACAUGGCAGUGACAGAUUCAAGAUUUUUGUUGGGAUGUGUUCACUUAUAAUAUAUAAAAUACUAACGAUGGAUUUAUCAAUGUUAUCCAUGAAAAUGGUGUUUAAAAGAAAAUUUUGAAUGUUUAUGAAAAUUUUCUUUUAAAAUUUCUUAUUUUCUAAUUUUUAGGAGUGUCCAAAAAAAGAUUUGAAGGUAUCCAACACAAAAUUUUUCUUUAAAGUUUUUUUUAUUUUCAAUGUACACCCCACAAUGCCAUGUAAAUCCACCACUAGACAUGGAAAAAAGCCAUAUUUACCUGUUUAGCUAACAAGUUUCUCCUGAAAUUUUCACUUGCGUAACAUUAUCCUUGUUUCUCCCAGAGUCAUAUAUAGAGGUAUUCGAUCUUUCCAAUGAAUCCAAACUAUAUCAUUGCAGGUGGACUGAUUAUCAACUAUUUCUUCCAUUGUGGUGAAACCUUCUGUUGUAUUAUUCUGAACUUGUUGGGGUUCCUUCACAACAAAAGACAAUUCUCAUUAAGUAAGUUAUGCUAGAAGUAAUUAAUUAAUUAAUUAUGCAUAUGACUUGUGUAUGUAUAUAAAGAGUCAUCCAAUUCAUAAUAAUAUGUAGUUAUAUACUAAUAUAACUUUUGUUUCCAUCAUCGUUUCAUCAUUAGUAUCAAUAUGAUAAAGAAAAACAAAUUAAUUAAUUCAGCAUAAUAGUUAGAAAAAAAAAGUCGGUUAGGUCCUCUGUUACCUCUGUUAUGGCAGGCACAGGAUGUUUUAAAUCCAUGAUGACACUUGUGGUCAACUUGGGAGAUUUGGUUAUUUUAAACGACCACAUAGAAGGGAAUCGGAAAUGAUAACCCAUUGAAGCAAAACUCCUGAGGUCUGAUAGCUCAAAAAGAUACAAUUCUUGUAAUUUAUGGAGCACUAUUCCCUUUUGAUCAUCUUCAAUGUCUAGUUCACCUUGAUACCCAAAGACUUGCUCUAGUUUAGAAGGCCCUUUAAUUUCGAUUCUCUUGAGGUUGGCAAAAGAACGGGUGACACUAAAAGGAAACAAGCUUUUCAAAUUGCUGCAACUAGAAAUCCGUAUGUCUUGAAGACUAGGGAAGGAUAUAGUUUGGAGAUGACCCUGUGAUGAUGAUGCUAUUGAAGUUUGGUCCAUUUCAAUGAUUUCUUCCAGCUUCUCACAAUACUCUAUAUUCAAAAUUUUCAAUUGCGGCAAAUUUUGAGCAAGCAGAGAAGAGAAGAGAGAUUUCAGCUUAUUACAAUUUGACACUUUUAAGUCUUUAAGACAAGGAAGGCUUGCAACUUGGAUGGGACCCUGCAACUGAUGUAUACCCUUUAAAUUUAAAAUCUCUAUCGUCCUUAAGAGUAAAUGUCCAUCUUGAAUUUGAAAUAUAUUCUCCCAAUUAAUAGUGUCGCACAAGUUGUCUUGCUCCAACUCAGAACAUCGUAAUUCCUAUAUAAAUAUAAAAAUGUCAUAAUUUCAUUAAAAUUUGAAUAAAUUACAAUGGUCAAAGAAUAUAUGAUUUCAAAAGUACAAAAUCUAUUAUAUAUAUAUAUUAUAAGAUACAAAAUUAUCAAAUAAGAUGUGCUGAUAUACACGUUUAUAUGAAUAAUUUUUCUUUAUGACAUGUAGAAUAAUGUUUAUAUUAUUAUAUUAUUUAUCAAAUAACUCUAUUUAAUAAAUUAUUUAAAUUUAAUAUUUUUGAAUAAUUAUUUAAAUUCAAAUCAAACUCUAACAAAAGUUGAAAAUUUUGCAUAAGUUUUGCAUUUAAAUAUAUUAAAUCUUAAUUUAUAUAUUUUUUUAAUUUAAUCAUAAUAUAUAUAUACACACUUAAUACAUUUUUAUUUGAUGAAAUCAGAAUCUAAAAUUGAAAAUAAAGAGUUUAUAAAGUGAGAGAUCACCUUCUAGCCAAGCUUAUUUUAUUUAUUGUUAUUAGAAUUAGAAAUUGAAGAAUACAAGCCUUUUUUUUUUACUUGACAGUUAUGAUUUAUUGGCUUUGAUGGGAAUGGACAAAAGUUAGAAAGAAGAGUAAACCACAUCAUACCGUGAACAAGUUCAUUUUUGCCUUUAUUAUUCUCUUUUUUCUUUUAUUUUCUUUUUUAUUUGCAAAAAUCAAUAUGUGAUGGUGUUGGAUUGUUUUUACGUUUGCAUAUUUUUUGCUUAAAUGACAUUGAUUUUUUAUCAAAUUUCAAUAAUGGAAAGAAAACAUACGUACAUUUGGAUUGAUUUCAACUCGGUAAUAGGUAUGGUUCAUUACUUUUUUUCAUAUUUUAUUGUUUUUUAUUUCUUCCAUUUGUUUGUUCCUUCAAACUAUUUAUUUGGUCUUAUUUCUAUGAUAUGAUAUAUACAUUUGAUUUGAUUUAUUCUAAAAAUUUUUUUGAUUUAUAUAUUUUUAUAUAUUUAUUAAGUUGAAUAUUUGUUACGCAUAAGUUCAAGAGAUUUCAACUGUAUAUGCAUUCUCAAUUUGUAUAUUUGAUUUUUUUUAUAAACGUAUUUUGACUUAUAUUUUAAUAAAAGCAAAUAUAUAUGUUGAAGUAUGUAAAAAAUAAAAACUAAUAAAAAGCAAAUGGCUAUGAACAAAUUAAUAAUUAUAUAUGCUUUAUUGUUCAAUCAAAUAUAUAUAUAUAUAUAUAAAAGAAAUUAUUAUUAUUUGAUGUUUUAUUUUUGGUUCGGGUUUAUAAGAUUUAAUAGUUUAUGAAUAUUCUAUUAAUAUAAAUGUCUUUUACAAUUUAAUAAAAUGAUUUUUUUUUAUAUCCAUAUUAACAUUAUCAUAAAAAAUUAUUAAUUUUGACUAUUAAAAGACUGACCCUUGCUUUUUUGAUCAAAAAAAUAAAUAAUUAGUAACAAAAUUUUUGGUGUUUAGCAAAUAAAUAAAUAAAAUUAAUUUUUUGAUAAAAAAGAAAGGAUUUUUGAAAUUUUGUAAAAAAUUAAACUUAAAACAACAAUAUGUGAAUGCUAUCAUUUAAUCGUAUCUUAAAAUUUAUGAAUGUAUGAUUAUAUAUAGUUGAUUAAUAAAAGUUUAAAUAUUCUUUUAUUAAGGAAAUAUAAAAAAUUAAAGUUAAUUAAAAAAUAAAUUUAAAUUAUGAAAAUAAUAACACGGUUAAAAAAGCUAGUAUAUAUGUAAAACAAAUACCAUUCUCAAGAUUUUAUUAUAAUGUACAAAUUAAAUAUGUUUAAUUGAUUUUCAAAUUCUAUUUAUUUUAUAAGCAAGUGAAAUGUUAUCUAAAUGUUCUCUAUGAGUGCCAUGUCAUCAAAGUUUGCCUAUAUGUAUGCAUGCCAGCAGUUUGAAUUCCCAUCCAAAUUGGAUUUCAUUAAAUUAAAAUAGUAGGAUGGCUAAAUUACACACAAUAAUAUUGUAAGGGCUUAAGUGAAAUUUUGAUUAUAAUAUGGUUAGAGAGCUUAUUUUAUUAUUUUUCCAUUACUUAAAAAGGUUUUUUUUUUUUUUUUGAUAACAAACAAGUUUAACUCAGUCUUAAAUGAGUUGAACAUAAAAUAUUGUUAAAGAUGAGAGUUCAACAUAAGUCUUGAAUGAUUUAUUUUAAUUUUUCUAAUAUAAAACUUAAAUAAGAAACCCUUUUUUGAAAAGAGAUUCAAAGCAUUGAUUAUUUUAUGAGUAUAGAAAAGAUUUGGGCCAAAGGUAAAAUCUCAAACCAUAACGGAAGGAAAGGAGUAUAAAAUUACCUUUAGUUGAAGCCGUUUGUGGACUACUUGUUGAAUAAUGAACUUUGCAAAUCGAGGACAAACCACUAUGGUUAACUUCUCCAAUGAUGGUGGCACAAUGGCGUGAUCAACUCCAUUCUUUUCUUUUGCCACAUUGAAGACAUAUUGUAGUCGUGGACAACCAUGUAUUUCAAGAGAUGUCAAUCUUCGCAAGGGAGGAGGAUGGAGAAGAACACUGUCUGAUUCUAUAUUAUCAUCACUUUCCAACUCUGUGGCAAGGCGUUCCAGUUCAUCGCAGUAUUCUAUCUUGAGUUGUUCUAGCAUCACCAUGCUUUGAACAAGUGAUGGUGAGAAGAGAUAUUUCAAUUUAUUGCAGCGACUAAUUACUGCAACCUUGAGGCUUUGGAGGCAGACAUAAUGGUUGGGCCCUUUCCAUAUCCACUUCAGUUCUGGUAAUGACUUUAGCUUCAAACUUGUUAAAUUUGGCAGCAGUGGAACGGUUGAGACAUGGCCUUCAUCUGUUGUAUCAAUCAGGCAUUGCAGCUCUUUACCAUCUCUAAGUGUAAGAAAAAUUAAUUCGUUUAGUCCCCGUGGAUCUACAUAUGGAAUGAGAAUUUUGUGAUACAUGAUUCCAUCCAUGGUAAGUUUUCUGACAUUGCAUAACAAUUCCUUGAAAUCCUGAUAAAUUCACAACAUAAUGAAAAAUAGCAGCAACAUUAGAAACAUAUAAUUAGAUUUCUUUUAUUAGGAAAGAGAAAGAUUUGAGUUAAAAGAAUAUUUUUAUUCCUCGCUUUUCACUAAAAGUUUGUUACUGUAAAAAUUUAAAUAAUUCAAACUACUGCUUAGAAAUCAUUGAUAGUGACAAAUAAUACAAGUACGAUACGACAUGAAUAUGACAACUAAACAAUUUUAAAAAUAGAAAACAUGGGUAUGGUAAAACAUGACAAUAAAAUACAUUUUUAUAUAUUUUUAAUCCAUAAAUUUUUUAUACGAAUAUAAAUUGAACACAAUUAUAAAAUAAUUAAUGGUAUGUGUAAAAGUAAAAUAAAAUAAAUUUAUAAACAAGAUUAAAAUUAUAUAGGAAAAAAUAUAAUCAAUAUAAUUAUAAUUUUUUUAAUUUAAUUUUUAAUACUAAUAAAUUAUAAAAUUUUAAACUUUUUAAAUAGUUUCAUUUUUUCCUUUUCUUCUUUUCUUUUCAUUUUUUUUCCUUCUUUUUCUUUUUCUUCCUACAUUUUCUUCCUUUUCUUUUCUCUCUUUUUCAUCCCGUUUCUUCUUUUUUUUUUCUUUCAUUUUGCCCUUUUCCCUUCCCCAAAUCAUUCGAUUUGUAAGCUUUACAAAUUCAAUAAUAGUAGUUAUUGAAUAAUAUUUUAUUAUGUACAGAAUUAAAAAGAGAAAAAAAUACAAAGAUUUUAUAAAGUGUGUUAAUAGAGAGAAAAAAAUAUGUAGUGCUAGUUUUUCUCAACCUGCAAACCAUGUAAUAAGUAUACAUUUAAUCAACCUUUUUUCUUUUAAACAUCAACAGAAGCUAAUUAUAUAUAAUACUUUUAUAUUUAAAUGUGAAUGUACUGAAUUUUGACGUUUGUGUUAUAAGAUAAAUAAUUCAAUUAAUUAUUAUCAAAAUAAACAAAAUUAAAACAAAAAUAUAGUAUAAGAGAAGUACCUUUAAAUGGGCCUGCAACGUCUUAAACUCAGUUAAUUGGGGACAACUGCGAACUUGGAACUCCUUCAAAGAUAAUGACAUGACAAAAUUUUCUGGACAAAAACUACUCAACUUCUCUAAAUUUUUAAGCCUUAAAAUUUGCAAUCUCUGUAGCACAAUAUGUUGUGGUGGACGUCCACCCUUACCCUUUGUCACAUUGAAGACCUGCUUUAGUUGAGAACAAUCAGUUAUCUCAACAGAUUCCAAAUAAGGAAGUCCUUGAGCUAAAGUGAAUGGAAACACAUAUUUCAAUCUUCCGCAAUUAAUUAUCUUGAGAGUUCUCAACUUAGGCCAGCGGAGAGGAUAGCCAUCCAUCUUUGAAACUAUUUGAUCCUCAUUUUCUGCUUCUCCGAAGAUUACAUGUUCCAAAGAGCCGCAAUCUUUUAUGUCGAGUUCUUCUAGAUGCUCCAAACUUUGAGCAAGGGGAGUCGAAAAGAGAUAUGCCAGUUGCACACACCUCCAUAUUAUCAUAGUCUUAAGACUUUGGAGGUUAACAAGAUGGGUGGGCCCUUUCCAUAUCCACUUCAAUUCUGGUAAUCUGAGUAGCUCCAAAGAAGUUAGAUUAGAGAGCAGCUGUACCUGACAUGAAUUCAUUGAUUGAAAAUGCAAAUAAAUAUGGACAAAACAUUAUAUACAAAGGCAAUAAUAGUAGUUAUUGAAUAAUAUAUAAUUUAGAAAGAAUAAAAAAAAGAGAAAAAAUACAAUGAUUUUAUAAGUGUACUAAUAAAGAGAAAAAAAAAGAGAUAUAUAGUGUUAGUUUUCUCAACUUGCAAGUCAUGUAAUAAAUAUACAUUUAGAUUAGUUACUAAUAUAAUUUAAUUAAACUUUAUCUCUUCUAAUCUUCAAUACAAGUUAAUUAUAUGAGCAAUAUAUAAAGUAGCAAUUUCUCAUUAUCCAUUAAAGGAAAAAUGGAGAGAAAACAGAUACCUCAAGCUCUCCCACUUCUUGGGGAAAAUCAAAGACUUGUUCUAAUCUAUCGCACCCAGAUAUUUGAAGUAUUUGUAGAUGCAACAAACUUUGAGCAAGGCAAGGCGGGAAGAUCGCUUUCAAUUCAUCACAACUCCAAAUGUUUACAAACUUCAGACUUCGGAGGCUUGCAUGAUAUUGAUGGGUUGAUUGUGAUUUCCAUAUACUCUCCAAUUCCGGUUAACAAAAUAGCAUCAAACUUGUUAAAUUUGAGAGUAGCGGCGUCUGACUAAUUUCUUCCUUUUCAAGAAGCCCAUCCAUUUCAAAUACCACUUUCAACCGCUUACAAUCUGCAAUGGUCAAAUCUUUUAACUUUUGUAAGAACCUAAUAUGCCCAUCUAUUUCAAGAGAUGUCAAUUUUGGCAAGGGCGGAUGAUGGAGAAGGCCACUGUCUGGUUCUACAUUAUUAUCAAUUUCCAACUCAGUGGCAAUGUGUUCCAGUUCAUCGCAGCGUUCUAUCUUCAGUGUUUCUAGCAUUACCAAGCUUUGAACAAGUGAUGGUGAGAAGAGAUGCUUCAAUUUGUGAUACAUGAUUCCAUCCAUGGUAAGUUCUUUGACAUUGCAUAACAAUUCCUUGAAACCAUAUGAUGGGACAUCCUGAUAAAUUCACAAUAUAAUGGAAACUAUUAGCAGAAUUAGAAACAUAUAAUUGGAUUUCUUUUAUUAGGAAAAAGAAAGAUUUGAGUUAAAAGAAUAAUUUUUUCUAUCGCUUUUCAUUAAAAAUUCAUUAUUGUAGAAAUUUAAACAAUCAAGUUGAGUAUAACUAGAACCUAGAAAGCAUGAAUAGUGACAAAUAAUAUAGUUAAGACAUGACAUGGACACGGCAACACAACAAUUAUAAAAAUAUAUUUUUAUAUAUUUUUUAUCCAUAAAUUUUUACUACGAAUAUAAAUUGAAUACAAUUAUAAUGUAAUUAAUGGUGUGUGUAAAAGUAAAAUAAAAUAAAUUUAUAAACAAGAUUAAAAUUAUGUAGGAAAAAAUAAUCAAUAUAAUUAAUUUUUAAUACUAAUAGAUUAUAAAAUUAUAAACUUUUUAAAUAAUUUCAUUUUCCCUUUUUUUCUUUUCUUUUUUUCCUUCUUUUUCUUUCUCUUCCUACAUUUUCUUUUUUUUCUUUUCUUUCUCUUUCUCCUUCCUGUUUCCUUUUUUUAUUUUUUAUUUUUGUUUUUUGUUUUCCCUUUUUACCCUUUAUCAAAUUGUACGAUUUAAGAGCUUUAUAAAUUCAAUACUAGUUGUUAUAGAAUAAUAUUUUAUUAUAUAAAGAAUAAAAAAAGAGAAAAAAAUACAAAGAUUUUAUAAUGUGUGUUAAUAAAGAGAAAAAAAGAUACAGUGUUAGUUUUCUCAACCUGCAAGCCAUGUAAUAAAUAUACAUUGAAUUAAACUUUUUUCUUUUAAACAUCAACAGAAGCUAAUUAUAUAUAUUACUAUAUAAUACUUUUACAUGUAGAUGUGAAUGUACUAAAUUUUGACGUUUGUGUUAUAAGAUAAAUAAUUCAAUUAAUUAUUACCAAAAUAAACAAAAUUAAAACAAAAAUAUAGUAUAAGAGAAGUACCUUUAAAUGGGCCUGCAACGUCUUGAACUCUGUUAAUUGGGGACAAUUGCAAACUUCGAACGCCUUCAAAGAUAAUGACAUGACAAAAUUUUCUGGACAAAAACUACUCAACUUCUCUAAACUUGAAAGUCUUAAAAUUUGCAAUCUCUGUAGCACAAUGUCUUGCGGUGGACGUCCAUCCUUAUCCUUUGUCAUAUUGAAGAUCUCAUUUUCUGCUUCAUCAAAGAUUACAUGUUCCAAAGAGUUGCAAUGGCUUAUUACGAGUACUUCCAGAUGCACCAAACUUUGAGCAAGGGGAGUCGAAAAGAGAUAUGCCAGUUGCCCACACCCCCAUAUCAUCAUAGUCUUAAGACUUUGGAGGUUAACAAGAUGGGUUGGCCCUUUCCAUAUCCACUUUAGUUCUGGUAAUGAGUUUAGCUUCAAAGAAGUUAAAUUAGAGAGUGGUCGUACCUGACAUGAAUUCAUUGAUUGAAAAUGCAAAUAAAUAUGGACAAAACAUUAUAUACAAAGGCAAUAAUAGUAGUUAUUGAAUAAUAUAUAAUUUAGAAAGAAUAAAAAAAAGAGAAAAAAUACAAUGAUUUUAUAAGUGUACUAAUAAAGAGAAAAAAAAAGAGAUAUAUAGUGUUAGUUUUCUCAACUUGCAAGUCAUGUAAUAAAUAUACAUUUAGAUUAAUUACUAAUAUAAUUUAAUUAAACUUUAUCUCUUCUAAUCUUCAAUAGAAGUUAAUUAUAUGAGCAAUAUAUAAAGUUUAGCAAUUUCUCAUUAUCCAUUAAAGGAAAAAUGGAGAGAAAACAGAUACCUCAAGCUCUCCCACUUCUUGGGGAAAAUCAAAGACUUGUUCUAAUCUAUCGCACUCAGAUAUUUCAAGUUCUUGUAGAUGCAACAAACUUUGAGCAAGGCAAGGCGGGAAGAUGGAUUUCAAUUCACUGCACUUCCGAAUGGUUGCAUUCUUUAGACUUUGGAGGCUUGCAUUUAGACCCUCAGGAUCUACGUUUGGGACAAUAUUUUUGUGUCCCAUGACAUUCUCCAGAGCCAACUUUUCCACAUUGCAGAACAACUCGUUGUAUGCACUUAAUGAAGUUGAGUCAAUAAUUUCCAAGGUUCUAAAGCUUGGCCCCUGCAUAAAUUCAACAUCUUUAUCUACAACUAUAAUGUAGCUUUGUAGUUUAGGGAACACAAAGUUUUCUGGAAAACAUUGAGCAGUAGAAACCCUCAGUGACAGCACAGUCAAACGAGACAAUGAAUUCAGCUCCGAUAAGUCAACAUUGUUUUUACAUAUCACGUAUAGUUCUUGGAGUGAUGUCAACCUAUUUGUUACACACAAAUACAAAAAAGUAUUAUCAAACACUUAAAGCGAAUCAUAAAAAUAGAAGUAAACAUAAAUUAAUUUUAAUUACCUCAGCAAAUAUAGCAUGAUUCUUCAGCACCUUUUCUUAUAAAAAAAGGUUUGAGCAUUUUUUUAUUGUUUUGUAAUUCAUGUGACAAUCAUGUUAUAUAAUAGCAUUUUUUUAAAAAUGGAAAUGACUACAGCUCUGAAUGCUUCAUGAUAACGGGAGUGACCAAAAGCUUAAGGUAGAUAUUUUUCCCAUAGUCUAGAGUCAAAUUAUUUAAUAAAGUAAAUAAAAGAAAAAUAAAUAACAUAAAACUAAAUACUUAAUUUUGGGAAAUAUGAUUAAAUAAAAUAAUUGACAUCUACUAUUACCUUGAUAGUAAAUUAGGGGGAAAAUUGAUCUGUUCUCUUCCAGAGUCAAAAAAAUGUAGCGAUUUUAGGCCACGCAAUGCCACUAAUUCUUCAGGUAACUCAUAAAUAUUAGUACCAGAAAAUGCAAGAAUCUCAAGGUUUUUCAAAUUUCCCACUGAUGAGAUGUUCUCCAACUCGCAAUUUACAAGGCACAGAGUUCGAAGAUUUGUUACCAAAUUAAGUACUUCUAGUGAGAAAAUGACAUUUUCGAGAUGCAAAACUCGGAGGGCUUUCAUUCCUUCAACAAAUGCAAUCGGAACUUUCACUAAAGUCUUUCCUGUAAAAAUCAAAAUUUUGAGUUCUGGAAAUUCUAAUUUUUCAGGAAAAAAAUUUAUGUUGCUGUUCCAAAGGGAGAUUGCUGUAUGAGAUCCACAACUUUCACUUGUAGGCAAUUCCAUCAACCCCUCUUUUACCAUGAAUAUAUUUUCCUCUGUAGAUGCUAUCCAAUGAGCAAAAUCACGAACUACGUCAUGCAUGCUUACGUAUCUUUCAUAACCAGUUCUCAAUAACAAACCAGACUCGUGGAGGUUUGCUAGUGCUUCACGAAUUUCUAUCCGCACGUCUUCAAUUGAGGAAAUAUGAGAAAAUAAUCCAUAACCAAUUGCAAACAUAACCAACUCCUCAAUCUUAAUAAGCCAAUCUUCUGGAAAAAGGGAACACAGCAAUAAACAUGUUCGAAUAUUAUCUCCCGUCAAAUAAUCAUAACUCAGUUUAAGGCAGUUGUAGAUACCUUGAGAAACCUCUUCAUUGUCUAAAUGUCUUGAGUCCUUGAGUCGCUUAUUUGCUGCUUUCCACCCAUCUAGACUUGCACCUUUUAAAGCUUUUCCGAUUGUUACAAUUGCAAGAGGCAAACCCUUGCAUUCACGAGCAACCUCCUUGGCUACAUCAUUCAAUCUCGAAGAAACAUCUUUUAGACCAGCAGUAUCUUUGAACAAAGCCCAUGCUUCAUCUUUGGAUAAGAUGUCAAGUUGAAAUUUCUGUUGACAAUUCAUACGAACACAGACUUGUUGAAGACGUGUGGUCAGAAGCAUUUUGCAACCUCCGUGUUCAACACCGAAAGGAAUACCUACAGUCAGCAACUUAAAUUCAUUCCAAACAUCAUCGAUAAUUACGAGGAUCUUCUCCACGCCUAGCAAUCUCUGAUGUAACUCUUCUGCUUUUCCUUCUGGCGUGCUUGCUUUAAAUUUCAAACUUAAUAAUUCUGCUAUUUUAUCUUGAAUUUGUCGAUGUUUGGAGUUUGGGACAUUGUAGCCAUCACAACUUUGUCAAAGAGCUUCUGCUCUUUAGCAUGCUUCCCAACUUCUUUUGCCAAAGUUGUUUUGCCCACCCCUGGCAUUCCAUACAAUCCAAUCAUGUUCACACCAUCAGUAUUUAGAGCCUUGAUGAUCUCAUUGAAAGUAAACUUUGGAGACUCAUUAGGCAUGAAAUUUUUAGAGGGGAAGAAUUCUAUUCCUUCUAGAGGAGCACGGUGGCCCACCCGUGGAAAGUUACAACUCACAAGAAGUUUAUCGAUAGAGAUCGUCUUCUUUGCCACUUUCUUACUUAAGCAAUAUCGCCAACCCCAACUUGGACACCAAUUGAAACACUUCAUACGUUCUAUUUGAGCUUCCAAACACUGGGUUUCUUCCAGUUCUUUCUCUGCCCUUUUUCGCCAGUCUUGGACAUCCUUCUCAAUUACCUCAUUUUGCCUUAUAGCCUCUUCGACAUCAUUUUUUACCCGAUCACUUUUCAAUUCAAGUUCUUUUCUCCGAUUCUUGAAUUCUUCAACAAUUUUCCCAAAUUGGAAAAAGUAACUAACAUAAGGUGAUGCAUAUUCUGUUGUGAUGUUUCCUACAGCAUUGGCAGCACCAGAGGCAAUAAAUUCACAUGCCAUUCUUUGAGUAUCUGCGGUUGAAAAACAACUUUAAUAAUUAGUAAACAUAUAAACAGCUAGAGAGACAAAAGAAAUUGUGAAUGUUUGCGAAGUACCUUAAUUACUUUGGGAGUCAAUUGUGAAGUAGAAGAGAAAAAUUGUUGAUGGAUCAACUUGGAAAUUGAAAAUUCUGCAAAGGGAAGAAAUUAUUCAGUGUUCAUGUGUAUAUUAAGAAUAUAUGUUACAUGUGUUAAGAGUAAAUGCAGUAUAUAUUUUGAUCAUUAAUCUAUCUAAUAGUUUCUCAAUUUUUAAAUAAAUCCGUUUAUUUCAUUUUUUUUCCUUAUAAAUGCAUUUUUUUUAUUUAAAUAAGGUAGGGAAACAAACAAGCAAACAACUUUUGAGCAUAUAAAAAAUUAUGGAAAUAAAAAUAAUUAUUUAAGCAUACCAAAUUGGGGAUGGACAUUCUAAAUAAAGCUGUGAGAACUUUUUACAUCAUCAACUCCAGAGAUCAUUAGGAAAGGAGAAUUAAGGAACAACCUUAAUAGAAAUUAAAAGAAAAAGGGAAUAAAGAUUAGUAACAAUAAGAUUAUAAGAACAUUGAAUUAUUUUUUUCUUUUUUUGAAGUUAAACGCAAAUCAGAAUAGAUAUAGGAUGAAAUAAAAUAAAAAAUAGAACUCAAAGAAACCAAAAAAUUAUACAGCAAUACUAUUUUUGCUUCUUUUAUUGUACAGAGAAAAACACAAGAAAAAAAAAAAAAAGAGACAAAUAUACCGAGGACAUAUGAAUUUUCAGGAUUCAAGAUCGAGCUUUUUAUUUCUAUCCACACAGUUUUUAUUUUAUUUUAUUUUAUUUUUUUGAGUUCAAAGAAAACUUAAGUAGAAACUAACCUUAUUUGAAAUGAACAAAAGAGUUUCAAGUAUUUACAAAUAUUGAGAAGUUGUGCUUGAAAUUUUCGUGACUGAUUGAAACUACAGAGAAAAGUUUGAUCAAAGACUUGUUUAAUUUCUUAGGUUUCUCUUUUAUCACCGUUAUUAUCAUUUUACUAGCUCAAAUCCUUAGUGAAAGACAGCUAGACAAGGGCCCAAGCAUCUUUUCCUUUUGUUGGGAGUUGGGCGCAAUGCCUUCAAGUCACACGUUUACUUUUUCUUUUUUGUGCUCGGUCAAAUUUUUUUUUUUCCUUGAAGAAAACUGAUCUAUUGAUGGUAGUGGGACAUGGCAUCAUUGAUGCACUUUUGAAUUAUUGACCCCUUUAUUUUGUCUUUUCUCAAUUAUUUUUCAACAAUCACUUUCUCACCUACUUUGUUUUGUUGGUUUUUCAUGGAUUAAAUUCGAUGCAUUGAAAGAUUUAAUGAUUCAAAAUCUUGUUUAUUUCCUCCGUUGAUUUAUCCUAACGUAUGAAAGAAAUAGUUUUUCAUAUCGUCAUUUGCUGAUAUACUGGGAAAUUCCACAGCUUACACAAAUUUAUCGAAAUUAAAAUCUUAUAAUAAAAAUUUUUAUUUUUUUAAGACAAUAAUUAUUUGAUAAUUGAUAUUACUUUCGUUUAAAAAUAUUUCUCAUAUAUUAAUUUUUACGAAAUUAAAAAAAAACUUUGAUUUUAAUUUUGUAUAAAAUUAAAAUUUCAUAAUUUUUUAUGUUAAAAAAAUAAAAAAUAAUUUAAAAUAUAAAAAAUUAAAUAAGAAUUUUAGAUUUUAAAAAAAGGAAUAGGAUAUAUAUGUAACAUCCCAAAAAAUAACAAAAAAAAAAAAGGAACGGAAUGAGUAGUUAUAAAUAGAUUUUUCACACAAAUGCGUAAUUCGUCAUUUCAAGUUCUCGACUCUCUAACCAUUUACUCUUUUAGCUAUACUUUUUAUUUUGUCGCAGGAAAGAAAAAUAAGUAAAAGAAAUGGAGAAUCGGAGAGAAAAGAGGCACCUCAAGCUCACUUUUGAAUUAUUGAUCCCUUUAUUUUUCUACUUUUUCAAUUAUUUUUCAGCAAUGAUUUUGUCACCUACUCGGUUUUGUUGGUUUUCAUGGAUUAAAUUUAUUUUUCAACAAUAAUUUUCUCACUUACUCAGUUUUUAAGGUUUUGAUGGAUUGGAUUCUGUAUCAAAUUAUGCCCCAUGCAAUGCAAUUAGAUUUAAUGACCAAACAAACAAAAGAAAGGGUUAAUGAUUCUAAUAUUCUUGGUUUUUUUUUUUCCUCCAUUGAUUCAUCCUACCACUUGAAAGAAGUAAAUUUUUAGAUUAUAUGAGCUGAUAUGCUGCGCAGCAUCUUAAUUACUUUGGGAGCAAUAUAUCGCUCCAUGAAAAUGAAAAUAAAAGAGAACAAAUGGUUGAUGGAUCAAUUUGGAAAUAAAAAUUCUGCAGAUGGAAGAAAUUAUUCAGUGUUCAUGCAUAUAUUAAGAAUAUACGUUACAUGUAUUAGAUUAAGGGCAUAGUAUAUAUUUUUAUCAUUAAUCUAUCUAAUAUUUUCUCAAUUUUUAAAUGAAUCUAUUUAUUUCACUUUUUUCCUUAUAAGUUUUUUUUUUUAAUAUGCCAGGGAAACAAAUAAGUGAACAACCUUUGAGGAUAUAAAAAACAAUGGAAAUAAAAUAAUUAUUUACGCAUACCUAAUUGGGGAUGGAUCUUCUAAAUUAAACUGUGUGGACAUUUUACAUCAACUCCAGAGAUCAUUAGGAAAGGAGAAUUAAGGACCAACCUAAAUAGAAAUUAAAAGAAAAAGGUAAUAAAGAUUAGCAGCAAUAAAAUUAUGAGAACAUUGAAUUAUUUUUUUUCCAUUUUUUUUGGAGUUAAAAGCAAAUCAGAAUAGAUAUAGCAUAAAACAAAAUAGAAAAUAGAAAGCAAAGAAAGCAAAAAAAAUUAUAGAGCAACACUAUUUUGUUUCAUUCUAGAGAGAAAAACACAGAAAACAAGAUAAAUAUAUCUAGGAAACAUGAAUUCUCAGGAUCCACGCAGUUUUUUUUUUUUUUUUUUUUUUAGUUCAAAGAAAACUUAAGUAGAAACCAACCUUGUUUCAAAUGAACAAAGAGCUUCAAGUAUCCACAAAUAUUGAUAAGUUGUGCUGGAAAUCCUUGUGACCAAUUGAACCUACAAAGAAAAGUUUGAUCAAAGACUAUUUUAAUUUCUUUUGAUUCUCUUUUAUCAUCAUUAUUACCAUUUUCCUUGUUCAAAUCCUUAGUGUAAGAUAACUAGAAAACCGCUUAUAAUAAGAUUUUCUAUUCCUUUAUAAGGUACCAAUUAUUUGAUAAUUGAUAGUUGCAAAUAAAUUAUUCACACAAAUGCAGAAUUCCCUAUCUUAACUCUUUAACCAUUUACCCUUUUAACUAUUUUGUCUGAUAGGAAAAAAAAUUAAGUUAAAGAAAUAGAGAAAUGGAGAGAGAAGAGGUACCUCAAGCUCACCCAUUUCUUUGGGGAAAUCAAAGACUUGAUCUAAUCCAUUACAGUAACAAACAGAAACAAUUGUUGAUGGAUCAACUUGGAAAUUUUUUUUUUCAAAGAAAACUGAAGUAAAAACCAAAUUUGCUUCAAAUGAACAAAAAGCUUCAAUUAUCAAAAAAUAUUGAGAAGUUGUUCUUGAUAUCUUUGUGACCGAUUGAAACCACAGAAAAAUGUUUCAUCAAAGACUUGUUUAACUUCUUUGGGUUCUCUUUUAUCAUCAUUAUUAUUACCAUUUUCCUUGUUCAAAUCUUUGGUGGAAGACACCUAGACAAGGGCCCAAGUGUCUUUUACUUUUCUUGGAUGUUGGGAGCAAUGCUCUUGGGUCAUGCCUUUACUUUUUUUUUUUUUUUUUGGGUGCACGUUCGAUUUUUUGAAGAAAACUGAUCUAUUGAUGCUAGUGGGACGUGGCAUCAUUGAUGCACUUCUGAAUUAUUGGCCCCUUUAUUUUUGUCUUCUUUCAAUUAUUUUUCAACAAUUACUUUCUCUCUUACUUUUUUUUUUUUUUGGUUGCUUUUGGUGGGAUUAGAUUCUGUAUCGAAUUGUGCCCUACGCGUUGAAAGAGUUAAUGAUUCAAAAUAUUGUUUAUUUCCUCCGUUGAUUUAUCCUAACAAAUGAAAGAAAUAGUUUUUUAGAUUAUCUUAGUUGAUGUAUUGCAAAACUCUACAGCUUACACUAAUUUAUCAAAAUUAAAAUCUUACAAUAAAAUAUUUUAUUUUUUUUAUAACGUAACAAUUAUUGGAUGAUUGAUAGUUGUAAAUAAAUUUUUCGCACAAAUACAAAAUUUCCUAUCUCAACUCUCCAUCCAUUUUCUCUUUUAGCUAUUUUGUUUGAUAGGGAAAAUAUAAGUAAAAGAAAUAGAGAAAUGAAAAGAGAAGAGGUUCCUCAAGCUCACCUAUUUCUUUGAGAAAAUCAAAGAUUUGCUCUAAUGGAUUAUAGUCACAAACGGAAACAAUUGUUGAUGGCUCAACUUGGAAAUUGAAAAUUCUGCAGAUAGUAGAAAUUCUUCAGUGUUCAUGCGCGUAUAUAUUAAGAAUAUAUCAUAAUGUUUUAGAGUAAAGGCAUAGUAUAAAUGCAGUUUUUAUUUAAAUAUGGUAGGGAAAGAAACAAGUAAAGAACUUUGGAGCAAAUAAAAAAUUAUAUUAUUUAAGCUUACCUAACUGGGAAUGGAUCUUCUGAAUUAAGGUAUGUGGGCGUUUUACAUCACCGACUCCAGAGAUCAUUAGGAAGGAAAAAUUAGGGACCAACCUAAAUAGAAAUUUAAAAAGAAAGGGUAAAAAAAUCAACAACAAUAAAAUUAUAAGAACAUGAAAUUAUUUUUUUCUUUCCUGGGAACUUAAAGCAAAUCAAAAUAGAUAUAGCAUGAAACAAAGUAACACAGUACUUUUUUAUCAUUAAAAAUGAAAAAGAAAGUAGAAAGCAAUGAAUGCCAAAAAGAUAUAGCAACAUUAUUUAAGUUAAUGUCUUUAUUAUUCCUCUUACCUGUUUAAGUUAAUACUUUUUAUGAAAUUUUUAAUUUUAAAAACAUCAAUCUUUUUACGUUUUUUAUACUUAAAAGUAUUUUUUAGCCAUUUAUCUUAACUAUUUACUGGAAAAAUAAUUAAUUUAAAUUUUAUGUUGCCUACUUUAUUCUUAUUUUCAUUUAUCAUUCUUAAGGUGUUAUAACACUUUUAAUUCAUUUUACGUCAAAUGAUAUUAAUUUUAUCAUCUUUUUUAUUUGUUUAUGUUAUUAAGUUUUUUUUAAAGAAGUUUGUUUUUAUUUUCAAAUAUUAAUUGUUAACAUUUUCUUUUUUAGACCUUAAAAUAUUUUUUAGCGAUUAACCUAAAAAUAUUUAUAAAAAAAUAAUUAAUUUAAAUUUUACAUUACCAAUUUAAUUAUUUAUAUUAAAAUAAUAUUGUCUAACGUCUACUCUUAUAUUAUAUUAUGAUUAUAAUUUUUAUAGCCAUUUCUUAAUCCAUUAUGAUAUUUUUAACAUAUUUUACAUCAAUAUGAAUUUUAUUACUCUUACAUGUUUACGUUUAUUCUUUAUCUUUUAUUAUGUUUAAAAUUUUCAUAACUCUUUUUAAUGAUGUUAUGAUACUUCUAAAUCAUUUUAUACUAAUUGAUAUGAAUUUUAUUAUUCUUCUCACUUAUUUACAUUGGUAAUUUUUUUUAAAAAAAAUAUUUCUAACUCCUUUUACCUUAAUUGAUAUGAAUUUUAUUAUUAUUCUCAAAAAUUUAUGUUUAUUAUUACUUUUUAUUACAUUUUAAAUUUUAUAAAUAUUUAUUUUAAUGUUACGACACUUCUAAUUAAGUUAUUUUUAAAUUUUUUAAUAUUAAUUUUUUAACAUUAACUUUUUAGCCUUUAAAGUAUUUUUAGCCAUUGGCUUAAAAAAUUUACAAAAAAAAUAAUUAUUAAUUUAAAUUUACAUUGCAAACUUAAUUAUUUAUGUUAAAUAAUAAUUUUACACUUAUUUUUAAUUAUUUAUGUUAAAAUAAUAUAUUUUUAUACUUUUUUUCUUAAUUAUUUAUGUUAAAAGAUUUAUAACUUUUUUAUAACACUUAUGACCUAUUUUUACAACAAAUUAUACUAAUUUUAUAAUUUUUCACACAUGUUUACAUUAAUAAUUUUUUUGAUAUUUUAUUUUCAAAAAUUAAUUUUUUAACUUUUAAGUAUUUUUUAGUCAUUGCCCAAAAAAUAUUUACAUGAAUAUAAUUAAUUUAAAUUUUACAUAACAACUUAAUCAUUUAUGUUAAAAAAUAUCUUUUUACGAUUUAUUUUUAUCUUUCUAUCAUAUUUAAAAUUUUUAUAAUUUUAUCUUAAGUUAUUACAUCACUUUUAACUUAUUUUAAACUAACUGCUAUAAAUUUUAUUAUUCUUCUCAAUUAUUUACAUUAAUAAUUUUUUACAAUAAAUUUUAAAAUAUUAACUUUUUAUGUUAUCAUUUUAGCCUUGAAAGUAUUUGUUUAGCCAUUGAUGUUAUAUAUCUAUUAAUUAAAAAAAUAAUUAAUUUAAAUUUUACAUUACUAAUGUAAUUAUUUAUGUUAAAAUAAUAUCUUUCAACACUUAAAUUUUGCUUGGUUAAAAUUAAAGAUAAAAAAAAUCAUGAGUGAAAAACUUAUUAAUCCAAUAAUUAAAAUUUAUAAUAUUUUUUUAUUUUAUACUUUAAAUUAAAAAGUUGUAUCCUUACCCCUUUUCAUUUUCUAUAUCAAGUAAAACCUUAUUCUUACCUUUUAUUACUUUUAAAAUUUUCAUAACUUAUUUUUUAAAAUGUUGCAAUAUUUUUAAUAAAUUUUAUGUCAAUUGAAACAAAUUUUAUUUUUUCUAGAUCUCACAUCUUUACAUCAAUAUUUUUUUAUUCUUUCAUUUUAAAAAAUAAUUCUUUUAUAUUUUCCUUGAAAUUAUUUUUAUGUUAAUAUUUUAUUAAUUUAUAUAGAAUCAUAUUUUUUGUUUAAUAAUACUUUUUAGCUAUUUUAAGAGAUACUAAUUAUUUUAAAUUUUUUAAAAUAUAUAUUUUAUUAUUUUUUAUUUUGAAGUAAAUUCAUAAACAAGUAAGAAAGUGAAAAAUCGAAGACUAAUCGAGGCAAACGAGAAAUGAAGUUGAGCAUAGCAAAAAUUACGGAGAAUAAAAUUUAUAUAUAAUGGUUUAUUGAAGCAUACCUCACUUGAGAUGGAUCUUCAAAAGCCGUAUGGAUCAGUAAAGGAAAAUCAAGGACCAGUUUUUUUUUCUAUUUCCCUGUUAAAAGAACAGAAAAUUAGAAAUCAAUAAAAGCCAAAAAAAAAAAAAGAACGCUUUUUUUAGUUAUAAAAGCAAAGUAGAAAAUCAAGGAAAUUAAAAAAGCACCAAAUUUUUUUUGUUGAGUUAUAAAAAGAAGAGCAAUAAAGCAGAAAUCAAGCAAAGGAUUUGGUACUCUAGCUAGCUGGAAGAUGUGGAGAUAAUGAUGGAAGACGAUGCUUGAUUGCCUCGAUGGAAACGGUUUGAGGAGAGAGCUGUAAGCGAAAGGUAAGGCAGCAAUACAAAAGAAGAAAAGAUAGAAAUAACAAAGAAAUGUGAAGUUUCAAGAUCCAACAACUUUGCUUCAAUUGAAUAAAAAAUUCAACCAUCAAAGAACUUCGCUUCCGAGAAAAGUAAGUUUCACCAAAGACUUCUUCAAUUUCUUUGGAGUCUUUGUUUAUUAUUAUUGUAAUUACUAUUUUUCUUAUUCUAAUCCUUAGUGGAAGGCGAUUAGAUUAGGGCCUGAACGUCUCUUUCUCUUCUUCGAAGCUGUACCUUCUUUAAUUUAUCACUAUAUUACGGUUUAAUAUUAAACUGUCAUUGGAUUUUUAAUUUAUUGAUUUUUAAAUAAAAAUAAUAAAAUAAAAAAUAUUUUCAAAAUAUUCUAUUAAUAUAAGUGAUAAAUUAUGCAACAUGCGAAACAAGAUUUAAUGCCGAACAAAUUAAAUCUUCAUUUUAAUUAAAAUAAAGAGACAAAUUUCAUAAUAAAAGCUACAGCUAACUCCACAAGGUUCAUCAAUUUAUCCAUGGUUUUAAAAUAAACUAUUUUUAAAGACCAUGGUUUUUAAAACUCAGAGGCUGCAACGAAAGAAAAAAUAAACCUAAAUGGGUGGAAACUCAUACGCUAAGUUUUUAUUGAAGCAUUCUAUUGAACAAGCAACAAGCAUCAUAUAAAAUGCCUUAAUUAGAUGUGACAAAAAUUGCAGAAAGGAUGCAAAGUACCAACAGCAAAAACUAAAGAUCUAUUCAAUACCAGUGAAUCAGUAACUAUUAUAAAAAAUUGAACAUUAUAAAUAAAAGAAAAAAAAAAACACUAAUGACUUAAAGUAAUGGUAGAGGAUUACAGAGAAUUAAUACAUGGCACGAGAAUGUGAGAAUAUGCAAUCAUUAAUCUAUUCAAUACCUUGAAGUAAUUCUCCACAAAAGUGGAUUCCCAAGAGUUGAAUGCUGCUUAUAAUGUGAUUGCCAAACUAGCGGCCACUAACAGAAGUAGAGGUUGUACCGGGUAAGACUGAAGUCUGCUUCAGCAAUUUCCUAUUUUACUUUCUGAAGCGGCAGAAGGUGAAAUAAGAAAUUGUCAUCUCCGAAGGGCAUGGGCAUUUAAUCUGAAACAGAAGCAGAGAGGCUUAAAGAGAGAUAGCAAAAGUUUGGGAGUUGCAUGAUUAGAAAACUAAGAACAGAGUGAGAAUUGAGGGACUGUGUUAGAGAAAAGUUCUGAGAAGGAAGGUUGAGAGAGAGUUUCUAAGUCAAAAGUAUUGCCUCUAUACUUGUACAGCUUGAUUACAAAGGUUCCAACUAAUGGUAGAAAAUUUUUUUUCUAAACAGAAUUAUAAUUAGUAUAUAUGCAUCAAAUAAUCUGAAUAUCAUUUGAGGCUUGCUAACAGUAAAUUAAUCAAAAAAUUUGGGAUUAAGAUCAACUUUGUCACUAUAUUUUGAUUUAAUAUUAAAUAUUGUCAUUAUACCAUCAAUUCGUUGAUUUUUGGACAACGUCCUCUUCAAUUUCUUCAGUUUGCCUGAUGGCUUCAUUGACAUCAUCUUGCAAACGCCCUUGUGCCACUGUCUCUUUCCCGAGGUCUUUAACAUUACUUAGACAAAAUUUUAAAAUUAAAAUAAAGAGUUAUUAUCAAUUUUUUUAUUAGGUAUGAUCGAUCACCUAAAUAAUAUUUUUUAAUAAAAAUUUUAAUUUAAUUAAAUCUCAUUAAAAAGAUUUUUUUUGUAAAAACACAUCUAAAUUCAGAAGUAUGGUUAUGUGUGGAGAAAUAUUAAUACUCCACAAUACUCGUUAAAAAACAGUAUCAAUUAAUAACAUGUUAUCUUUUAUUAUUUAUAACAAAUUACCUUAAUUUUAAGAUUAAAAUUUUUUUUUAAAUCCCAUUUAUUAUCAUAAAACUCCUUUUUUUGCCAUCCUUUAUAGAAUUAUUUUAAAAAUUCUAAUUUAAUUAAAACAUAUUAAAAAAUCUUUUUGGUAUGCAAAAACACAUCUAGAUUCAAGAAUACAAUUAUGUAUGAGGAAGGAUUAAUACCUCACAAUACCCAUUAAAAAAUGAUACUAAUUAAUAACAUGUUAUCAUUUAUUAUUAAUAAAAAAUGACUUUAAUUUUAAAUUUCAAAAAUAAUUUCCUGAAUCUCAUUUAUUAUAAUAAAACCCCUUUUUUUCCAUCCAUUUUAGAAUCACUUUAUUUAGAAAUAAAAUAAAAAUUUUUUGUUUUGAAUUUCUCAAUAUCUUGGUAAAAUUUAAAAAAAUAUUUUUCACUUGGGUAUUUUCAUGAUAAUCCUUAAAAUCUGUGCAUUAUCAACAUUAUAAUAUUUAUAAAUCUGAUAAUAUUAAAUUUUUAAGUUCAAUUCUCAUCAUAUAUGAAUUUCAUUUUUUUUAUUAAAUUUAUUUAAUUAUGUGUAGAUUUAUUUGUUUGAUUUAAAUCAAAGAUUUUCUUGUAGGACUGUAAUACUUUCUUAUACUAUUAAGUUCAUAAAAAAUUUUAUAACUAAAGAAUUUCCCAAAAUUUCCAUUGGCAUGCAUUUUGUUUUUUUUUUUGGGAAUUCUUGGACGCUUUGCAACGAGACUAGCAUUUUUUUUGUUUAUAAUAACUGGAAAAAGUCAUAUAUAAUCCAAAAUAGAAAUAAAGAGAAUGACUUUCGGGUUUUAAUUAGAAAUAUAAAACUAGAAAUUAAAAAUCCCCUCUCCCCAUGACUCAUAUACCAUAAUCACUGCUUAUGAUAAGCAUGGUUAAUGGAAUUUUUUUUUAAUUAUAUUAAGAAAAAAUGAAAAUGAAAAGAAUAAAAAAAAAAUAAGUAUGUAAGCAUUAAGCGGUUAGUUGUACAUUAUUGGCCUAAAAUACAAAUGGUUUGUUUGACCUUUUGUCUACGGAAAUGCAUUUUUCAUAAUAAAUAAAUAAAUAAAUGUAGUAAUCAAAUAAUUCAAAUUUUAAAACUAAAAAAAAUAUUCACAUGUAUGCAAAUGCAUUUUCAUUAAUUAAUUUCAUUUCACAUUGUUUUAAAAAAAUGAUAUUUAAUAUAUUCACAUGUAUGCAAAUGCAUUUUCAUUAAUUAAUUUCAUUUCAGGUUGUUUAAAAAAAUGAUAUUUAAUAUAUGGCUGGAUCAAGACAUGAUCAUAUGGAUGAAAUAUGGCCAAUCUUGAAUUAAUUAACAAAUCAAAGAAAAUGUAUUUACAUCGCUGACAUCAAUAAAAACUAAAUGAAAAUAUAAUAAAAAAGAAGGCCAAAACCUUUUGUCCUUUUUCAGAAUGAUGCACCUUCCAACAAUAUUUUAUCCCUUGGUCUAUGAGGAAAGUAAUGGCCUUGGAGUGCUAUGUUGUCUUCUUCCAAAUGAACCACCCAAAAAUUCCCAUUAAUUAGAUGAAUUAUAAAAAAUCUUAAAGAUCUCAGCAGAAUUUAAUAAAUUAUAUAACCUAAAAGUUGAACUACAUAAUAGUAUUUUUGCCAUUUACAUGUUUUGAUUUGGUUUAUAUUUUUAGUUUUCCUUUUUAAAUGUCAUGAAUUCAUCAUCAUUAUUGCAUGAUAUAUAUCUUUUGGUAUUAUUGUUGGGGCUGCUUCUGCAAAAUUUGCCACAACUUAAAGCAAAAAAUCUCCACAAAGUAUAUUGUAUGUAAAUUUGUGGUAUAAUUAACUUCAAAUUCAGUUUGAUUCAUUAUAUUUUAAGAUAUCGGUAUGGGUUUUGAUUUUUUUGAAUAUUUUACUGUUUAUAUGUAUAUAUAUAGGAUACUUCGAUUUUCAAAAUUAAUAUAAAAAAUUAUCAAAACAAAAUUUAUUCAUAUUUGACGAGUCCAUAUAACAUAGUGUAUAAAUAAUUUAUCAUUGAGUCAAUUAUCAAAACACCACAAUAAAAACAAGCAUGGAAAACUAUCUAUGACAUGCAAGUAGACAUAACUAUGUAUUAUUCAUCCAUAUCCAUUCAAGCUACUACAAGGAACUAAAGAACCGGCAAACCAAACUGAACACAAAAAAAAUCAUGUUUCUUAAGAGUACUUGAAUUUUGCCACCAAUCUCUUGGCCAAGUGAUAAGAAGAGGAUUUAUGAAAUAUGUAAGCUUGAGUUCCAAUCCAAAUAUUAAAAAAAAAUACAUGAAGUUUUUCUUAAAUGAAUGGCUAAAUAUGGCUUUAUUUCACAAUAUCAAACAAACAAAUGCAAUGCAACAUAGAGUAAAUUACUUCUUCAUUGCAAAGUAAAGCUAAAAAAGCAGGCAUCAAAUUAGUUGAUGGCACCAUAAAAUAGAAAGCUCAAAUGAUGACAGAGCACAAUCAAGUAUCAACCACCUAUCACUGAGGCAAAGAAUCAAUAAGAAUUUAAACAAGAAACUUGAUUGAGGAAAUCAUAAAUACAUGAACAGUGAUUAAUUCAAGAUUUUUGUGGGGAAAUGUUCAUUCAUAAUAUAUACUAUUGUUAUCCAUUUUAGUAUAACCAAAGUCUCAUGCUUUGUAAGUUAUAAACAACUUUCUCUUAAUAACACAAUGAUAUGUCACUCCUAUGUUAACCAUACACUCAAUGUCAAGAUUACCAAUAUAAUUACAAUUACCCUGUGUACAAAUUAAAAUAACUGAAUCACUGUCUAAAUUCACUACUGUAACAUUACCAUCAUCUAAAUUUUUGCUUUUAUCAUCUUUCCUCUCUUGCUUCAAGAUUUUUCAGUAUCACUUUAUAUGACCUACUUUACCACAAUAGAAGCACUUCACUUUAUCUGUGGACUUGAAUCUAUAUUUAGACUUAUUACGGCCUUUUGAGUUUUGAUUUUUGUCAAUAUUUCUACAUCUGUUUUCUAUGACAAAAGUUUGAUUCAAGGGUCUGAGUCCUUUUGCAUUGCUUCUUCAUUAAGCAUACUGUCUUUUAUCAUCUCCAAUGUCACAUUGUAAUUAGGAUCUGAAUUAAGAACAGUCAUAACUAGAGUAUUCCUGUUGUCUGGCUAUGAACCCAAAAGAAACAAUGCAUUUAUUUUAUCAUCCAUCUUAACCUCUAUGGUAGUCAUCUGAUUAAAUAUAUUUUGAAAAUCACUUGAGUACUCUGUAAUUGAUCGUUCAUCCUUUUAUUAUAAAGUUGCAAGCUUUUUAAUAUGCAUAAUUUUAUUCAUGGUUGUUUUUCUUUCAUACAACACUGUUAAUUUUUUCAAACAGUGUGUGCAUAUUCUCCUGUGCUACAUAAUAGAACACGUUGAUAUCAACUCAUUUUUUUAUUGUGGCCAGUGCUUAACUUUUUUCAGCUUUCAUCUUUCGUAGCUGUCAGUUUAGCCAGAUCACCUAAUAUCAACUCAUACAAAUCUUUGUAGUAUAAAUGAUUUUCCAAAUUGAAUAAUUUGAUAUUGUCAAUUUUAUCAUGGAAAUUGUAUCACCCUUUAUGAUCUCAAAUAGAAUUUACUUCCAUCCUAAGUUGCUUCUGUAUUGAUGUCUAAAAAAUAACCUUCGCUCUGAUAUCACUUGUUGGGCCUAAAGUGACAAACACAACAAUGCAAAAGCAAUAUAUCAUAAUAAACCCAUAGCAAUACACAAUAAUCAAUAAUCAACAAUACAAGGAAAAUAAAAGCAUAUCAAGAUUUAUAUGAAAAACCUUCUAGUGUAGAGGAAAACAAUCACAGAUCAUCAAAAAAAUCUUCACUAUCAAAUAAUAGAUAUACAAAGUUCUCCUCUAAUCAAAACUAGAACUAAUCAACAACUAAAAAGAUAAUUGAAAAAAUCUCAUCAAAUAGGUGACUCAAUAAAUACACCCUAGAUUUAAUCCUAGAAAAUUUCAAAUCCAACAUUCACCGUUCAAAACGUAAAACUCUAAAUCAUAAACUUGUUGAUAAAAUUUUAGUUCAAUCAGACCACGAAUCAAUUUUUAUUCAAUCAACUCUCCCUUCUCUCUUUUCUCUCUAUUUUUUUUUUUACUUUUCUUUUUUACUUAGUUUCGAUGCCACCACACUUCUUUUCAAACCAAAAACUACCUCACUUUUAUAUGUAGGAUUUUAUUUCAUGGUCAAAGGCCACAAAACUUUAUGCCUUUUAAUUGGCUAAUCAAUUAGGGCUGGAUCCACAUAUUCCUAACAUCAACUACAUUGAUCAUAUCACGAAAGUUGAUUCACAUGUUGAUUUUGUAAAAAUAAAUCCUACUAAUGUAUUAAAAAUUUUAUUGAUUUGAAAAUAAAUUUAAGAAAAAUUUUCCUUGAAAUUAAAUUGUUUUGAAAAUGUUAGAAAAAAAAAGUUAAAAUAUCAAUUUUUUUAAAAUAAAAUUUUGAACGAUUAGAAAAAAUUUGAGAUAUCAAUUUUUUUUUUAAUUUUGAAAUUUAGAGAAACUUAAAAACAAUUUUCAAAAAAAAAAUUGUUUUGAGAUAUUUUUUAGAUGUUUUUAAGACUUAAUGAAUAGAACAAAAUCAAUUGGUAUUAUUUUUUGAAUGGACGUUGUAAGAAUAUUAUAUUUUUUUCCACAUAACGUACACUUGAAUCUAAUCUAGUUUCAUAGAAUAUAGUUUAUUCUUUUAAAAAACCUAAGUUGAGUUUAAAAAAUUUUUAAAAAGAAAUAAAUUUAACCCUUAAAUAAAAAAUUAAUGACAAUUCUAUGAUUUUAUAUUUAAUAAUUAAAUUUACCUACUUAUACCUUAUAAUAAAUAUACCUAAAAAAGAAUGAGCUUUCAAGAUCCAAGAUGGAGUUUUUAUUUCCAUAAAAAAAUUUUUGAAAUUAAAAGAAAACUGAAGUAAAAAUCAACUUUGCUUCACAUGACACAAAUAAAGGGAAAUUCUGCUUAAAAUCAUGUGACCAAUUGAAACUACAAAGAAAUGUUGCAUCAAAAACUUCUUUAAUUUUUUGGAUUGUAAAUAUUAUCAUUUUCCUUGUUCAAAUCCUUCAUGGAAGACAACUAGACAAUGGCCCAGGCUUCUUAUCCUUUACUUGGGAGUUGGGAGCAAUGACUUUAAUUCACACGUACAUUAUUAUUUUUUUGCACGUUAGAAAUUUUGAAGGAAACUGAUCUAUCAUUUAUCUGAAUUGCCAGAGUUAAUAAUUCACAGCUGUCAUUUGGUAGGACAUAGCAUCAUUGAUGCACUUUUGAGUUAUUGACCCUUUUUUUUUUCAAUUAUUUUUCUGCAUUUUUUAUAAUAUUUUUGGUUGACCUUCGUAGAUAAAUCUAUUCAAGAAUAGAAUUAAAUUAUUAAUCUCUUUAUUUUUUAAUUUUUUCUGUAUUUUUUAAAAAAAAAUUUGGUUUUCAAGAAUCAAAUUAUUCAUUCACGUCUGAAAAUUAAUUCAAAAUUUAGAGGUAUUUAAGCAUAAAUAUUAAGUUUCCCAAUUGGAUCAAAACUUAAAUUGAAGGUUCACUUAAAAAAUGGAUAAGCUUUGGGAAAAACAUUAAUGGUUUAAGCUUAACUUUAUAGUUUUUAUAUAUUAGACCGAUUUGAUAGUUACUUAUAUAUAUUAUUUAUAAUUAAAUUAUAUAAAAAUAAAUAAAUAAAUAAUAUACAUGCAUAUUAAUUUUUUAUACCUAUAUGUAUCGAUUUCAAUUAAAUAUUAAAUUAAAUUAAUAAAAUUAUUUUUAAAAUUUUAUUUUGUUAUAAUUAAUAUUUAUUAUAAAAUUUAUUUUUAUUUAAAAAAAAUUAAAAUCAAAACCCAAUUUUUGAUCUGAGCUUAAUAAUUGUAACACUUAUUAUUAAUAUGUUUAAGUUCAAUCCUAAUUCGAUCUCAUCAUAAAAUUUUUUAUCAUAAAUAAACAUCCGUUACAUCACUUUAUUUUUUAGUAAUGUUAUAUAGUAAUUAAAUAUUCAUUUUAAUUAUAGUACAAUGACAAAUUUUAUAAUUCGACAUUUCCUUUUUGUAUAAGACUAAAUAUCAUUUCAUUAUAUCUGUAAGCACCACUAAAUUGUCACCUGCAAUUACAAUCUCAACUCUUAUUAAUAUAUCAAGUCAAAUGAAUGCGCAACGUCAUAUCUAUUGGUAGAAAAGUUUUUCUAAACACAAUUAGUAUAUGUGCGUCAAAUAUUUCAUAAAUAAUUUUUUUUCUGUAUCUAAAUACCAUUUGAGGUUUGCUAAUAGUAAAUUUAUUAAAAACGUUGAGAUUAAAGUCAAAUUUGUCUGAAUAUUAUGGUUUAACACUUCCGCCCAAAAAUAAUUGUAUGUUAUUGAUUUCCGUUUAAAUUUAUUCAAUUUUGAUCUUCAUUUUUUAAAAUAUUAUAUUGAAUUAAAAUUUUAAAAAAUAUAUUUUGACAAUUUUGAAAUUCAAAAUUUACAAAUCUUAUUUUUAAAAAUUUUUUAAUUGUACAAUUUUAUAAAAAAUAAUGAUAAAAAAUGAGUUAAUUUAACCAAAAAAUCAAUUAGAGACGAUUAUUUGGAGAUGGAAAAAUCUACUUGAAAUCUCAGUGACCAAUUGAAACUACAGAGAAAAGUUGCAUCAAAGACUUAUUUAUUUUCUUUAAUUUCUUUGGAGUCUCUUUUAUUAUGACUAUUACCAUCUUUCUUAUUCAAAUCCUUAGUGGAAUACAGCUAGAAAGGGCUUGCCAAACAUACUUCCUAGUCCUGGAAGCUUUAAGAUUAUCAAAUUUUAAAUCUUAAUUAUUAAAAUAAAAAAUUUAUCAUUCUAUCAAUAAAUCAUACUGUUGAUUGAUCCCUUUAUUUUUUUUCCUCUUUUUUUUAUCAAAUUUUCUUUUGUAUUUGUUAUGAAACUCCACUGUUUAAGUGAUUUAUUAGAAUUAAAAUCUUAUAAUAAGAUUUUAUAUCUUUCAUAAGGUAACAAUUAUUUGAUAAUUAAUAGUUAUACAUAGAUUUUUCACACAAAUGCAGAAUUCCCCAUCUCAACUCUCUAACCAUUUAGUAAAUAAGUUUUUAUUUAAUAAUAUAAAUUUAUUUUAAAUUCAUUAAAAUUAAUAUAUUUCUAUUUAAAAAUAUAUUAUUAUAUAUUUAUAAAAAUUUAUGUGCUCAAAAUACAAAAUAAUAAAAACUAAAAAAUCUUGCCCCAAUUCAGGCUCAAUUCAAAAGCACAUGGCCAACUUUUUGCGCUAAAAUGUUUCUUUUUUUUUUUUUGGAAAGGUCAAUUUUAUACAAAUUCGAUAGAAGAUUUGAUUUUUUACUCGAAUGAAGAUAAAAAUAGGUAAUAAAUUUUGGAAUGAUAAUAUAAGUAUAGUUUUGAUCUUUUAUGGGAUAUAAAAAUGAAAAAGAAUAAUAUAAUAUCUAUCAUGUAUCCAUAUCCAUAUUAUAUAUAUUUUUAUAUAUGUGUAUUUAGUAAAUAGAUUUAAUAAUAUAAAAUUUAUUUUAGAUUACAGGUGGGUUUAAGGAUGAGAAAAACCUAUUUCAUUGUCGACCGAGAUUGGAUGGUGGCUUAGGAGGGUUAAAAAAUCAAUGAAUUAAAUCAAAUAAACAAUGAAAAGCUAUUCAAAUAAUUGGGUAGAAAAUAAUAUAUAAUGUUCAAUAAAAAAACAACGAUUACAUUGAUUGGAACAAUCAUUAGCAAAAUGCUAGAUAAGGUUUUGGACGUCAAGCUGUUAUCUUGAUUUUUCAGUCGUGAGCAUGGAAUGGAAUUAAUACAGCCAGCCAGUUGAAAGCAGAAGAAUAACUGGAAAAGUAGGUGACAAUUAAACACAAAUAAUUUAUCUGAAAGUUGUGGAUAACAUAUUGAUUAGUGAGAGCUGUUUUGAUUAUUAAUGGAAGGGUCAGUUGUCUUGAAGUUUUGCUUCAGUUUAGGCUGGCACAGGUAGAUGAAAAUUGUAAUGAACCAUAUUCAAUGGAAAAGCAAUUUUUCUAAUCAUUAAGAUCCAUUCAAAUAAUAAAUGAAAUUUAUUCUAGUGAAAUUAAAAAUAAUAGUGAUCAUAAAAUUAGUUAUUAUAGUAGUUAGAAUGGAUAUUAAUAAAAUUAAAAUUAAUGAUGAAAAUAUGUUUUUUAUUAUAAAUAUAAUGUUGACGAUGAAAUUAAAUAUGAUAAUCGAUUGUCAGAUUAAAGAUAAUCAAUUAUAAUAUUUAAAAACUAGGCAGUUAAAUGCCCAACAAAAAAUAAUAGAUUGUUAUAAUUGAAAAUAUCUUUUGUUUUAAUUUACACUAAAGACAGUCAAAUAUCUUAGAUAAAAGAAAUUAAAAUUAAGGUUAAGAAAUAAGAAAGUGGCUGAAAAUGGAAGAUUGGAGGUGGAUUUUUUGGCCUUUUCCAAAUUCGGAUCAAGUAAAUGGGUCUUGAAAUCAUAUUUCACCUGGUGAACCUAGCUGUAAAGGGUGAGGUUUAAAGUUCUAGCAACUGUCAGUAAAGAAUGUUGGCACUGACAAGCUGAGAGAGUCUAAACAAUAAAGAGACUCUCCCACUAUUCUUAAUAAAAAAAGGCAAAGGUUGGAACUUAGAAGGGAAUUGGGUUGAAAUAGAAAUGGGAUUUCAAGAAAAAAUUGCCUUUCACAUUAUGGAAUUGCUUGAUCUUCACUCAAAUGUUUCAUCCAAAUCCUAAAAAUCGGUCAUCAACCUCUCACUCAAGCUCACUUUUCAGUCAGACUAGGGAAAAAUAGUUUCACUCUGAGUCGAAACUCAAUUGCUUCAUGUAACUACCCGAUGACAUCCAGUAAUUUAAGAAUUCAAAUACUAAUAUUUAUAAUCUCUAUUCUUAUUCCUAAACUAUGACUUUUUUUGUGUAAAAAAAAAUGAUGACUUUUUUUAACUCUAAUUUUUUCAUAUAGGUUGCAACCCCUUUUGUUGCUGUUUGCUUUCUUUGAUUCCUCAAUCAAUAGGCCAACUCUACAGUUUCAUGGCCAUGGAGCAAACAUUCUUUACGCCAAAAGCUUUGUUGAUUUCCACAUUGCAAGACAUGGGGUGGAUUCAAUUCUCCUUACUUAUACCUAAAGGAUUACACGUUUUAAUGGAUCGUAAAAAAAGAGUUCACAGUUUGGCCACAACAUUAAGAUUACUCCAAUAUGUUUAAAUUACCAAAAUGAUGUUUUUUUUUUCUUACAAAAUAUCGAUAAAAUUGCAUACAUUUUCAAAUUACAUUAAUUUUAGAUUAAAUCGAAUUAUCAUUUUUGAAAUGAUUGAAUAAAUCAAUUGAAUUAAACUUAAAUAUUUCUUCCUUGUAUUGACAGCUUGAAAACUAAGAUAAAACAAAAAUACAAAACCAGCUCGGUUCACACUGUCAAGUGUUGAUUAAUCACCUUUGCGCCGCAAAAAUCACAACCUUAAUUAAGGAUUAAUUAACCAAUAAUAUGUCAUUAACACAGCAAUCUCGGCACGUGCUAAUGUAUCGUCAUGUGAAUGGCUUUAUUACAAGCUAAAGCAACCGCCGACCAUUGGAGGACAGAGCUGUCAAACAAGGCAAUGACAUCUUACCACGUGGCACAUUCUUGCUGUAUGAACUCAAAACCAAGUCUAACAAAGUAAGAAAGAGAUUUUUGUCUGUAAGAAUCUUCCCAAGUUGUUGCAUAUGCUUUGCAUUAAGUCACCAAAAUCAAAGGUACCCCCAAAGUUUAUACAUAAUAUAUAUUUUAUAUAUUUUUACUGAUAUUAAUUAUGAUACAUAAUUUUCAUAUAAAAUAUAAUAUAAAUACAUAAAUUAUUUGUAUUUUACAUAACACUGAAUUAUUAUCAUGUUUACUCAAAAGAAAACUUAGGAAUUAAGAAAUCCAUAAAGCGAAUUGGUUUACUAUGUUUAGAACUUUUGUCUGAAGCAUAUUAAUACAAGAAAGAAGUGAUUCUUGCCUCAUGAAUGAUCUAGGUUGCAACAUCCAACUAUUGUCUGGGCAUAUAUCAUUGCAAUUUUCCAUUCAGGAAAGAUGAAGUUACUGGUCAUCAGUCAAAAAAUCCUGAAUAUGGUGGUAAAAGAGCAGUCAAGGUUAUUAAGAUCAAUGGAACAUUCAAAAUUAGCUGAUGGUAUUUUAGUAUGAUUUUUUCUUGAUUUUCUUUGCUAUCUAAGAGAUUAUAAAUCAUGAGAAUUUUGGAUCAAAUUGGAUAAUUCUGAUAUUAACAUCAUUACAUGAAAUGAACUGGUUGACCAGAGAUUCAUGUCAUCCAAUUUCUAACAGUACAAAAUCCGUUGGAGAUAAAUUUGAUUCAAAUAAGAAUAAAAAAAGAGUUUGGUUGCAAACUCUUCUUCAUCCUCUUCUUGUGUUGAAGAAUGAGGAUGGAAUGCAUCAUCUGCAAGGUCUCUGAGCUCUGACAAACUUCUUCCAAGCUGAAGAGCGGCUUUCACUUCAAACAAUUUUCCAUUUUCCCUGUCAUCAGCAUCUCCUUCCUCCAAGGUUAAUUCUAUAGUCUCCCCCUUAAGCCUGAAGAAUCCAGCAGAGCUCCUAUACAUUUCAAACCCCGUACCAAUCUGCCCACCAUGCUCAAAACUGUUAACAACAAUUGCCAUAGCUCCAAAAACCACACUGAAAAUCACAGCAAAUGAGCCACAGAAAGAUGAUCCCAUCAAGGCAGAACAAACUGCAGCCGUGCCAGUGAACAAGGGGCCACAAAUAGCUAGAAUUUUAUUGAUUUUCAGCACUAUUUUGCUUAGUUUGAUAUAUUCUUCAGUGUCUUUUCUCUUCAAAACCAUAACAAUUUCUUUCAUUUCUUCUUCAAGAUUUUCAUCCCACCCAUCUGUUUCUAUUUACUGUUGAUAAUUUAGAAUGUGGUGCAUCCAUAAAGAUUUAAUUAUUGAUAAAUAAAAUUAAUUUUUAUAUUAAUUUUAUUUAUAUUUUAAGUUGUAAAAAACUUACCAAGCAUGGUUCCAAACAAGGGAAGUGGAUAAGCUUCAUCUAAUGCCAAGACUUUCUCCAUUGCAUCUUUCACAUCAUCUGAAUCUGGGUUUCCAAGAGCAAUGAGUGUAUUUAUCUCCUCAUGAAGCUGCUUAAACAAUCUUGAAGCAUUUCUUUGUUCUUCAGCCAGCUGCAACGGCUGUAUCUUAUUUAUAACCAGCAAAAGCCGGUUGAUGCAAUGUAAAGCAAACCGGAAGAUAGUUUUCAGAACCAAAAAUGAUGCUCCACCUCCAACGACAGCUGCAAUUCCAGCCAUUGUCGCCACUGUGACUGUCAUUUCAUUGACAGAAUUCAACAGCAGCCAGUUCCAGUUAUCACGCUGUGCUCCAAUAGUCCAAUGUUCUAGCGCAUUUCAACUAUUUCUGCUACAAUAUCCAUAAUAGCAUACAUCUCUUGCAACACCAUUGAAUUAGAGAUUUCUUCCUUGUUUACGUUGUUGUUUCCAAGUUCAGGCUUAAUUUCUAUCAGGGGAUUGGUUGUUUUCAAGGUUUUCAACCCUUUUCUUCUGUUAAACCCAUCAUUCAGGAACUUGGAAACUGAAAUAUUUGGGUUAUAAAGAGUGGCUUUGGUUUUUUCCGAAGGAACUUGAGGAAGAACGACAAGAGAAAUUGGUGAAAAAGCUUGAAGAAUAGCCACGAUCACUUUGCUUGUGAUCCAAAGGCUUUUUGCAGUAAUACGAGUGAGAAUCUGAUGUAUUUAUGCUAGAAUAAUUGGAGGAUUUUCUACAGAACUUGUCCAUGGUUUCAUUUUCAACGUAGUUGAAUUUGACUUUCCUUUACGGUUAUUGAAGUGUAGAGCGGGUUAAAGACUUCACGUGAUUGGUUCACUUGACAUUAUUUGCUUGUUGAUGGGUAUUUUCACUUGACAUUUUACUUUUACAUUUUCAUUGCCAAAGAAAGCUGUGAACCAAUGCGAUCCCAAUACUUUAACAUUAUAAAAAGUACAGAGGAAGUAGGAACUUGAAGAGAUCAUCACGUUAAGAAUUAAAUAUUAGAAUAAUCAAUCCCAAGUUUAACUAAGUUUAUUUAUACAGAUAUCUUCGAAAAAUUAAAUUUAAUUGUAAAAAUUUCAACAUUUACGAUCAUUAUUUUAUUUUAAGAGUUUUUGGAAAGAAUUAAAAGUACUAAAUUUAUGAUGUUAAACUUUUUGUUCUAAUUCAUACUGUUACUUCUUUCAUUUUUUUUAAUUGAUAAUUCGUAUAUUUAUAUUAUACAAAAUUUAAUAAUUUAUAUAUUUUUAUUAUAUUUUAUAUAAAAAAUUAUGUAUUAUUAUUCAUAUCAAUAAAAAAAUACAAAAUAUAUAUUUUUAUUUUAUUAAAUUUAUAUAUGUUUUUUAUUAAAAUUUUAAAUUAUAUUAUUUUUAAAUUUUUUAUAUUAUUUUCAUACGAUGUUAUUAUAUCGUGUUUAAAAUUAUGAACGAAAGCAAUAAAUUUUGAUUUAUGAGUAUUCACGGGUAAAUCUUGAUUUCUUUUUCCAUAUAGCAAGCAAAUACCCCUUUCUUUUUCAGUUUUCGGAUGGUCACGAAACAAAACAGGCAAAUGUGAACCCCAAUUCCUAACCAUUUUCACCCUUUGAAACCCAGAGUUCUACGCUUCAAGGAGACCAGAAUUACUCAGUUUAAGACUGACAGGAGGAAAAUCGACGCGCAUUCACUAGAAAACGACGAUGAAAUAUGACCAACCAUACCAAUAAUAUUCUUCAGUCUUCAUUCCUCGAGCAACAUGUGUUGUCUUUGUCAAUGCAACAAUCUUUGAAUCUAGGUGAGCAUUAUUCGGUUUAAAUCAAUUAAACCAAUUUAAAAUUGAUAAUUCAAUGAAAUCGAAAUUUUUUUUUUUGGAUUAUUUAGUUUUUCCAACUUAAAUGAUUUAAUCGAUUCAUUUUCGAUUUUAAAUUUAUAGUAAAUUGAAUUCAAUCUUUAAAAAAACUAUUUUAUAUAAAUUAAAAAUUAAUAAAUACAAACAUUUUACCUAAUUCGACUAAAUUAAUAAAUUGGUUCGAUUUUUAUAUAAAUUAAAUUGAUUAAGUCCAAUUUUUCAGUUUUUACAAACUAAAUUUUACAACCAAAUUCAUCUUAACAGAAUGUUAUGCCUUUCCCUAAGCCUCCGAGUUUCUUUCAUUCGAUAUUAUUAUAAAUUUAACUCGUUGCUGUCCCUAUGCCUAAGCAUGCGCCGUCACUGCCCCGGCCAGGCCAGGCGGUGAUGAUUUAGAAACGAAAUUUUCUCUGCUCAUGAGUUAAUAUAAGACCUCUACAUAUGUUUUAAACAACUAAGAAACUUUGAAUUACCCCAAUGGCAUCCAUGUCAUGUGUGAACCGUGAAGCUAGAACUCAGAUCCAAGCAGCAUAAGAAUACGGUACCGAUCAACUGCAUCACAAGGGAACCAGCCUUCUCUUGACAAAUUGUGGAAAAAAAAAAUUGUAAAACAUCAAUACAAAGACUAUUACAAGUCUUAACCAGUCAAGCUACUUAUGAAUUAUUCUUACUCGAUCAAGAAAAACUCAAAUAACAAAUGAAAUUGAGUUUGAGUAAUUUAAUGUCAAUAUUUACAAUUUCACCGAAUUAAAUAGAGCAUGCUAAAUCGAAUUCAAGCGAUUCAAUUAAAUUAUGAAUCAAAUUUGAGCAUGAAAAAUGAAGCUUGAUCGAAUUCAAGCAGUGUUAUACAAUCCCCAAAUGAAGAAUUGAGAGGAAAGAAUAAGCAACCACAACCAGGAAACAGAAUUCUCAUCUUAGAGACUGCAUGAAUCUAAGAAGAAACCAACCUGUCCAUGUAUGAUUUUCACAUUCAAGGUGUCAUAAAAAUGUGUACCCUUUACACCAGAAUUUAAAGAACUUAGUGUAAAAUAAAAGUAAAAACCGUAUUUGCACAACAGAAACUGGAAAUAUGUAUUUAUUCUUGUUCAACAAUGGCCAGCUGUAAUUUCGGAACUCGUUAAAGGGUGAAUCAACAAACGAAACCCUACAAAACUUCAGGAACUUAUUCUUGCUCAUUUAAAUAGGAAGUAUAUAUCCAAUGCUAAUCGUGGAAGUAUAUAUCCAAUGCUAAGCGUACCAGCAAACCAUGAAAAUAUCACAGCAGUUGCUACUAGGCCUUCAUACAUCAAGUAGCAGCCUGCGAGGGUCUUCCACAACAUCUUUGAUUCGACGCAAGAAGAAGACAGCCUCUCUUCCAUCAAUCAGCCUAUGGUCAUAAGUAAGGGCAAUGUACAUCAUUGGUCUUGGGACUAUGUUACCUCCGACAACCAUUGGUCGGGACACUAUUGAGUGCAUACCCAAGAUAGCCGACUGCCAAAAAAUUGUUUAAUCACGUGAGAUUCUCUUUCUGGUCUCAAACAAAAGCUGAAGAUUAGAAACACAGUAGAGCGAGCGCAAACAUCUCUAUUAAUAUGGAUGUCACAAGUGUAUGGAACCCUCAUACAUAAACAAGCAUGCACAAUUAUUCAGUUUGUGACCACUAACCUGAGGAGGGUUGAUAAUUGGGGUACUCAACAAACUUCCAUAAACACCACCAUUGGAUAUUGUAAACGAGCCUCCAGCCAUUUCAUCAAUUGAUAUGGUCCCAUCAUUUGCCUUCUUUGCGAGGCUGUUGAUUGUCUUCUCUAUCUCAGCAAAAUUCAUCUUAUCAGCAUCUCGAAUAACCGGAACGACAAGCCCCUGACAGGAAAGAUAAAGAAACAAAAAGCUUAACAUAGAAACAUGAAUCACAUUCUUCUUUAUCUUUUUCUUAACUUUCGGUGCCCAUGAAGGAUGGGGUGAUCUAUGCAUAUAUUUAUCAAUAGAGGCCUAUUUGAUUGGUGGAGAAACUUUGAAGAUUAGCAACAAACCAAAAUGAGAAAAGACUUGACAUAAUCAUCUAGAUACCUCAUUUUCUCUUUUGUCAUGAAAUAAAAUAAAGCAACUUCAGCUCAGCAAAUAAAGAAAACAAGUAAAAAAAAAAACCCUUCAAAAAAUCUAUAAUGUUUAAUUGUCAAAGGACACAGUUUUGAACCUAUUGAUUACUCAUUUCAACUUUACAAACUGCUCUAAGUUCAUAGGAAAUUCUUAAAUUCAAUACAUUUUUACAUGAUGUUUAAAUUCUUUCAAAACAAGCCAAGAAAGAAUGCUGAGAGAAACACUAACAAUCCAAGUUCAGCAAGCCAUUAAAUGGAUAAAUUGCAAUUUGGCAAAUCAAUCACAAAAAGAUUACCUUCGGAGUACCAACAGCAAUGCUGAUAUCAAUAUAAUCUCUAUAAAUAAUAUCAUCCCCAUCAAUUGGCAAAUCAAUCACAAAAAGAUUACCUUCGGAGUACCAACAGCAAUGCUGAUAUCAAUAUAAUCUCUAUAAAUAAUAUCAUCCCCGUCAAUUACAGCAUUUACUAUAGGCUGAUGCUGAAGUGCACUAACAGCAGCCUGAAACAAAUAAAAUAGAAGAAAUGAUAAGGGAAAAAAGAGAAAGCAAAGUUAGUGAAGACAGGCCAUGAGUGCAUAUGUGACCAUUUCAAGAACAAAUUUUGCAUACUUUAACAAAUCCUGACAUAAAUCCCAACUUGACACCAUGUCUCUCAACAAAAGCAUCCUUGAAAUCAGAGCGGAGCUUCAUCAAAUUAGUCCUGCAAUGAGAAGCAAAUCAAAAAGAAAAGGAAACAAAUCAGCAUAGCCUUCAUAAAGUAAAAUGAUCUGGUUAACUUCACAGAAAACUUGUAUCAGAAAAGGGAAGCAAAUAGUUAGGUACAGUCAAAGAAUCAUCUGAACCUAAAAAAAACCAAAAUAUAAAUGUUUAGAAAGUGAAGUAGCACAGACAGCAGGAUGCCAAACACCUGAUGCAAAGAACUAAAAUAUGAAGAUAACUGAACUCACAUGUCAACUUCAUUGAAUGUUGUCAACAUCGCAAAAGUAUUCUGAGAAUCUUUCAAUCGUGUAGCAACCCGUUUCCUAAGCCUUGUCAUAGGAACCUGUAAUCAUGAAGCCAUACACUCAGGAUAUUUUCUAAGAUGCUAACAUCAUUUUUCACAAAAGGCAUCAGAAAAUUCUAAGCAUACCCUUUGGAUAACAUUUGGAUGCAAACAGCAAAUGAAAAGACUUACUCUUCUUUCCCUUUCCUUGGGUGGUAGUAUAGGUUCAGUAGCAGUUCGUUUUGGAGGUGGUGGAGAAGGGGCUUUAGGCUUCUCCACAGCAGGAGAGACUUCAACUUUGGCUUUUGGCUUAUCCUCCUUUACAGUUUCAGCUGGAGGAGAUGGCUUGGAAGCAGCUUUUUCUGAUUUCUUUUCAGAGGGGGCAGCAGGUGCAACACCAUCAGUGGACUUUGAAAUGACAGCAAUCUUGGUACCUGGUUCCACAGUAUCUCCUUCCUUGGCUACAUACUGGCAAGAAUUAUGACAUUAAUAUUCAGGAUCCAAUCCACUUCCCUUCCUCCCAGAAAUGAGAAGGCAGGAGUCUAGGAACGACCAACAAGCUAGAUACAUGCGUGCAUGCAUGUUUGACCCAAAGAUCCAGAUUUAUUGAUAUAUUACCUCUUGUAUCACACCAUCUUGGGGGCUGACAACAUCAAUUGUUACCUGAUGGAAAUAAACACCACAGGUAUGAAGGGUAUAAUAUCUUCUUGAUAGAGGAAAAGGAGAAGAAUAGUACCUUAUCUGUUUCUAUCUGAGCGAUUGGUUCGUCAGCUGCUACUCUAUCACCAGGCUUCUGCUCUCAAAUUUCAGAUACAUACACAAUCAAACACUUACAACCCUGAAAACGAAUAUUUCUAGUGAAUGAAUGGAAAUUACAAUAGUGGAAAACAUACUUUUCAAGAAUGUUGCCAAAGUGCCAUCAGUAAUUGAUUCUCCCAUAAAAGGGACCACAGCAUCAACCAGAUCCCCUUCAUCACAAGUUAAGUAAAAUAGGAAAGUCAAAAUCUUUAAAUUUAACAUAAUUACAACAUAAAAGGGAAUUCAUCUUUAUUUUCAAGCAGACCUGUUCCUAAUCAGUAUGUACUUUUUGAAAGUGAAAAAUGCACUAAAAAUGCCAAAAUGGCGGAGGUGCAAGUCUAGUACCACCAAAGUUUACACCAAAUCAUUAUACAACUAAAUUGCAGCCAAAGUUUUGAAACUAUUGCAUUCACACUUUUCCAGAGAAAGAUUUUAAAAGAAAUUUUGAACUAAAACUAUUUUCUUCUUUUGACAUAUUGCCUGACGUAGUACCUCUUGGGCGGCCCAACUGCUAACUGAAAAUUGGGUUUGACAAUUGUUAGAUGUUAAUGGUCUAUCCCAGAUAAGUGGUGAUUCAAAUGAACAAUUAUAAUGCACAGGAUCUAAAUUCUAGCAGAAACCAAAAACACACAUCCCUAUGUUAAUAACCAUUCAAAAAGACCAAAAAGAGAAAAAAUGCUAAUAAACCUUAGGCCAAAUAAAUAUCAUUAAGGAAAUUAUUCAAUAACAUAACAUCUCUAGAAGAGAAAGCCCUGCACAACUUUUGCAUGAUAGCCUUUGACUGCAUGCUAGAAAUGACAUCCCUGCCCACAAGCAAAGCUUUCAGGGGAAAGAAGUGAAGAAGUGCUAAGGAGCAGCAAACUGAUUUAAAGAAUUAUAUAUAUAUAUAUAUAUCAUGGAAAGAGAAUUUCCUUUACUAGUUACCCUAAGUAAUCUAGUUCCUGAUAAACAAAUAAGAGAUGGACUAUGCAUUGAAAUGGGCCUGCUAUUAAAGUUAGAUAUACAAUUGUCAGAAUAAUCCAGUAGUCAACUCAUACCCUGUGAGAGUUUAAUUCCUAACAUUGAUGUGCAUUACAAAGUUCAGAACCAACUAACCUUGUCUCUGUUAAACCAGCUGAACAGCCUAUAAUAAUAAUUUAAUAUUUCAUUAAUAAUAAAGAAAAUCAACAAAAUUAUACCAACAAAAGAAGAAAAACCACCCAAAAGAUAUACCUGGCAGAACAAGAUGAGAGAAGUUUCGGACAUGGGCAAUUCCUCUCGGUUGAAGUAAUAGUAUCUGUUCAAGCACUUGAAAUUUCAAUCUCAUGAGAAUAUUUACCAAUGGAUGACAAAAAUUCAAACUCCAAAUGAUUAAAAUGAAAAAAAAGUAACAUUAUUUCUAAAUUAACUAAAGAUUAAAAUUUCAAAUUUUAUGGACAAUAAAACGUGCGAUUUUUUACUUUAAAUCAAAGGACUAAGUUUGAAUUAUUUUUGAAAAAAAAAAAAGAGAAUAUUUUACCAUAUGAUCUUGCACUUCUUUUACUUUAUAUCAACAUUUUAAUAUUGCAAGGCCUAAAUAAAUCAACCAUCUUCGACAUCAGUUAUAGAUUUAAUAGCAUCAAGAUCAAUUGAAAUUCAAAGAAACUGAACUAAGUUCAUGAUUACCAAAUCUAAUUCAUUUUCUUCUGAGUUAUUUACCUCUUUUCCAGCAUUACAAGAAACUCUAGAUACUGAAACACCCGAUCGAAUCGCCAGCAAUGACUUCCCUAAUACCUGAAAAAUCACAAAAAAAUGAAAAAAACAUUAACAAAAUCCUAUGCUUUAGCUAAAUAUAUUACAAUUUAAACAAUAAAAGUUCUAACCAAAGAUGAUGAGCCUCCGCUCGCGACUUUUCUCCUUAAAGCGCCCAACAUCACCGAUAUUCAAUCCCUACUCUUUUUUCAAAAUCAGAAGCAAAAAAUAAAAAACCAAUAAUUUUAAACGCAAAAAAUCAAUAAAAAUCAAUAAAUUAUAACGUAACUUACCAGAUUUCAGUGUAUAAGCAGUAUAUGAAUGAGACGUGAAGCAAAGUAAUAUCGAAGAGAGAGCAAUUUGACUUGAUUGCUUGCAGACAAAAUGAGAGUCGUCGAAUAGAGUAUAAUUUAAAAAAGACGGUUUUUAAGAGAGAUUUGGCUUUUCUUUCUUUUGUUUGUUUGAGAGAAAAUGAGAGAGAGAAACGCGAAGAUGCGGGUUUUGCGGGUCUGUUAUAUCCGCAAUGGCAAGCUGAUUUGAGCUCUCUUACCUGGCGUCGUUUUAUUGAUAGAUACAAGUGAGGAUUCUUUUCUUCCUUUUAACCGGGAAAGGAAGGAAAAGUCGCUACGGCGCCGUUUCGAAAAAUGACACUUUGAGCUUUGUUUGGGUUCGAAAAUCUAGAUUUAGGCUUCGUUUGGGCUCAAAAAUCUAAUGUUUAGGCUUCGUUUGGCUUUUAUUUGGAUUUGAAAAUUUUAAAACUUUUAAGACCGGCAUCUCAUAAUUUAUUAUGAUAAACUUUUAUUUCUUCCAUCUUGAUUUCUAUGUUCAUAUUUAUUUAUAUCUUAAAAUUAUAUUUUUUUUUAUAUUUUUAAAACUCUUACAUUUUAUAUUUUGAAAUUAUUUUUUAUAUAUAUUUUUUACAUUUUAACAUUAAAAAUCAUAAAAUUUUAAUUUUAUAAAAAAUUAAAUUUAAUAUUAAAUACAUAAAAUCAAAGUUUUUUUUCUUUUUUUUUAAACUCCAUGAAAGUUAAUAACACCCAAACAAUUUGAAGUAGAGGGAAUAUAAGUUAAGUUUUUAAUAUAUCUUAAGAAUGGUGAAAAUAUUAAAAAAUUUACUAUAAAAAUUUCCUUAUUACUAUUAUAUGUAUACAUGGUACUAAUAAAAAGUGAUUUUUCUAACAAAAAUAAAAAAUAAGGAGUGAUUUUAUGAGAAAUCAAGGAUUAACAUAGUCUUCGUGUGUUGACUUGAUAAUUAAUAUGUUAAUUAAUUUGCCAAAGAAAAAUAUUAUUUCAAUAGUACUGAAAUUGCUUUUAAAUUGAAGAUUUUGAGUUUGAACUUUAGUAUAAUAAAAAAAAAAAAGAAAAAUGUUCUUUUGUUUUCAUUAAUUGUUGGAUUAAAAUCUCUCAACGGGUAAUUAAGGUUAAGGACACAAGAUUUGUAUUUAUCGUGAAAGUGAACCUUGGGGUAUCUUCAAUUUGAGUGAUAGAACUACAAAAUAAGUUUUUUUUAACUUUAUUAAAAAUCUAGGAGUAGGAUUCAAAGCUUCACUUAGUUCAUGUAGUCACUUGUAAUAGGUAAUAUCUAGUAAGUUUAGGGUUAGAAUCUCAACCUUUGCACUCAUUUCCAUUAUCUCCAAGUUGCGAUCUCAUAAAAAAAAUUACUGAGAAUGGGUUAAAACUGAUGAUUCAAAUAUAGAGCACAUUACUAGAAAAAUAGGUUUUAUCGAUGAAAAAUUUCAUUGGUAAAAGCCAAAUUUCUGUCAAUGAUAACAUUAUUGACUGAUUUAUAGACAAAAAAAUUCCAUCGGUAUUAACUAAGUCGGUAAUGCUAUUCCGUCCGUAAUAAGCAAAUCCAUUAUAGGGCCUGCUAGUGUAGGCCAGUUUGUAGGUUGGCUGGCUUAGGCUUCAUUCUAGCUAUGGCAGUUGGUUUUACUUCCUUGACAACUUUCUUUCUUGGUGGCAUGGUGUUUUAGCUCAGCCAGAAAAAGAAAUUCCCCUACCUGGUGCAUCAAAUCUUGUGUCAAGCUAAGUUGGAGAGGUAAGACUCUAAAAUCACAAAGGAAAGAAAGAAAGCGAUUACGAUUAAAUACUAGGAGUGUCCUUAAAGUUUGUGCUUUGAUGCUCAAGUCAAAGAUUAGCCAAAGAGGAAAAUAGAAAAAAGAAUAGAGAAGAUAGAAAGACAUGUCAUGUCUAGAUAGUACUUGCAUGACUUUAGUUAUAGUUUGAAAGUAAGGGGUUUAGGGCAACUUAGGCUACCAAAGGUUAAUCACAUGGUUAAAGAUGACCUAAAGUAUCAAGUUAACUUAGAUAUUGAUUGUCCACCAAGAGGACGACAAGUCAACAUUGAGGGGAGCUCGUUGGACAGAUUAGUAAGGUGGUUGAGCUGACGUAGUACUAUGACCUUAAGUCAAUCAAACAUGUAAGGUCAGUCUAAAAGUCUAAAAUAUCCCUGGCUAUCUGUUGGUAGUCUCUAAUGAGAAAAGAUGACCAAAAUAACCUUUGGACCUAAAAAUACCCCUAAUAGUUAGAUUUUUAAUUUAAUUAAUCAGAUUUAAUAUUUGACAGCUUCAAUUAAAAAAAGUAUAUCAGUUAAUUAAUUGAUUCUAUAUAACUAGGUGAUGGACUGAACAUUUCAUGUGUGUAUAUAUUCAAGUAUUCCAUUAAGAACAAAAAAUAGAUAUGACUUUUGUUUUCAUUAAGAACAAGAACACUUCAUUUUGAUAAUUAAAACCAUCAAGAACAAGAAAUUAAGCAUAAGUAAAGAAAAAGUUGGUUAGGUACCAUUGUUAUGGCAUGAAAAUGUGUUUUGAGUCUUUACUAAAACUUAUACUCAAAUUGGGACAUCCUUUUUACUCCAAAAUAACACAAAGAAAGGAAUCCAAAAUGAUAACCCAUUUGAAUGAAGGUAUUUAAGCUUAGAAGCUCUAAAAGUUUCAAUCCUUUUAAUUUAAGGAAUACUAUUCCUUUUCCAUUAUCUCAAGUUUAAUUCACUUUGAUACCCAAAAACUUGCUUUGAUUUGGAAGCCAAAUUAAUUUCGAUAUUUUUUAGUUUUGAAAGAGAAUAGGCAACAAUAAUUGGAAACAAGCCUUGAAAUUGUUACACCCAUAAAUCCAUAUAUGUUUAAGACAAGGGAAGGAUAUAGGUUGGAUAUGACUUUAUAAUAAUGAUGCUAUUGAAGUUUGGUUUAUUUCAAUGAUUUUAUUUGACUCUUCACAUCACUCUAUAUCCAAAUAGUUCAUGUGUGGUAAAUUUCUAGCCAGCAUAAAAGAGAAGAUAGAUUUCAACCUAUUACAAUUUGACACAUUUAACUCUCCAAGACAUUGAAGGCUUACAACUUGGAAAGGACCUUAUAACUAAUGUACACGCUUUUAAAUUUAUAACCUCUAUUCUUGAGAGAAAAUAUCUAGCUUAUUUGAAGUAUCCUUUCCCAAUUAAUUAUGUUGCACAUGUUGUUAGGUCUUAACUCAGAAAGUUAUAGUUCAUAUAAAUAUAAAAAAAUCAUAAUUUCAUUAAAAUUGAAUAAAUUACAAAGGUUGAAGAAUGUAUAACUUUAAACAUAUGUUUAAUUGGUUUUCAACUGUCAAUUAAUUUUUUCCACAUAGUGCAAUGUCAUCAAAGUUUGCCUAUAUAUAUAUGUCAUUAAUUUGCAUUAAUAGGAUCAUCACUAGAAUUUCCCAUCCAAAUUAGGUUUCAUUAAACUCAAAUAGUUUGACUUAAUCACACGAUAACAAAGUAAGGGCUUAAGUGAAAAUUUGAUUAAAUAUAGUUAGAUGGUUUAUUUUAUUGUUAUGCCAUUACUAAACAAAACAAACAUUUUUUGUUUAGCUUUCAUCGGAUCUGAUCUUUUCAUCUUUUAAUUAAGCUUUUAACCUCUGAUUUUUCUUAUGCAAGCUUUAAAGUAACCACGAUUUACAUCUUUAUCUUUAGUAACUUUCUCCAAUUGUCUUUCCUAUACAAUGGCUUAAUAAUUCAAUUGUCUCAAUUUUUCUUAAAGUCUGAGAUUCUCUUUUUGUGUCCUUGCUUUUUUUGCCUUAAAUUCCAAUCUUGUGAUUUUGAUUUCCAACAUCAGUGCCUUUGCCCAUAAAUCAUCUAGUUGAGCAAACCAUCAUAUGGAGGGUACCAUAUUAUUAACCCAUUUUGCUCUCCAUACUAAGUAUCCUGAAGUGACAUCAUAAGUACAUCUUCUCAGUUGUGAUCAAUAGGUUUAUUUUUAUGCUUUAGUGAUAUUGUGUACUCUAACCACAUAGUUAGAUUUUCCAUAAUCAAACUCUAACUGGUUUAACCCAUGAGUCAUCUGAACAAACUGUUUAGACUUAUACUAUCUCCUGACCAUAAAAGGGUACAUAACUCAUAACUCCCAAAAUUCAUAAAAGUGGACCCAUGUUUUAUCACUUCAACUAUACAAUAUAGAUGUAUGAAGCAUCCAAAGUGCUCUCCAAAUCAAAUAUUUCAUAUUAAGAUUUUGAAAGAAUGCAACCCAUUGCUCUUUAAUGAGGUCCUUCUACGGAUGUCAGUAGGUAAGGUAUAAGGCGGAUAGGAGCAUUCCCUAUCCCAUUCCCAAAUUUUUAUAUUAUACCUAUCCCGGUAUCCAUAUCAAAUAGGUAUUUCAAAUCUAUCCUCCUAAGUAUUUAAUAAGUAUAGGUAAUCUUUAUAUCCAUAGCUUUUUUUAAAAAUAAAAACUAUAAUUUAUUUUUUAGCUUAUUUUAUUUUAUAUUAUAUAUUUAGGUAAUUUUUUCAUAAAUAUAUAUUAAUAUAUAUUUUUCAAUAAAAAUAUAUUAAUUCUAAUUAAUCUAAAAUAAUAAUUUAUAUCAUUUAACAAAAAAUCUAUUUACUAAGUAUAUAUAAAUAUAUAUGUAAAGUACAAAUAUGGGUUGGGUGUUAUAUUACCCAUCCCCAUCCCUAUACCUAAUAAAAAUUUAAAAUCAUAUAUAUAUUUAUCUCUAUACCCAUAAUGUAAUACCCUUUUUCAUCUUCAUUUAGGUAAAAAAUUAGAUUCUCCAUUAGGUAUAGGUAUUUUUAGGUCCUUUAGCCAUUCUUUCUUAUAAAACUUUGUGAUAAGGACUAGGAUUUCUUGUAUGGUUUAGAGGAACUUUAUCUUUGCCCUAAAAAUGGCUUUGAAGCUAGAUGUAUAAAAGCUGCACACAUCCCAAAAAAUGCCAUUCUCUUUUUUUUCGACAACAAUUCAAUGAUUUAAUUAUCUUUGCUAAGAUAACUAUUAAGGGAUUGAAAUAUUUAUGCAAGUAUGCUGAAGAAUCUACCAUUUAUACCUUGACAUGCCCUAAUACCCUCAAAAAGAUUAGCAACCAUAAAUCGCCAAGGAAAAUAUUUCAAUAACUUGCUUUUCAUUAUGGUUCUUAAAUUUAAGAUUAUGUAAGAAAGCCUGUGGGAUACCAUCAAUGACUGUUUUCUUCUUAUUGAUCACUUUGACAUCCACACCAGUUAUCUUAUAAAGCUUCUUUUGAUAACUUGAUUUCUUUUAUUCUUUCUAGUAUAUCCUAUUUGCACUUGGAAACUUUAUUGAAGUGGAAUAUUCUUCAAUAGUUAAUGUCAUAUCUUUUUUGUUGAAAGUUAAGCAACAGUAUGAUGAGGUUCCAAAAUCAUAUUAUCACCUUAAUUUACUUUUCAUUUGUCUUUACCAAAAUAAGUAGCACAAUAUUUAUGUACUUCUUAAUAAAAGCAUUUUUUCUUUCUACCUCCAUUAAUUCCAAAUGUUUUCCAACUUAGUCAAGUCAUUCUAACAUAGGUCUAAGUGGACUAUUACAAGACAUGUCCUUUAAUUAAACAAUCCCCAUCCUUUUGUUGCCCAUUCUCAGAUUGAUCAUUAAUUUCCCAAUAUGUCUUACUAAUAGUAAAUACUGAAAGUGAAUCCUGAGAUUGCACGGUCACAAUAGUAGUUCUUUUGGCUGGACAUUAUCUAAAAUAAAAAUACACCUCAAUGCAACUAUUUUAUAUUUUUGAUGAUGCAUGCAAAAAUGAAAAAACACAAAAAAAAGUUAGUAAAAAUAGAUUUAUAAUGAAUAAAUUUUCAAAAUAGGAAAAGAAAUUGGUUUCAUUGUUUUGAAAACAUUUGCCUUUUACUUAUCAAAGAAAAUUCCUUUUUUUUUUUUUUAAAGAAAAUAUAUACAUUUAGGCUUUCAUCAGGUAUUGCAGAAGCCUUGAAACGGUGGUGUCAUCCUAUUACAGAUAUCAAGAUGCUAUUAAACUUCUCCUAUUCUACGAUCCAUGUAUUUGUCCAAAAUCAAGUAAAGGGUAAGAAGUGUUUUUUCAUGUGUUCUAAUUUGGGUGCAUUCUAUGAAAAAGGUUCUGCAUGGCUCUACCUACAUGGUAGUUCUUUAUGGUUUUCUAUAUGCUUGACUAAGAUUUCUACGUAUCUAAAGAUUCUCAAAUUGCUCUUCACUAUUGCCCAUGCUAGUCUAGCAAGGUGCCUUGAUCUUCAACUAUUAUAGAAUACAAAUGAAAAAGGUUUAAUUUGAAUAAGAGUAUUUCACCAACCAUUGUAAAUGUAUUCAUCUCACAAGAGUGUAGGUACUUUACUCCCUCCUAAAAAGUAUUUUAUGCCCCAUAGUACCGGUUAAAAAAAAAGUCUCAAUUAAUAACAUAUAUUCCUUUGAUAUUGAUAAAAAAAUGGCCUAAAUUUUAAAUUUUAAAAUUAAUGUCUUAAAUCCCAUUUAUUAUCAUAAAACCCCUUUUUUUGCCAUCCUUUUUAGAAUCAUUUUAUUUAGAAAUAAAAUAAAAAUUUUGUGUUUCAAAUUUCUCAAUAUCUAGAUAAAAUUUAGAAAAAUGUUUUUGACUUAGUUAUUUUCAUGAUAAUCCGUAAAACCAAAGAUAAUAUUAUUUUCAUAAGAAAUAAUUAUUAAGAAUUCCUCUAAUAUUUCGGUAGAGUCUCAAGAAAUAUUUUACUUAGCAUAUUAUCUUAUUUUGUUUUUAAAAAAAUAAUUUCUUUUAUAGUCAUCUUUUACUACAUUAUAUAUUUUUAAAGAAUAGUAAAAUGUAUGUGACGCAACAUGAAGCAAAUUAAUGAUACAAAUAUAAACUAAAAGAUAAAAAUGACCAAUUUAAUUCAUAUUAUAAAUCUUUAACUUUAUCACUUUAUAUUUUUCAUUGUUUUUUUUUUUUUUUUAAUUUUUAGUGAUAAAAUGAAAAUAUUUUUGUGUUUUUAAAAGUAACUUUUGUGCAUUAUCAACAUUAUAAUAUUUAUAAAUCUAAUAAUAUUAAAUUUUUAAGUUCAAUUCUCAUCAUAUGUGAAUUUAAUAAAUUUUAUAUUAAAUUUAUUUAAUUAUGUGUUGAUUUAUUUAUUUGAUUUAAUUCAAUGUUUUUCUUAUAUAAUACUUUCUUAUACUAUUAAGUUCAUAAAAAAAUUAAUAACUAAAGAAUUUCCUAAAAUUUUCAUUGACAUAGCAAUUUUUUUUUGGAACUCUUGAAGGCUUGGCAACAAGAGUAGCUUUUUUGCUUUAUAAUAACCGGAAAAAGUCAUAUAUAAUCCUAAGGAGAAUGACUUUCUGGUUUUAAUUUGAAAUUCAAAACUAGCAAUUAAAAAUCCCCUCUCCCCAAUGACCCGUAUACCAUAAUCACUUAUUAUGAUUAGACUUGACAAUUUAAAAUAUGACAUGAUUAUAUAAUAUGAAUAUAAUAUAAAAAUAGAAUAUGAAAGUGAUAGAAUUUAAAAUUAUAAUAAUAAUUAUAUAUAAGUUUAACAAAUAAAAAAAAAAUUUUAUAUUUUAUAUCGAUACAAAAUAUGACAUAAUUUUUGUGUAAAACACGAAACGAAUAUAAGAAUUUUAUUAUAUCACACUAUAUGAAUACGUGAAUCGUUAGGUUUACUUAUGAUAAACAUGAUUAAUCAAAUUCUUUUUAAUUAUAUUAAGAAAAAUGAAAAAAAAAGUAUGUAAACAUUAAGCAGCUAGCUAUAAAUUAUCAGCCUAAAACACGAAUGGUUUAUACUUUCACACUAUAUGAAUACGUGAAUCGUUAGGUUUACUUAUAAUAAACAUGAUUAAUCAAAUUCGUUUUAAUUAUAUUAAGAAAAAAUGAAAAAAAAAUGCAAACAUUAAGCAACUAGCUAUACAUUAUUGGCCUAAAACACGACUGGUUUAUAUUUUGAUUUUUUUACCUAUGGAAAUGCAUUUUUUAAUAAUAAAUAAUCAAUCAAUCUAAUAAUGAAAUAAUUCAAAAUUUAAAACUAGAGAAAAUAUUCACAUGUAUGCAAAUGCAUCUUCAUUAAUUAAUUUCAUUUCACACUAUUCAAAGAGAAUGAUAUUCGAUAUAUAGCUAGAUCAAGACACGAGAAUAUGGAUGAAAUAUGGACAAUCUUCAAUUAAUUAACAAAUCAGUGAAAAUAUGUUUAUAUUACCGAAAUCAAUAAAAACUAAAAGAAAAUAUAAUAAAAAAGGCCAAAACCUUUAGUCCCUUUUCAUAAUGAUGCUCCUUUCCAACAAUAUUUUAUCCCUUGGCCUUUGAGGAAAGUAAUGGCCUUGGGGUAGCAUGUUGUCUUCUUCCAAAUUAACCACCAAAAAAUUCCCACUAAUUAGAUGAAUAAUAAAAAAUUAUAAAAUCUCAGUGGAAUUUAAAAAAUUAUAUGAUGUAAAGGUUGAAUUACAUAAUAGUAUUUUUGCCAUUUACAUGUUUUGAUUUGGUUUAUAUUUUUAAUUUUCCUUUUAAAUGUCAUGAAUUCAUCGUCAUUAUUGCAUGGUAUCUUUUGGUAUUAUUGUUGGGGCUGCUUCUACAAAUUUUGCCACAACAAAUAAUCUCCACAAAGUAUAUUGUAUGUAAAUUUGUGGGAUAAUUAACUUCCAAUUCAAAUUGGCUCCGUAUGGCGUCUUGAUAUUUUUUUUGAACACUUUACUGUUCAUAUGUAGAGGAUACUUUGGUUUUCAAAAUUAAUAUAAAAAAUUGUCAAAACAAAAUUUAUUCAUGUUUGAUGUCUUAUCACACGAGUUCAUAUAACAUAGAGUAUAAAUAACAUAUGAUUGAAUUAAUUAUUAAAUCACCACAAUAAAAACAAGCAUAGAGAACCAUCUAUGACAUGCAAGUAGACAUAACUACAUACUGCUAUCCAUACAAGCUGCUAUAAGGACUAAUAAAGAACCAGCAAACCAAACUGAACACAAAAACCAUGUUUCUUAGAGUACAUGAAUUUUGCCAAACAAUGUCUUGGCCAAGCGAUACAUGUAAGCUUGAGUUCGAGUCCAAAUAAAAAAAUACAUGAAAUUUGUCUUACAUGAAUGGCUAAACAUGACUUUAUUCACAAUAUCAAAUAUGCAAAUGCUAUGAAAUGUAGAGUAAACUAGUUCUUCACUGCAAAGUAAAACUGAAAAAUAGAGAUCCAACCAGUUGACGGCGACAUAAAACUGAAAGCUCAAACGAUGAUAAGCAUAAUCAAGUAUCAACCACCUAUCAUUGAGGCAAAGAAUGAAUAAGAAUUUAAACAAGAAACUUGAUUAAGGAAGUCAUAAAUACAUGGACAGAGGCAGAUCAAGAUUUUUGUUAGGAAGUAAUAUUAUCCAUGAAAAUAGUGUUUAAAAGGAAAAUUUUGAAUGUUUAUGGAAAUUUUCUUUUAAAAUUUCUUAUUUUCUAAUUUUUAACAGUGUCCCAAAAAAGAUAUGAGGGUAUCCAACACAAAAUUUUUCUUUAAAUUUUUUUGAUUUUCAACGUACACCCCACAAUGCCAUGUAAAUCCACCCACUAGACAUGGAAAAAAGCCAUAUUUACCUGUUUAGCUAACAAGUUUCUCCUUAAAUUUUCACUUCCUUGCAUAACAUCAUCCUUGUUUCUCCCAGAGUCAUAUAUAGAGGUAUUUGAUCUUUCCACUUAUGCCAAGAUAUAUCAUUGCAGGUGGAUUGAUUUAUCAACUAUUUCUUCCAUUGCGGUGAACCUUCUGUUGUAUUAUUCUGAACUUGUUGGGGUUCCUUCACAACAAAAGACAAUUCUCAUUAAGUUAUGCCAGAAGUAAGUAAUUAAUUAAUUAAUUAUGCAUAUGACUUGUGUAUGUAUAUAAAAGAGUCAUCCAAUUCAUAAUAAUAUGUAGUUAUAUACUAAAUCCCAUUUAUUAUCAUAAAACCCCUUUUUUGCCAUCCUUUUUUAAAAUCAUUUUAUUUAGAAAUAAAAUAAAAAUUUUGUGGUUCUAAUUUCUCAAUAUCCAGAUAAAAUUUAGAAAAAUGUUUUUGACUUAGGUAUUUUCAUGAUAAUCCUUAAAACCAAAGAUAAUAUUUUUUUCAUAAGAAAUAAUUAUUAAGAAUCCUUUAAUAUUUAGGCAGAGUCUCAAAAAAUAUUUACUUAGGAUAUUAUCUUAUUUUGUUUUUAAAAAAUAAUUUCUUUUAUAGUCAUCUUUUACUACACUAUAUAUUUUUUAAGAAUAGUAAAAUGUAUGUGAUGUAACAUGAAGCAAAUUAAUGAUGCAAAGUAAACUAAAAGAUAAAAUGACCAAUUUAAUUCAUAUUAUAAAUCUUUAACAUUAUCACUUUAUAUUUUUUCAUUGUUGUUGUUUUUUUUUUUAAAUAUUUAGUGAUAAAAUGAAAAUAUUUUUGUGUUUUAGAAGUAACCUUUGUGCAUUAUCAACAUUAUAAAAUUUAUAAAUAUGAUAAUAUUAAAUUUUUAAGUUCAAUUCUCAUCAUAUUUAAUUUAAUUUUGUAUUAAAUUUAUUUAAUUAUGUGUUGAUUUAUUUAUUUGAUUUAAUUCAAUGAUUUUCUUAUAUAAUACUUUCUUAUACUAUUAAGUUCAUAAAAAAAAUUAAUAACUAAAGAAUUUUCUAAAAUUUUCAUUGACAUAGCAAUUUUUUUUUGGAAGUCUUGAAGGCUUGGCAACAAGAGUAGGUUUUUUUGCUUUAUAAUAACCGAAAAAAGUCAUAUAUAAUCCUAACUAGAAAUAAGGAGAAUGACUAUAUGGUUUUAAUUUGAAAUUCAAAACUAGCAAUUAAAAAUCCCCUCUCCCCAUGACCCGAAUACCAUAAUCACUUAUUAUGAUUAGAUUUAACAAUUUAAAAUAUGACAUGAUUAUAUAAUAUGAAUACAAUAGAAAAAUAGAAUAAGAAAGUGAUAGAAUUUAAAAUUAUAAUAAUAACUAUAUAUAAGUUUAACAAAAUCAAAAAAAAAAUAUUUUAUAUUUUUAUAUCGAUACAAAAUAUGACAUAAUUUUUUGUGCAAAAUACGAAACAAAUACAUGAAUUUCAUUAUAUUACACUAUAUGAAUACGUGAAUCGUCAUGUUUACUUAUGAUAAACAUGGUUAAUCAAAUUUUUUUUAAUUAUAUUAAGAAAAAAUGAAAAAAAAAGUAUGUAAACAUUAAGUUGCUAGCUAUAAAUUAUUAGCCUAAAACACGAAUGGUUUAUAUUUUGAAUUUUUUUGUCCAUGGAAAUGCAUUUUUUUAAUAAUAAAUAAUAAAUCAAUCAAUCAAUCUAGUAAUGAAAUAAUUAAAAAUUUAAAACUAGAGAAAAUAUUCACAUGUAUGCAAAUGCAUCUUCAUAAAUUAAUUUCAUUUCACACUGUUCAAAAAGAAUGAUAUUCGAUAUAUAGCUAGAUCAAGACAACGAGAAUUUGGAUGAAAUAUGGACAAUCUUCAAUUAAUUAACAAAUCAGUGAAAAUAUGUUUAUAUUGCCGAAAUCAAUAAAAACUAAAAGAAAUAUAAUAAAAAAGGCCAAAACCUUUUGUCCCUUUCAUAAUAAUGCUCCUUCCAACAAUGUUUUAUACCUUGGCCUUUGAGGAAAGUGAUGGCCUGGAGUAGCAUGCUGUCUUCUUCCAAAUUAACCACCCAAAAAUUCCCACUAAUUAGACGAAUAAUAAAAAAUUAUAAAGAUCUCAGUGAAAUUUAAAAAAUUAUAUUGAUGUAAAAGUUGAAUUACAUAAUAGUAUUUUUGCCAUUUACAUGUUUUGAUUUGGUUUAUAUUUUUAAUUUUCCUUUUUAAAUGUCCAUGAAUUCAUCAUCACUAUUGCAAUGGUAUCUUUUGGUAUUAUUGUUGGGGCUGCUUCUACAAAUUUUGCCACAACAAUAAUCUCCACAAAGUAUAUUGUAUGUAAAUUUGUGGGAUAAUUAACUUCCAAUUCAAAUUGGCUCCGUAUGCGUCUUGAUAUUUUUUGAACAGUAUUUUUUGAACACUUUACUGUUCAUAUGUAUAGGAUACUUUGAUUUUCAAAAUUAAUAUAAAAAAUUGUCAAAACAAAAUUUAUUCAUGUUUGAUGUCUUAUCACACGAGUUCAUAUAACAUAGUGUAUAAAUAACAUAUCAUUGAAUUAAUUAUUAAAUCACCACAAUAAAAACAAGCAUGGAGAACCAUCUAUGACAUGCAAGUAGACAUAACUACAUACUGCUCAUCCAUACAAGCUGCUAUAAGGAACUAAUAAAGAACCAGCAAACCAAACUGAACACAAAAAACCAUGUUUCUUUAGAGUACAUGAAUUUUGCCAACAAUGUCUUGGCCAAGCGAUAAGAAGAGGAUUUAUGAGACAUGUAAGCUUGAGUUCGAGUCCAAAUAAAAAAAUACAUGAAAUUUGUCUUACAUGAAUGGCUAAACAUGACUUUAUUCACAAUAUCAAAUAUGCAAAUGCUAUGAAAUGUAGAGUAAACUAGUUCUUCACUGCAAAGUAAAACUGAAAAAUAGAGAUCCAACCAGUUGACGGUGCCAUAAAACAGAAAGCUCAAACGAUGAUAAGCAUAAUCAAGUAUCAACCACCUAUCAUUGAGGCAAAGAAUGAAUAAGAAUUUAACAAGAAACUUGAUUAAGGAAAUCAUAAAUACAUGGACAGAGGCAUAUUCAAGAUUUUUGUAGGGAAGUAAUUAUUAUCCAUGAAAAUAGUGUUUAAAAGAAAAUUUUGAAUGUUUAUGGAAAAUUUCUUUUAAAAUUUCUUAUUUUCUAAUUUUAACAGUGUCCCAAAAAAAUAUGAGGGUAUCCAACACAAAAUUUUUCUUUAAAUUUUUUUGAUUUUCAAUGUACACCCCACAAUGCCAUGUAAAUCCACCACUAUACAUGGAAAAAGCCAUAUUUACCUGUUUAGCUUAACAAGUUUCUCCUUAAAUUUUCAUUUCCUUGCGUAACAUUAUCCUUGUUUCUCCCAGAGUCAUAUAUAGAGGUAUUUGAUGUUGCCAGCCACGAUCCCAAAAUAUAUCAUUGCAGGUGGAUUGAUUAUCAACUAUUUCUUCCAUUGUGGUGAAACCUUCUGUUGUAUUAUUCUGAACUUGUUGGGGUUCCUUCACAACAAAAGACAGUUCUCAUUAAGUAAGUUAUGCUAGAAGUAAGUAAUUAAUUAAUUAAUUAAUUAUGCAUAUGACUUGUGUAUGUAUAUAAAAGUCAUCCAAUUCAUAAUAAUAUGUAGUUAUAUACUAACAUAACUUUGUUUCCAUCAUCGUUUCAUCAUUAGUAUCAAUAUGAUCAAGAACAACAAAUUAAUUAAUUCAGCAUAAUAGUUAGAAAAAAAAAAAUUGGUUAGGUACCUCUGUUACCUCUGUUAUGGCAGGCACAGGAUGUUUUGAAUCCAUGAUGACACUUCUGGUCAACUUGGGAGAUUUGGUUAUUUCAAACAACCUCAUAUAAGGGAAUCGGAAAUGACAAACCAGUUGGAGCAAAACUCUUUAGGUCUGAUAGCUCAGAAAGAUCCACUUUUUGUAAUUGAGAGAGCACUAUUCCCUUUGAUCAUCUUCAAUGUCUAGUCACCUUGAUACCCAAAAACUUGCUCUAGUUUAGAAGGCCCUUUAAUUUCAAUUCUCUCGAGGUUGGCAAAAGAACGCGGCGACACUAAUAGGAAACAAGCUUUUCAAAUUUGCUGCACCCAGAAAUAGAUAUAAAUUCAAGACUAGGGAAGGAGUAUAGGUUGGAGAUGACUCUGUGAUGAUGAUAGCUAUUGAAGUUUGGUCCAUUUCAAUGAUUUCUUCCAACUCCUCACAACACUUUAUUUUCAAAGCUUUCAAUUGCGGCAUAUUUGGAGCAAGCAUAGAAGAGAAGAGAGAUUUCAGCCUUUUACAACUUGACACUUUUAAGUCUUUAAGAUAAGGAAGGCUUGCAACUUGGAUGGGACCCUGCAACUGAUGUAUACCCUUUAUAUUUAAAAUCUCUAUCUUUGAGAACAAGUGUCUGCCUUGAAUUUGAAAUACAUUCUCCCAAUUAAUAGUGUCACACACAUUGUCUUGUCCCAACUCAGAGAUUCGUAACUCCUGUAUAAAUAUAAAAAUAUCAUAAUUUCAUUAAAUUUUGAAUAAAUUACAAUGGACAAAUAAUAUAUGAGUUUAAAAGUACAAAAUCUAAUAUAUAUAAGUACGUUUAUGUGAGUAACCUCUCUUUAUGACAUGUAGGGAUAAUGUUUAUAUUAUUAUAUUAUAUAUCAAAUAACUCCAUUUAAUAAAUUAUUUAAAUUUAAUAUUUUUGAAUAUUAUUUAAAUUCAAAUCAAAAUCUAUAAAAAAAUUUUUUGCAUAAAUUUUAAAUUCAAAUAUAUUAAAUUAUAAUUUAUUUUUUCUUUUUAAAUUAAUCAUAGUUCCAAAAAUAUAUAUGUAUUUAUAUGGUUAAUAUAUUUUUAUCUACCAUCAAAUAAUUCUAUUUAAUAGAUUAUCUAAAUUUAAUAUUUUGGGUAACUAUUUAAAUUCAAAUCAAACUCUAACAAAGGUUGAAAAUUUUGCAUAAGUUUUGCAUUUAAAUGUAUUAAAUCAUAAUUUAUUUUUUUUAAAAUUUAAUCAUAAUAUAUAUAUAUACACACUUAAUACAUUUUUAUUUGAUGAAAUCAGAAUCUAAAAUUGAAAUAAAGAGUUUAUAAAAUGAGAGGUCACCUUCUAACCAAGCUUAUUUUAUUUAUUGUUAUUAGAAUUGGAAAUUGAAGAAUACAAGCCUUUUUUUUUUUACUUGACAGUUAUGAUUUAUUGGUUUUGCAUGGGAAUGGACAAAGUUAGAAAGAAGAGUAAACCACAUCAUACCGUGAACAAGUUCAUUUUUGCCUUUAUUAUUCUCUUUUUUCUUUUAUUUUCUUUUUUAUUUGCAAAAAUCAAUAUGUGAUGGUGUUGGAUUGUUUUUACUUUUGUAUAUUUUUUGCUUAAUGACAUUGAUUUUUUUAUCAAAUUUCAAUAAUGGAAAGAAAACUACAUACAUUUGGGAUUGAUUUCAACUCCGGUAAUAGGUAUGGUUCAUUACUUUUUUUCCGUAUUUUAUUUUUUUUAAUUUCCUCCAUUUGUUUUGUACCCUUCAAACUAUUUAUUUGGUCUUAUUUCUAUUAUAUGCAUAUAUACAUUUGAUUUUGAUUUAUUCUAAUAAAAAUUUUGAUUUACUAUAUUUUAUAUAGUUAGUUAAGUGGGAUAUUUGUUCACGCAUAAGGGUCCAAAAGGAGAAUUUCAUAAGCAAAUUAUGUGGUUGAAAGUAUGUAAAAAAUAAAAACUAAUAAAAGCAAUGGCUAUGAACAAAUAAUAAUAUAAUAUGCUUUAUUGUUUCAAUAAAAUUUAUAUAUAAAAGAAAUUUUAUUAUUUGAUGUUUUAUUUUUGGUUCGGGGUUUAUAGAUUUAAUAGUUUAUGAAUAUUCUAUUAAUAUAAAUGUCUUUUACAAUUUAAUAAAUGAUUUUUUUUAUAUCCAUAUUAAUAUUAUUCAUAAAAAUUAUUAAUUUUGACUAUUAAAAGACUGACCCUUGCUUUUUUUUUUUUUUAUCAAAAAAUAAAUAAUUAGUAACAAAAUUUUUGGUGUUUAGCAAAUAAAUAAAAAAAUUAAUUUUUUGAUAGAAAAAGAAGGACUUUUGAAAUUUUGUAAAAAAUUAAACUUAAAACAACAAUAUGUGAAUGCUAUCAUUUAAACGUAUCUUAAAAUUUAUGAAUGUAUGAUUAUAUAUAGUUGAUUAAUAAAAGUUUAAAUAUUCUUUUAUUAAGGAAAUAUAAAAAAUUAAAGUUAAUUAAAAAAUAAAUUUAAAUUAUGAAAAUAAUAACACGGUUAAAAAGCUAGUAUAUAUGUAAACAAAUACCAUUCUCAAGAUUUUAUUAUAAUGUACAAAUUAUAUGUAUGUAUGCAUAUAUGUAUGCAUGCCAGCAGUUUGAAUUCCCAUCCAAAUUGGAUUUCAUUAAAUUAAAAUAGUAGGAUGGCUAAAUUACACACAAUAAUAAUGUAAGGGCUUAAGUGAAAUUUUGAUUACAAUAUGGUUAGAGAGCUUAUUUUAUUAUUUUGCCAUUACUUAACAAGGUUUUUUUUUUUUUUAAAUAACAAACAAGUUUAACUAAGCCUUGAAUGAGUUGAACAUAAACAUUGUUAAAGAUGAGAGUUCAACAUAAGUCUUGAAUGAUUUAUUCUAAUUUUUCUAAUAUAAAACUUACAUAAGAACCCCUUUUUGAAAGAAAUUCAAACAUUGAUUAUUUUAUGAGUAUAGAAAAGAUUUGGGCCAAGGUAAAAUCUCAAACCAUAAUGUAAGGAAAGGAGUAUAAAAUUACCUUUAGUUGAAGCCGUUUGUGGACUAGUUGAAUAAUGAACUUUGCAAAUCGAGGACAAACCACUAUGGUUAACUUCUCCAAUGAUGGUGGCAGAAUGGCAUUAUCAACUCCAUUAUUUUCUUUUGCCAUAUUGAAGACAUAUUGUAGUCUUGGACAACANNNNNNNNNNNNNNNNNNNNNNNNNNNNNNNNNNNNNNNNNNNNNNNNNNNNNNNNNNNNNNNNNNNNNNNNNNNNNNNNNNNNNNNNNNNNNNNNNNNNNNNNNNNNNNNNNNNNNNNNNNNNNNNNNNNNNNNNNNNNNNNNNNNNNNNNNNNNNNNNNNNNNNNNNNNNNNNNNNNNNNNNNNNNNNNNNNNNNNNNNNNNNNNNNNNNNNNNNNNNNNNNNNNNNNNNNNNNNNNNNNNNNNNNNNNNNNNNNNNNNNNNNNNNNNNNNNNNNNNNNNNNNNNNNNNNNNNNNNNNNNNNNNNNNNNNNNNNNNNNNNNNNNNNNNNNNNNNNNNNNNNNNNNNNNNNNNNNNNNNNNNNNNNNNNNNNNNNNNNNNNNNNNNNNNNNNNNNNNNNNNNNNNNNNNNNNNNNNNNNNNNNNNNNNNNNNNNNNNNNNNNNNNNNNNNNNNNNNNNNNNNNNNNNNNNNNNNNNNNNNNNNNNNNNNNNNNNNNNNNNNNNNNNNNNNNNNNNNNNNNNNNNNNNNNNNNNNNNNNNNNNNNNNNNNNNNNNNNNNNNNNNNNNNNNNNNNNNNNNNNNNNNNNNNNNNNNNNNNNNNNNNNNNNNNNNNNNNNNNNNNNNNNNNNNNNNNNNNNNNNNNNNNNNNNNNNNNNNNNNNNNNNNNNNNNNNNNNNNNNNNNNNNNNNNNNNNNNNNNNNNNNNNNNNNNNNNNNNNNNNNNNNNNNNNNNNNNNNNNNNNNNNNNNNNNNNNNNNNNNNNNNNNNNNNNNNNNNNNNNNNNNNNNNNNNNNNNNNNNNNNNNNNNNNNNNNNNNNNNNNNNNNNNNNNNNNNNNNNNNNNNNNNNNNNNNNNNNNNNNNNNNNNNNNNNNNNNNNNNNNNNNNNNNNNNNNNNNNNNNNNNNNNNNNNNNNNNNNNNNNNNNNNNNNNNNNNNNNNNNNNNNNNNNNNNNNNNNNNNNNNNNNNNNNNNNNNNNNNNNNNNNNNNNNNNNNNNNNNNNCGGGUGCAAGUCUAGUACCACCAAAGUUUACACCAAAUCAUUAUACAACUAAAUUGCAGCCAAAGUUUUGAAACUAUUGCAUUCACACUUUUCCAGAGAAAGAUUUUAAAAGAAAAUUUGAACUAAAACUAUUUUCUUCUUUUGACAUAUUGCCUACGUAGUACCUCUUGGGCGGCCCAACUGCUAACUGAAAAUUGGGUUUGACAAUUGUUAGAUGUUAGUGCUGUACCCCAGAUAAGUGGUGAUUCAAAUGAACAAUUAUAAUGCACAGGAUCUAAAUUCUAGCAAAAACCAAAAACACACAUCCCUAUGUUAAUACCAUUCAAAAAAGACCAAAAAGAGAAAAAAUGCUAAUAAACCUUAGGCCAAACAAAUAUCAUUAAGGAAAUUAUUCAAUAACAUACCAUCUCCAAAAGAGAAAGCCCUGCCCGAUUUUUGCAUGAUAGCCUCUGACUGAAUGCUAGAAAUGACAUCCCUGCCCACAAGCAAAGUUUUCAGGGGAAAGAAGUAAAGAAGUGCUAAGGAGAAGCAAACUGAUUUAAAGAAUUAUAUAUAUAUAUAUAUAUAUAUAUAUAUCAUGGAAAGAGAAUUUCCUUUACUAGUUACCCUAAGUAAUCUAGUUCCUGAUAAACAAAUAAGAGAUGGACUAUGCAUUGAAAUGGGCCUGCUAUUAAAGUUAGAUAUACAAUUGUCAGAAUAAUCCAGUAGUCAACUCAUACCGUGACAGUUUAAUUCCUAACAUUGAUGUGCAUUACAAAGUUCAGAACCAACUAACCUUGUCUCUGUUAAACCAGCUGAACAGCCUAUAAUAAUAAUUUAAUAUUUCAUUAAUAAUAAAGAAAAUCAACAAAAUUAUGCCAACAAAAAAAGAAAAACCACCCAAAAGAUAUACCUGGCAGAACAAGAUGAGAGAAGUUUCGGACAUGGGCAAUUCCUCUUGGUUGAAGUAAUAGUAUCUGUUCAAGCACUUGAAAUUUCAAUCUCAUGAGAAUAUUUACCAAUGGAUGACAAAAAUUCAAACUCCAAAUGAUUAAAAUGAAAAAAAAGUAACAUUAUUUCUAAAUUAACUAAAGAUUAAAAUUUCAAAUUUUAUGGACAAUAAAACGUGCGAUUUUUUACUUUAAAUCAAAGGACUAAGUUUGAAUUAUUUUUGAAAAAAAAAAAAAAAGAGAAUAUUUUACCAUAUGAUCUUGCACUUCUUUUACUUUAUAUCAACAUUUUAAUAUUGCAAGGCCUAAAUAAAUCAACCAUCUUCGACAUCAGUUAUAGAUUUAAUAGCAUCAAGAUCAAUUGAAAUUCAAAGAAACUGAACUAAGUUCAUGAUUACCAAAUCUAAUUCAUUUUCAACUGAAUUAUUUACCUCUUUUCCAGCAUUACAAGAAACUCUAGAUACUGAAACACCCGAUCGAAUCGCCAGCAAUGACUUCCCUAAUACCUGAAAAAUCACAAAAAAAAUGAAAAAAACAUUAACAAAAUCGUAUGCUUUAGCUAAAUAUAUUACAAUUUAAACAAUAAAAGUUCUAACCAAAGAUGAUGAGCCUCCGCCCGCGACUUUUCUCCUUAAAGCGCCCAACAUCACCGAUAUUCAAUCCCUACUCUUUUUUCAAAAUCAGAAGCAAAAAAUAAAAAACCAAUAGUUUUAAACGCAAAAAAUCAAAUAAAAAUCAACAAAUUAUAACGUAACUUACCAGAUUUCAGUGUAUAAGCAGUAUAUGAAUGAGACGUGAAGCAAAGUAAUAUCGAAGAGAGAGCAGUUUGACUUGAUUGCUGCAGACAAAAUUGAGAGUCGUCGAAUAGAGUAUAAUUUAAAAAAGACGGUUUUUAAGAGAGAUUUGGCUUUUCUUUCUUUUGUUUGGUUUGACAGAAAAUAAGAGAGAGAAACCGCGAAGACGCGGGUUUUGUGGGUCUGUUGUAUCCGCAAUGGCAAGCUGAUUUGAGCUCUCUUACCUGGCGUCGUUUUAUUGAUAGAUACAAGUGAGGAUUCUUUUCUUCCUUUUAACCGGGAAAGGAAGGAAAAGUCGUUACGGCGCCGUUUCGAAAAAUGACACUUUGAGCUUUGUUUGGGUUCGAAAAUCUAGAUUUAGGCUUCGUUUGGGCUCAAAAAUCUAAUGUUGAGGCUUCGUUUGGCUUUUACUUGGAUUUGGAAAUUUAAAACUUUUAAGACCGGCAUCUCAUAAUUUAUUAUGAUAAACUUUUAUUUCUUCCAUCUUAAUUUCUAUGUUCAUAUUUAUUUAUAUCUUAAAAUUAUAUUUUUUUAUAUUUUUAAAACUCUUACAUUUUAUAUUUUGAAAUUAUUUUUUAUAUAUAUUUUUACAUUUUAACAUUAAAAAUCAUAAAAUUUUAAUUUUAUAAAAAAUUUAAAAUUUAAUAUUAAAUACAUAAAAUCAAAGUUUUUUUUUCUUUUUUUUAAACUCCAUGAAAGUUAAUAACACCCAAACAAUUUGAAGUAGAGGGAAUAUAAGUUAAGUUUUUAAUAUAUCUUAAGAAUGGUGAAAAUAUUAAAAAAUUUACUAUAAAAAUUUCCUUAUUACUAUUAUAUGUAUACAUGGUACUAAUAAAAAGUGAUUUUAUGAGAAAUCAAGGAUUAACAUAGUCUUCGUGUGUUGACUUGAUAAUUAAUAUGUUAAUUAAUUUGCCAAAGAAAAAUAUUAUUUCAAUAGUACUAAAAUUGCUUUUAAAUUGAAGGUUUUGAGUUUGAUCUUUAGUGUAAAAAAAAAAAAAAAAGAAAAAUGUUCUUUUGUUUUCAUUAAUUGUUGGAUUAAAUUCUCUCAACUGGUAAUUAAGGUUAAAGACACAAGAUUUGUAUUUAUCGUGAAAGUGAACCUUGGGGUAUCUUCAAUUUUAGUGAUAAAAAUGCAAAAUAAGUUUUGUUUAACUUUAUUAAAAAUCUAGGAGUAGGAUUCAAAGCUUUACUUAGUUCAUGUAGUCACUUGUAAUAGGUAGCAUCUAGUAAAUUUAGGGUUGGAAUCUCAACCUUUACACUUCCUUCCCUUAUCUCCAAGUUACGAUCUCAUAAAAAAAAUUACUGAGAAUGGGUUAAAACUGAAGUUUUAAAUAUAGAGCACAUUACUAGAAAAAUGGGUUUUAUUGGUGAAAAUUUUCAUUGGUAAAAGCCAAAUUUCUGUCAAUGAUAACAUUAUUGACUGAUUUAUAGACAAAAAAAUUCCAUCGGUAUUAACUAAGUCUGUAAUGUUAUUCCGUCCAUAAUAAACAAAUCCAUUAUAGGGCCUGCUAAUGUAGGCCAGUUUGUAGGUUGGCUGGCUUAGGUUUCAUUCUAGCUAUGGCAGUUGGUUUUACUUUCUCGACAACUUUCUUUCUUGGUGGCAUGGUGUUUUAGCUCAGCCAGAAAAAGAAAUUCCCUUACCUGGUGCAUCAAAUGCUUGUGUCAAGCUAAGUUGAAGAGGUAAGACUCUAAAAUCACAAAGGAAAGAAAGAAAGCGAUUAUGAUUAAAUACUAAGAGUGUCCUUAAAAUUUGUGCUUUGAUGCUCAAGUCAAAGAUUAGCCAAAGAGAAAAAUGGAAAAGAGAAUAAAGAAGAAAGAAGGACAUGUCAUGUCUAGAUAGUACUUGCAUGACUUUAGUUAUAGUUUGAAAGUAAAGGGUUUAGGGCAACUUAGGCUGCCAAAGGUUAGUCACAUGGUUAAAGAUUACCUAAAGUAUCAAGUUAACUUAGAUAUUGAUUGUCCACCAAGAGGACGACAAGUCAACAUUGAGGGGAGCUCGCUGGGCAGAUUAGUAAGGUGGUUGAGCUGACGUGGUACUAUGACCUUAAGUCAAUCAAACAUGUAAGGUCAGUCUAAAAGUCUAAAUAUCCCUGGCUAUCUGUUGGUAGUCUCUAAUGAGAAAAGAUGACCAAAAUAACCUUUAGACCUAAAAAUACCCCUAAUAGUUAGAUUUUUAAUUUAAUUAAUCAGAUUUAAUAUUUGACAGCUUCAAUUAAAAAAAAGUAUAUUAGUUAAUUAAUUGAUUCUAUAUAACUAGGUGAUGGACUAAACAUUUCAUGUGUGUAUAUAUUCAAGUAUUCCAUUAAGAACAAAAAAAUAGAUAUGACUUUUGUUUUCAUUAAGAACAAGAACACUUCAUUUUGAUAAUUAAAACCAUCAAGAACAAGAAAUUAAGCAUAAGUAAAGAAAAGUUGGUUAGGUACCAUUGUUAUGGCAUGAAAAUGUGUUUUGAGUCUUUACUAAAGCUUGUACUCAAAUUGGGGCAUCCUUUUUACUCCAAAAUAACAUAAAGAAGGGAAUUCAAAAUGAUAACCCAUUUGAAUGAAGGUAUUUAAGCUUAGAAGCUCUGAAAGUUUCAAUCCUUUUAAUUUAAGGAAUACUAUUCCUUUUCCAUUAUCUCAAGUUUAAUUCACUUUGAUACCCAAAAACUUGCUUUGAUUUGGAAGCCAAAUUAAUUUUGAUAUUUUUUAGUUUUAAAAGAGAAUAGGCAACAAUAAUUGGAAACAAGCCUUGAAAUUGUUACACCCAUAAAUCCAUAUAUGUUUAAGACAAGGGAAGGAUAUAGGUUAAAUAUGACUUUAUAAUAAUGAUGCUAUUGAAGUUUGGUUUAUUUCAAUGAUUUCAUUUGACUCUUCACAACACUCUAUAUCCAAAUAGUUCAUGUGUGGCAAAUUUAUAGCCAGCAUAAAAGAGAAGAUAGAUUUCAACCUAUUACAAUUUGACACAUUUAACUCUCUAAGACAUUGAAGGCUUGCAACUUGGAAAGGACCUUAUAACUAAUGUAUACGCUUUAAAUUUAUAACCUUUAUUCUUGAGAGAAAAUAUCUAGCUUAUUUGAAGUAUCCUUUCCCAAUUAAUUAUGUUGCACACGUUGUUAGGUCUUAACUCAGAAAGUUAUAGUUCAUAUAAAUAUAAAAAAAAAUCAUAAUUUCAUUAAAAAUUGAAUAAAUUACAAAGGUUGAAGAAUGUAUAACUUUAAACAUAUGUUUAAUUAGUUUUCAACUGUCAAUUAAUUUUUUCCACAUAGUGCAAUGUCAUUAAAGUUUGCCUAUAUAUAUAUAUGUCAUCAAUUCGAAUUAAUAGGAUCAUCACUAGAAUUUCCCAUCCAAAUUAGGUUUCAUUAAACUCAAAUAGUUUGACUUAAUCACACGAUAACAAAGUAAGGGCUUAAGUGAAAAUUUGAUUAAAUAUACUUAGAUGGUUUAUUUUAUUGUUAUGCCAUUACUAAACAAAACAAAAAAAAAAAAUUUGGCUUUCAUUGGAUCUGAUCUUUUCAUCUUUUAAUUAAGCUUUUAACCUCUGAUUUUUCUUAUGCAAGCUUUAAAGGUAACCACGAUUUACAUCUUUAUCCUUAGUAACUUUCUCCAAUUGUCUUUCCUAUACAAUGGCUUAAUAAUUCAAUUGUCUCAAUUUUUCUUAAAGUCUGAGAUUCUCUUUUUGUGUCCUUGCUUUUUCUGCCUCAAAUUCCAAUCUUGUGAUUUUGAUUUCCAACAUCAGUGCCUUUGCCCAUAAAUCAACUAGUUGAGCAAACCAUCAUAUGGAGGGUACCAUAUUAUUAACCCAUUUUGCUCUCCAUACUAAAUAUCCUGGAGUGACAUCAUAAGUACAUCUUCUCAACUGUGAUCAAUAGGUUAUUUUUAUACUUUAGUGAUAUUGUGUAGUCCAACCACAUAGUUAGAUUUUCCAUAAUCAAACUCUAACUGGUUUAACCCAUGAGUCAUCUGAACAAACUGUUUAGACUUAUACUAUCUCCUGACCAUAAAAGGGUACAUAACUCAUAACUCUCGAAAUUCAUAAAAGUGAACCCAUGUUUUAUCACUUCAACUAUACAAUAUAGAUGUAUGAAGCAUCCAAAGUGCUCUCCAAAUCAAAUAUUCCAUAUUAAGAUUUUAAAAGAAUGCAACCCAUUGCUCUUUAAUGAGGUCCUUCUACGGAUGUCAGUAGGUAAGGUAUAAGGCGAAUAGAGCAUUCCCUAUCCCAUUCCCAAAUUUUUAUGUUAUACCUAUCCUGGUAUUCAUAUCAAAUAGGUAUUUCAAAUUUAUCCUCACCCUUAUCCUCCUAAGUAUUUAAUAAGUAUAGGUAAUCCUUAUAUCCAUAGCUUUUUUUUUAAAAAAAAUAAAAACUAUAAUUUAUUUUUUUUAGCUUAUUUUUAUUUUUAUAUUAUAUAUUUAGGUAAUUUUUUCAUAAAUGUCGUAACGUCUAGAUCCGGGGAUCUAUCGCCAGACAUUGACUUUAGGGAGUCGCCACCAAUCUUUUAUCCAGGUGUGAUUGGCCACCUAAGGAAUCUGCCCUUUUAGGGAACACCUAAGCUUAAGGGUCCCUAAAAGAAUAGGUUCGGGUCUGCUUAACCAGAACAGAGUUCGGGAGUUCGGUUACGUGUGAGGAAGGUUAUAGCACCCUCACAACGCCCAUCAAAAGAUGGUACCAGCUCGAAUUUGUGUUAUCCAAAAGCCUUAAAAUUUUACCAAGUAGUUAGUUGUUGAAAAUUAUUCUCAAUUGACUCUAAUACUUUUAGCAGAAAAUUGAGAAAAUUCCCUCACCUCAAGAGUAUGCAAGAAAAACUACUGUUUCACUUGCAGAGGCUCCGUCGUCGGAUUAUUUAAAGAAAAAUCAAGAUCAACCAAUUAAUUAAUUAUCGAAAAUUAUUCUCAAUUGACUCUAAUACUUUUAGCAGAAAAUUGAGAAAAUUCCCUCACCUCAGGAGUAUGCAAGAAAAACUACUGUUUCACUUGCAGAGGCUCCGUCGUCGGAUUAAUUAAAGAAAAAUCAAGAUCAACCAAUUAAUUAAUUAUUGAAAAUUAUUCUCAAUUGACUCUAAUACUUUUAGCAGAAAAUUGAGAAAAUUCCCUCACCUCAGGAGUAUGCAAGAAAAACUACUGUUUUACUUGCAGAGGCUCCGUCGUCGGAUUAAUUAAAGAAAAAAAAUCAAAAUCAGCCAAGUAAUUAAUUAUCGGAAAUUAUUCUCAAUUGACUCUAAUACUUUUAGCAGAAAAUUGAGAAAAUUCCCUCACCUCAGGAGUAUGCAAGAAAAACUACUGUUUUUACUUGUAGAGGCUCCGUCGUCGGAUUAAUUAAAGAAAAAAGAAAAAAAUCAAGAUCAAAAUCAAAGUCAAAUAAAAAAAAUUCAAAAAAAAAAAAAAAAAAAAAAACCUGGAGCGGCUCGGAUCGCGGCUCGGCUUGGUGCGGCUCGGCUCGGCUCGGCUCGGCUCGGCUCGGCUCGGCUCGGAAGGGCUGAAACGCGCGGGUCAGAAAGCGGGUCGACGCUUCGGGUCGGGUCGGGUUCGGCAAAACGCGCGGAUCCUCUUAUUAACUUAAAGCCAAAACGACGUCGUUUUGGGAGGGUAUAAAAGGCACCUUCCUCCGUUUUUCAGCAGACCGUUUCUCCCCUCUCUCUCUCUUCUUCCCUUCUUCUCUGCCUUCUCUCUAGAAUUUGAAGAACGCCGGUGCCGGAUUCUGGAAAAUUCGCCGGAAUCUGGGAAUUUCGCCGGAAAUUGGCCGGAUGGUCGUCGGUUUCUGGGAUUCUCCGCCGGAAACUGGGUCUGUCGCCGGAAACUUCAAAGUUUCGCCGGAAUUGUCGCCGGAAAAUUCAAAAGUCGCCGGAAUUUUCGCCGGAAUCUGGAAAUUUCCCAGAAAUUUCCAGAAAAUUUUUUCGCCAAAUUUUUCUAAAAAAUUUUUCUCACUGCCAGAACACUCCUAAACUUUUCCUUAGCUCUCUAAACACCCCUAUUCUCUCAAUCAGUAGCUUUUGCUUCUGUUUUCUCUGUGUUCUUGACUGUUCCAGGGGGGUCCCUUUUAUAGGGAUUGAUCAGGAGUUUCUGAUCAAUCCCAAUUCCUCUUUGGACGGGAAUUCAGUCUUUGAAUCCAAUUGGACUCUUCUGAUUGAAUUCCCCUUCAGAGUGGGAGUCUUCAACUUUGAAUCCUAGCCCUCCAAAAUAAAAAUUAAAAUAAAAUUAAAAAAAAAAUCUAGAUAAUUGGAAAGAUAAAUCAAAAGAUAAAAAAUUUUCAAAUAAUAUCUGAAAAUCAGAAAAAAUCAGAACAGAUAAUUAAAAAAAAAGAUAAGAAUAAUAAUAUAAUAAUAAUAAAUAUAUAACUAUAUACAUAUAAAUCUAUUCUAAUGAAAAAAAAUAUAUAUAUAUAUAUACAUAUAUUAAUACAUAAUAAUAAAUAAUAAAAUACACAAGAGAGAAAAAAAAUAAAAUAAAAUAAAAAUAAAAAAUAAAAAUACGGGUAAAAAUUCAAUUGGGCCUUGCCCAUUUGGGGCAGGCCCAAAUGAUCUGGGUCAGGCCCAUUGAUCCGGGUCAGGCCCAAUUGAUCCGGGCCCGGACCUGAUUGGGUGUCUACAGCUGCCCCUCUUUGCGUAUUUUCUGUGAGACAGAAAUUGCGCAAAGACGUAGACACCCAGUCAAGACCCGACUCGACAUUUUCAUUUUUGAUUUUUUUUUAUUUUUGUUUUUAUUUUUUUUGAUUUUUUUGAUUUUUUGAUUUUUUUGUUUUUUUUUUUUUUUUUUUGUUUUUUUUUUUGGCCAAAGCUCCUCUAAACAGAGACUCAACGACUUUUGAAAGUAAAUUGCUCCUCUAAACAGAGGCAACGGACUUUGGAAAGUAAAUUGCUCCUCUCAACAGAGGCAACGGACUUUGGAAAGUAAAUUGCUCCUCUCAACAGAGGCACCACGACUUUGGAAAAAUAAAUUGCUCCUCUCAACAGAGGCACCACGACUUUGGAAAAUAAAUUGCUCCUCUCAACAGAGGCACCACGACUUUGAAAAGUAAAUUGCUCCUCUAAACAGAGGCAACGAACUUUGAAAAGUAAAUUGCUCCUCUAAACAGAGGCACCACGACUUUAAAAAAAUAAAUUGCUCCUCUAAACAGAGGCAACGAACUUGGAAAAGUAAAUUGCUCCUCUAAACAGAGGCACCACGACUUUGGAAAAAUAAAUUGCUCCUCUAAACAGAGGCACCACGACUUUGAAAAGUAAAUUGCUCCUCUAAACAAAGGCACCACGACUUUUGAAAAGUAAAUUGCUCCUCUAAACAAGGCACCACGGAACUUUGAAAAAUAAAUUGCUCCUCUAAACAGAGGCAACGACUUUGAAAGCAAUGCUCCUCUAAAGGCAACGGAACUUGAAAGCAAAUUGCUCCUCUAAACAGAGGCACCACGACUUUUGAAAAGUAAAUUGCUCCUCUAAACAGAGGCAACGAACUUGGAAAAGUAAAUACUCCUAGACAAUCAUGUCCGAAGGAGUUGAAAGUUGUGUUUGAAGGGAUUUCAGGAGAUUAUGCCCAAAGGUCUUAUAAAUCAACCCUGAUACCAAGAGACAUCCUAUUUCGAGGAUUAGGAACUUACCUGACAAGUUUCUUCUCAAACUUGCAAAGUCUUUUCAUAUCUGUCUUUUCAUGUGGGAUGUUGGAACACCCUUGCUUCUUGAAUUUGUACACUAUACUUUCCUGAAAGUAGUGUAUGCUAUGCAAUGUGCAUGAUUUUCAAUGCAUGCUAUGCAAAUGUUGGCCAAUUAAUUCCUGUUCAAUGUAUGGUACUCAAGUUUCUCAAGCUCUUUUUUUUCUUGGGUGUCAAGCCCUUUGAUUCCUCAAGGAUCCAAUUGCACUGCUCUUCUAAGAUCGAACCAGUGUAGCUCUUAAUUGUCUCUUCCACUCAGAUUCUUCCUUGUUCUGUUUUUCAAUACUUUGGAAUAAGUUUCAUCAAUCGAUCAUCACUUGACCAUCAUUCAAUGAAUUUCUCAGCAAUAACAAAUUUUCAAAACAAGUUUCAUCCACCAUCAUUGGGUCAUUACUCUGUCUCAGCAUUAACCAUUCAAAAACAAACUCUGUCCACUGAUUGUCUUCAUCAUUCAAUCAUAACUUGCAAGUCAUAUCGAUCAAUUCAUCACUUUUCCAGAUUUGCCCCAUCAUCUCUUUUAGGUUUCUACCAUUUCUUCAUCAUCUUAGAUUUCUUUUCAAAUGAAUGUAAGAUUCUUUUAAGUACAUGUUCAUUCAUUCAUUAUCAUUUCAAAUUUUGACAAAUACAAUGCAAUCAAGCAUUUUCUCAAUUCAUUCUAAGGGUGUAACAAUAAGAGGACAGAAAGUGAAUUAUGGUAAAGAUAAUCAAUGGAGAUCUAUUUUGGUAGAAAAUAAAUGGGAAAGGAAAUAAAUUGGAUGUCAUUGAGGUAAAUGGUAUGUCCAAAUGAUGAAUAUUUAGACAAUUUUCAACAUUAAUCUAGGAUUCUUUUUCAAAAGCUCAUUCAUUUACUGUUGAAGUCAUCUUGGGCUUGGCGAACUCUGCCCCAGUCUUUAAGGGAUCUUCAGAUGUCUUUGAUCUUUCAUUCAUGUGAGCCAUUUGACCUGAAUCUUUUUUUUUUUUUUUUUGGGUACCAAAAUCACCCUUUCAGGUUUUCAAUUCGGAUCUCUUUUUUUCAUUUUUUCUUCUUUCUUUCUUUUUUUUUUUUCAUCAUCUUUUUUUUCAUUCUUCACCUAUUAUUGACAUCCUUCAUACAUCAAACUUUUAAGGUAAUGUAGCAUGAUUCCAUUGCUUCAUCAUGAGCAUGCCUUCGCUCAACAUAUGAUCAUUCAAGUUGGGUAUUCACACUUGAUCCAAAUGGACUUUCCAAGGUUGUAAUGUAGGCUAAGGUGAAGGGUCAUAAAAAAAAUGGAUAUAAUAGGCUCAAAACAUGUAUUAAAAAGGUUCAAGACCGAAGGAUCAUUUGAUGCAGCUUGGCAUUUUGCCCCACAUCGUUUCACUAUUUUUUCUUUCCUCACACAAAGGAUUCUCAUUACUUUGCCCCAAGUCAUGUGUGGCAUUUAUUUUUUUCUUUUGCUUUUCUUUCUCUUUUCAUCUUUGAGACCUUUUGUGGUUUUUUUUUUUUUUUUUUUUUUUUUUUCAAAAAUUACCCUCCAGUGUAGAGGGUGAUCCUUGGUUGGGGUUCUUCAAAAAAAAAUGAUAAGCUCAAGGGGGUAACAAUAAAUGGUUUUUCAAAUGGUAAAAGAAAGAUGGCCAUUUUUCAUCUCAAUUGUGAAUACCUUUCUUGAACAUCAUCUAUUGAACAGAGCUCAUGAACUUGUAUAAAAUAUUGCACACCUUCAAGAUAUAUCUCUUUCAUCUCUGGUGAUGGCUUACCCUCUUUAUUUUCGCUCAAAUCAUCUCCUCUGUGAAUGAGUUCUCAAAAUUAAAUUCCAGAAUUAUUGUUAUCAUUGUCUAAAUAUUCAUCAUCUGAAAUUUAAGAAUGGGAGUGUGAAGUUAUGGAAGGUAACAAGGCAUGGAAUAAUGGUAAAGUGAAAGAGAAAAAUGUAAUGAAAUGCAUUGACUUGCCUUUAUUAAAAUGAUAACAAGUGAAGUCAUAUUAAAAAAAAAUCUAACAUUUUUGAAAAGAAAUCCCAAAAUGACAAAAGAAACCUUCAACCAGCCUUAUCUCCAUUGACAUCUUGCCCCUCAAUUCAUUGUGAAUCUCCGGAUCCUUUCUGUUCUUGACUUUCGCUCAGUACACUAACAUUAGGUGCUGUUGCUUUUCCUUGAUCAAAACUUACCAUUCCAUCAUUGAUCAACCGUUGCACCUUAUACUUUAAAGCAGUGCAAUUUUCAGUAGAAUGGCCAGUAAUUCCAUAAUGAUAGUCACAACGGGCUGUAGGAUCAUACCACUUUGGAUAGGGUGGUUUAAGUGGUUCCACAUGGCUGGGGGCAAUCAAAUGGCUAUUAUAAAGCUCUCGAUAUAACUCUGUAUAAGUCAUAGGGAUUGGAUCAAAUACAGGUUUUUCUCGAGUAGUCCGUUGUUCUCGUGAGCCACUUGUUGGAUGAGUAGGACGAAUUUGGGUUCUUACAGGAGCUUGAAUGUUAAGGCGGUAAGUGGAUGAAUAAGAUGGUUGUGGAGCUAGCUGGUAUGGGUAGGAUGAGGCAUUAUUCACAGCAGGAUAGCAUGGAGAGUAACCUUGGGAUGGAUAGGGUUGAUAACCCCCGAAUUGUUGUCUAUCAAAGCUCACAGCUUGAGCUUCAGCUUCUUUCUUUUCUGAUGUCUUCUUGGUUUCUCCUCCUCUCAACUUGCCAUUUUUUAUGGCACUUUCAAUAAUUUCUCCAGAGAUUACCAUGUCAGCAAAAUUCUUUGUUGCAUUCCCUAUCAUCUUUUCAUAAUAGGGAGGCUUUAAAGUGCUAACAAACAGCACUGUGGUCUCUUUCUCUGUCAGUGGAGGUUGUACCUGUGAAGCAAUAUCCCUCCAUCUCUGGGCGUAUUCUUUAAAAGACUCAUUUGACUUUUUCUCCAGGUUUUGCAAAGAUAAACGAUCAGGGGCCAAAUCGAUGAUGUGUCGAUAUUGGCUGAUGAAGUCAUGAGCCAUAUCGCUCCAGGAGCGAAUGUGGGUUCUAUCCAACUGAACAUACCACCUGGCAGCAGAACCAGUAAGACUAUCCUGAAAGACAUGCAUCAAGAGUUUUUCAUCAUGUGCAUGAGCUGCCAUCUUCCUGCAAUACAUGGUGAUGUGAGUUUUAGGGCACUUUGUACCGUCAUAUUUUUCAAAUUUCGGUACUUUGAAUUUAUAGGGAUAACCACAUCAGGAACUAGGCAGAGCCCAGCAGCAUCAACUGACCCAUAAAAGCUAAAUCCUUCUACAGCCCGUAGCCUCUGCUCUAACAUGCUAAUCUUGGAACUUUCCUCAGCCUCUACUCUCAUCUUUUCCUUCUCCUUCUCUUUUAAAUCAUCUAGAUCAGGAAUUGGUUCUGCUGCCUUUUCAGUGAAGACAGGAUUUAUAUAGCUGUUAUACUGCCCUGGGUUGAAAGCUGAUGGCAUUCCAGGAUAGGCGAAAUGUUGUGGCGGGACCUCUUGGGCAGACUGGGCUUGAGAUGGGCCAAAACCUGGAGGGUACAAAGGGUCAGCUACUUCUUGUAAAUGGGGAACUUGUUGGCUUGUAUUUCCUUCAACCCCUUUCCCCUUAUUCAUGUUAUUGAGGGCCUCCAGAAUUUUGCUAAGUUCAUUUUCAAUCUUCUCCUGAGCUUUUUCUAGCUUUUCAAAUCUAUGAGAACUUUCUUCUUCCAUUUGCCUUGCUCUGAAUCUUGUGUUGUAUGGAUGAGCAGGGUUUUCGCUAGAUGGAGCUAUCCUCGGACCUUGAGUACCAUACUUAUGAUUAGAAAUGUUAUGCUGUGCCUUAUGUAUGAUGCUUUGACACACAAAUGAAAUGUACAUUUUUUGAAUGAAAUCUAGUAUGAAAUGAAUGCAAAUGAUUGUGUUGAAACAUGAUCAUGAAAAGAAUACAGAUGCAUACAAUCAGACAAACAACAUAGUUAGUUCCGUGGAUGAAACGUAAGUGAUGUUGAUGCAUAAUGUUACAUAUGAUAGAAAUAAUACACAAAGUUAAGCAAUCAAAAUGAUUAGAUAAACACCCUUUUUUGUGUCCUAAUUUUAGGGUAUAUCUAUCAUUGGGUAGAAAGAGCUCUAUCCUAGGUGUAGGCACUCUUAAAGUUCACUACAUGCGGUUUUAAGGUCAGAGUCUAAAGGUUCUCAAAUUGCUCCUUACAUCCCUGUCCAUCACAGACUAGUAAGGCACCCUAAUCCUCACCCAUUACAGGCUACAAGCGAAAAAGGUUCAAUUUGAGUGGGAGUAUUUCGCUAGCCACUGCGGAGGCAUUAGACCUCACGAAAGCAAUAGGUACUUUACUCCCUCCUAGAGGGACGGAGCUCGGGUGUAGAGCUCAUGUUAUGCAUAUGCACAUGAAUGACAUAAUUAACCAAGCAAAUACACAUAAAUGAAUAAUAACACAUAUAUACAAGAAGGGUUCAAUUUUAGCUUUUGGAUAACACAAAUUAUUUGCUGGCCUGACUCUCAAAGUCCCCAGUGGAGUCGCCAAGCUGUCAUAACGUCUAGAUCCGGGGAUCUAUCGCCAGACAUUGACUUUAGGGAGUCGCCACCAAUCUUUUUUUUUAUCCAGGUGUGAUUGGCCACCUAAGGAAUCUGCCCUUUUAGGGAACACCUAAGCUUAAGGGUCCCUAAAAGAAUAGGUUCGGGUCUGCUUAACCAGAACAGAGUUCGGGAGUUCGGUUACGUGUGAGGAAGGUUAUAGCACCCUCACAACGCCCAUCAAAAGAUGGUACCAGCUUGAAUUUGUGUUAUCCAAAAGCCUUAAAAUUUUACCAAGUAGUUAGUUGUUGAAAAUUAUUCUCAAUUGACUCUAAUACUUUUAGCAGAAAAUUGAGAAAAUUCCCUCACCUCAAGAGUAUGCAAGAAAAACUACUGUUUCACUUGCAGAGGCUCCGUCGUCGGAUUAUUUAAAGAAAAAUCAAGAUCAACCAAUUAAUUAAUUAUCGAAAAUUAUUCUCAAUUGACUCUAAUACUUUUAGCAGAAAAUUGAGAAAAUUCCCUCACCUCAGGAGUAUGCAAGAAAAACUACUGUUUCACUUGCAGAGGCUCCGUCGUCGGAUUAAUUAAAGAAAAAUCAAGAUCAACCAAUUAAUUAAUUAUCGAAAAUUAUUCUCAAUUGACUCUAAUACUUUUAGCAGAAAAUUGAGAAAAUUCCCUCACCUCAGGAGUAUGCAAGAAAAACUACUGUUUCACUUGCAGAGGCUCCGUCGUCGGAUUAAUUAAAGAAAAAAAAAUCAAAAUCAGCCAAGUAAUUAAUUAUCGGAAAUUAUUCUCAAUUGACUCUAAUACUUUUAGCAGAAAAUUGAGAAAAUUCCCUCACCUCAGGAGUAUGCAAGAAAAACUACUGUUUUUACUUGUAGAGGCUCCGUCGUCGGAUUAAUUAAAGAAAAAAGAAAAAAAUCAAGAUCAAAAUCAAAGUCAAAUAAAAAAAAAUUCAAAAAAAAAAAAAAAAAAAAAAAAAACCUGGAGCGGCUCGGAUCGCGGCUCGGCUUGGUGCGGCUCGGCUCGGCUCGGCUCGGCUCGGAAGGGCUGAAACGCGCGGGUCAGAAAGCGGGUCGACGCUUCGGGUCGGGUCGAGUUCGGCAAAACGCGCGGAUCCUCUUAUUAACUUAAAGCCAAAACGACGUCGUUUUGGGAGGGUAUAAAAGGCACCUUCCUCCGUUUUUCAGCAGACCGUUCCUCCCCUCUCUCUCUCUUCUUCCCUUCUUCUCUGCCUUCUCUCUAGAAUUUGAAGAACGCCGGUGCCGGAUUCUGGAAAAUUCGCCGGAAUCUGGGAAUUUCGCCGGAAAUUGGCCGGAAGUUGGCCGGAUGGUCGCCGGUUUCUGGGAUUCUCCGCCGAAACUGGGUCUGUCGCCGGAAACUUCAAAGUUCGCCGGAAUUGUCGCCGGAAAAUUCAAAAGUCGCCGGAAUUUUCGCCGGAAUCUGGAAAUUUCCCAGAAAUUUCCAGAAAAUUUUUUCGCCAAAUUUUUCUAAAAAAUUUUUCUCACUGCCAGAACACUCCUAAACUUUUCCUUAGCUCUCUAAACACCCCUAUUCUCUCAAUCAGUAGCUUUUGCUUCUGUUUUCUCUGUGUUCUUGACUGUUCCAGGGGGGUCCCUUUUAUAGGGAUUGAUCAGGAGUUUCUGAUCAAUCCCAAUUCCUCUUUGGACGGGAAUUCAGUCUUUGAAUCCAAUUGGACUCUUCUGAUUGAAUUCCCCUUCAGAGUGGGAGUCUUCAACUUUGAAUCCUAGCCCUCCAAAAUAAAAAUUAAAAUAAAAUUAAAAAAAAAAUCUAGAUAAUUGGAAAGAUAAAUCAAAAGAUAAAAAAUUUUCAAAUAAUAUCUGAAAAUCAGAAAAAAUCAGAACAGAUAAUUAAAAAAAAAGAUAAGAAUAAUAAUAUAAUAAUAAUAAAUAUAUAACUAUAUACAUAUAAAUCUAUUCUAAUGAAAAAAAAAUAUAUAUAUAUAUAUACAUAUAUUAAUACAUAAUAAUAAAUAAUAAAAUACACAAGAGAGAAAAAAAAAUAAAAUAAAAAUAAAAAAUAAAAAAUACGGGUAAAAAUUCAAUUGGGCCUUGCCCAUUUGGGGCAGGCCCAAAUGAUCUGGGUCAGGCCCAUUGAUCCGGGUCAGGCCCAAUUGAUCCGGGCCCGGACCUGAUUGGGUGUCUACAAUAAAUAUAUAUUAAUAUAUAUUUUUCAAUAAAAAUAUAUUAAUUCUAAUUAAUCUAAAAUAAUAAUUUAUAUCAUUUAACAAAAAAUCUAUUUACUAAGUAUAUAUAAAUAUAUAUGUAAAGUACAAAUAUGGGUUGGGUGUUAUAUUACCCAUCCUCAUCCCUAUACCUAAUAAAAAUUAAAAAUCAUAUAUAUCUUUAUCCCUAUACCCACAAUGUAAUACCCUUUUUCAUCUUCAUUUAGGUAAAAAAUUAGAUUCUCCAUUAGGUAUAGGUAUUUUUAGGUCUUUUAGCCAUUCUUUUUUAUAGAACUUUGUGACAGGGACUAGGAUUUCUUGUAUGGUUUAGCGGAACUUUAUCUUUGCCCUAAAAAUGGCUUUGAAGCUAGAUGUAUAAAAGCUGCACACAUCCCAAAAAAUGCCAUUCUCCUUUUCUCCGACAACAAUUCAAUGAUUUAAUUAUCUUUGCUAAGAUAACCAUUGAGGGAUUGAAAUAUUUAUGCAAGUAUGCUGAAGAAUCUACCAUUUAUACCUUGACAUGCCCUAAUACCCUCAAAAAGAUUAGCAACCAUAAAUCGCCAAGGAAACUAUUUCAAUAACUUGCUUUUCAUUAUGGUUCUUAAAUUUAAGAUUAUGAAAGAAAGCCUAUGGGAUACCAUCAAUAACUCUUUUCUUCUUAUUGAUCACUUUGACAUCCACACCAGUUAUCUUAUAAAGCUUCUUUUGAUAACUUGAUUUCUUUUAUUCUUUCUAGUAUAUCCUAUUUGGACUUGGAAACUUUAUUGAAGCAAAGUGGAAUAUUCUUCAAUAGUUAAUGUCAUAUCUUUUUUGUUGAAAGUUAAACAACGGUAUGAUGAGGUUCCAAAAUCAUAUUAUCACCUUAAUUUACUUUUCAUUUGUCUUUACCGAAAUAAAUAGCACAAUAUUUAUGUACUUCUUAAUAAAAGCAUUUUUUCUUUCUGCCUCCAUUAAUUCCAAAUGUUUUCCAACUUAGUCAAGUCAUUCUAACAUAGGUCUAAGUGGACUAUUACAAGACAUGUCCUUUAAUUAAACAAUCCUCAUCCUUUUGUUGCCCAUUCUCAGAUUGAUCAUUAAUUUCCCAAUAUGUCUUACUAAUAGUAAAUACUGAAAGUGAAUCCUGAGAUUUCAUGGUCACAAUAGUAGUUCUUUUGGCUGGACAUUAUCUAAAAUAAAAAUACACCUCAAUGCAACUAUUUUAUAUUUUUGAUGAUGCAUGCAAAAAGGAAAAAACACAAAAAUAAAAAAGUUAGUAAAAAUAGAUUUAUAAUGAAUAAAUUUUCAAAAUAGGAAAAGAAAUUGGUUUCAUUGUUUUGAAAACAUUUGCCUUUUUACUUAUCAAAGAAAAUUCUUUUUUUUUUGAAGAAAAUAUAUACAUUUAGGCUUUCAUCAGGUAUUGCAGAAGCCUCGAAAUGGUGGUGUCAUCCUAUUACAGAUAUCAAGAUGCUAUUAAACUUCUCCUAUUCUACGAUUCAUGUAUUUGUCCAAAAUCAAGUAAAAGGUAAAAAGUGUUUUUUCAUGUGUUCUAAUUUUGGUGCAUUUUAUGAAGAAGGUUCUGCAUGGCUCUACCUACAUGGUAGUUCUUUAUGGUUUUCUAUAUGCUUGACUAGGAUUUUCUACGUAUCUAAAGAUUCUCAAAUUGCUUUUCACUAUUGCCCAUGCUAGUCUAGCAAGGUGCCUUGAUCUUCAACUAUUAUAGAAUACAAAUGAAAAAGGUUUAAUUUGAAUAAGAGUAUUUCACCAGCCAUUGUAGAUGUACAUCUCACAAGAGUGUAAAUACUUUACUCCCUCCUAAAAAGUAUUUUAUGCACCAUAGUACCGAUUAAAAAAAAAGUCUCAAUUAAUAACAUAUUUCCUUUAAUAUUGAUAAAAGAAUGGCCUAAAUUUUAAAUUUUAAAAUUAAUGUCUUAAAUCCCAUUUAUUAUCAUAAAACCCUUUUUUUUUGCCAUCCUUUUUAGAAUCAUUUUAUUUAGAAAUAAAAUAAAAAUUUUGUGUUUCAAAUUUCUCAAUAUCUAGAUAAAAUUUAGAAAAAUGUUUUUGACUUAGUUAUUUUCAUGAUAAUCCGUAAAACCAAAGAUAAUAUUAUUUUCAUAAGAAAUAAUUAUUAAGAGUUCCUCCAAUAUUUAGGUAGAGUCUCAAGAAAUAUUUUACUUAGCAUAUUAUCUUAUUUUGUUUUUAAAAAAAUAAUUUCUUUUAUAGUCAUAUUUUACUACAUUAUAUAUUUUUAAAGAAUAGUAAAAUGUAUGUGAUCCAACAUGAAGCAAAUUAAUGAUACAAAUAUAAACUAAAAGAUAAAAAUUACCAAUUUAAUUCAUAUUAUAAAUCUUUAACUUUAUCACUUUAUAUUUUUUCCUUGUUGUUUUUUUUUUUUAAAUAUUUAGUGAUAAAAUGAAAAUAUUUUGGUGUUUUUAAAAGUAACCUUUGUGCAUUAUCAACAUUAUAAUAUUUAUAAAUCCGAUAAUAUUAAAUUUUUAAGUUCAAUUCUCAUCAUAUGUGAAUUUAAUUUAAUUUUAUAUUAAAUUUAUUUAAUUAUGUGUUGAUUUAUUUAUUGAUUUAAUUCAAUGUUUUUGUUAUAUAAUACUUUCUUAUACUAUUAAGUUCAUAAAAAAAUUAAUAACUAAAGAAUUUCCUAAAAUUUUCAUUGACAUAGCAAUUUUUUUUUUGGAACUCUUGAAGGCUUGGCAACAAGACUAGCUUUUUUGCUUUAUAAUAACCGGAAAAAAUCAUAUAUAAUCCUAACUAGAAAUAAGGAGAAUGACUUUCUUGUUUUAAUUUGAAAUUCAAAAUUAGCAAUUAAAAAUCCCCCCUCCCCAUGACCCGAAUACCAUAAUCACUUAUUAUGAUUAGACUUGACAAUUUAAAAUAUGACAUGAUUAUAUAAUAUGAAUAUAAUAUAAAAACAGAAUAUGAAAGUGAUAGAAUUUAAAAUUAUAAUAAUAAUUAUAUAUAAAUUUAACAAAAUAAAAAAUAUAUAUUUUAUAUUUUUAUAUCGAUACGAAAUAUGACAUAAUUUUUAUGUAAAACACGAAACGAAUAUAUGAAUUUUAUUAUAUCACACUAUAUGAAUACGUGAAUCGUUAGGUGCACUUAUGAUAAACAUGGUUAAUCAAAUUCUUUUUAAUUAUAUUAAGAAAAAAUGAAAAAAAAAAAAGUAUGUAAACAUUAAGCAGCUAGCUAUAAAUUAUCAGCCAGAAACAUGAAUGGUUUAUAUUUUGAAUUUUUUGUCUAUGGAAAUGCAUUUUUUUUAAUAAUAAAUAAUAAAUCAAUCAAUCAAUCUAGUAAUGAAAUAAUUCAAAAUUUAAAACUAGAGAAAAUAUUCACAUGUAUGCAAAUGAAUCUUCAUUAAUUAAUUUCAUUUCACACUGUUCAAAAAGAAUGAUAUUCGAUAUAUAGCUAGAUCAAGACACGAAAAUAUGGAUGAAAUAUGGACAAUCUUCAAUUAAUUAACAAAUCAGUGAAAAUAUGUUUAUAUUGCCGAAAUCAAUAAAAACUAAAAGAAAAUAUAAUAAAAAAGAAUGAUGCUCCUUCCAACAAUAUUUUAUCCCUUGGCCUUUGAGGAAAGUGAUGGCCUUGGGGUAGCAUGCUGUCUUCUUCCAAAUUAACCACCCAAAAAUUCCCAUAAUUAGAUGAAUAAUAAAAAAUUAUAAAGAUCUCAGUGGAAUUUAAAAAAUUAUAUGAUGUAAAAGUUGAAUUACAUAAUAGUAUUUUUGCCAUUUAGAUGUUUUGAUUUGGUUUAUAUUUUUAAUUUUCCUUUUUAAAUGUCAUGAAUUCAUCAUCAUUAUUGCAUGGUAUCUUUUGGUAUUAUUGUUGGGGCUGCUUCUACAAAUUUUGCUACAACAAAUAAUCUCCACAAAGUAUAUUGUAUGUAAAUUUGUGGGAUAAUUAACUUCCAAUUCAAUUUGGCUCCGUUGGGCCUUGAUAUUUUUUGAACACUUUACUGUUCAUAUGUAUAGGAUACUUGUCAAAACAAAAUUUAUUCAUGUUUGAUGUCUUAUCACACGAGUUAAUAUAACAUAGUGUAUAAACGACAUAUCAUUGAAUUAAUUAUUAAAUCACCACAAUAAAAACAAGCAUGGAGAACUAUCUAUGCAAGUAGACAUAACUACAUACUGCUCAUACAUACAAGCUGCUAUAAGGAACUAAUAAAGAACCAGCAAACCAAACUGAACACAAAAAACCAUGUUUCUUUAGAGUACAUGAAUUUUGCGAACAAUGUCUUGGCCAAGCAAUAAGAAGAGGAUUUAGGAGACAUGUAAGCUUGAGUUCAAGUCCAAAUAAAAAAUAGAUGAAAUUUGUCUUACAUGAAUGGCUAAACAUGACUUUAUUCACAAUAUCAAACACGCAAAUGCUAUGAAAUGUAGAGUAAACUAGUUCUUCACUGCAAAGUAAAACUGAAAAAAUAGAGAUCCAACCAGUUGACGGCGCCAUAAAACAGAAAGCUCCAACGAUGAUAAGCAUAAUCAAGUAUCAACCACCUAUCAUUGAGGCAAAGAAUGAGUAAGAAUUUAAACAAGAAACUUGAUUAAGGAAAUCAUAAAUACAUGGACAGAGGCAGAUUCAAGAUUUUUGUUGGGAAGUAAUAUUAUCCAUGAAAAUAGUGUUUAAAAGAAAAUUUUGAAUGUUUAUGGAAAAUUUUCUUUUAAAAUUUCUUAUUUUCUAAUUUUUAACAGUGUCCCAAAAAAGAUAUUGAGGGUAUCCAACACAAAAUUUUUCUUUAAAUUUUUUUAUUUUCAAUGUACAACCCACAAUGCCAUGUAAAUCCAACACUAGACAUGGAAAAAAGCCAUAUUUACCUGUUUAGCUAACAAGUUUCUCCUUAAAUUUUCACUUCCUAGCGUAACAUUAUCCUUGUUUCUCCCAAAGUCAUAUAUAAAGGUAUUUGAUCUUUCAAACCAUCCCAAAAUAUAUCAUUGCAGGUGGAUUGAUUAUCAACUAUUUCUUCCAUUGUGGUGAAACCUUCUGUUGUAUUAUUCUGAACUUGUUGGGGUUCCUUCACAACAAAAGACAAUUCUCAUUAAGUUAUGCUAGAAGUAAGUAAUUAAUUAAUUAAUUAUGCAUAUGACUUGUGUAUGUAUAUAAAAGAGUCAUCCAAUUCAUAAUAAUAUGUAGUUAUAUACUAACAUAACUUUUGUUUCCAUCAUCGUUUCAUCAUUAGUAUCAAUAUGGUCAAGAACAACAAAUUAAUUAAUUCAGCAUAAUAGUUAGAAAAAAAAGGUCGGUUAGGUACCUCUGUUACCUCUGUUAUGGCAGGCACAGGAUGUUUUGAAUCCAUGAUGACACUUGUGGUCAACUUGGGAGAUUUGGUUAUUUUAAACGACCACAUAGAAGGGAAUCGGAAAUGACAACCAGUUGGAGCAAAACUCUUUAGGUCUGAUAGCUCAGAAAGAUCCACUAUUUCUAAUUGAGAGAGCACUAUUCCCUUUUGAUCAUCUUCAAUGUCUAGUUCACCUUGAUACCCAAAGACUUGCUCUAGUUUAGAAGGCCCUUUAAUUUUAAUUCUCUCGAGGUUGGCAAAAGAACGGGCGACACUAAUAGGAAACAAGCUUUUCAAAUUGCUGCACCCAGAAAUCCGUAUGUCUUGAAGACUAGGGAAGGAUAUAGUUUGG
RNAcentral lists this long non-coding RNA (123434 nucleotides) under Durio zibethinus. Its description in RNAcentral is "long non-coding RNA (DZIB_LNC001981)". The record is from RNAcentral. Lineage: Eukaryota; Viridiplantae; Streptophyta; Magnoliopsida; Malvales; Malvaceae.